This 94912-nucleotide long non-coding RNA is filed under the name Ananas comosus (pineapple). RNAcentral's name for it is "long non-coding RNA (ACOM_LNC002937)". The record is from RNAcentral. Lineage: Eukaryota; Viridiplantae; Streptophyta; Magnoliopsida; Poales; Bromeliaceae.
GAAAAAAAACAGCAACCAUACCACCUGAGGCAUUAAGUUUUCAGCAGUAGGUGCAUGGCAUGGUAAUAUUGGAAGGCUUUGCUUCUUUGCAGGCAACCAUUUUUCCAUGUCAUGUCUUGACUUGCGGAAAUUAUUGAGAACAAACUUAUUGAAGCUUUCGAUAGGUCUCUUGCCACAUCAAUCACCACAACACUGGCACAUUACUGUUGCAUUAGUGAGACAUUCCUGUUCACUUAAAAUUCGCCUAUGAAACUUGAUUGUAACAAUCAAGAAAGUUUGAGUUAGAAAUUGCAGCUAUUAUAGUUUGAGGACUAAAAGUGUAAUUUAGCCUUAUUUUAUAAAACAAACGACUGGGCAGGCAAUAAUUUUCCUAUCUCGGCUACCUAUAACUGCACUCAAUUGGAAGGUCUGCUGUUUUGCAGGCAACCUUGUUUUGUCAGUUGUCUUUAAGUUGCAUAAGACUAUAUGAUGCUUUUUGAUAUGAUCGAAUGGCCGGUCGGAGCCUCUCUGUCCUUCUCCGUUCAUUUCAGUUAGUAAUAAUUCUCAUGCUGACUGUCGAUGUCGUCAUGCUGACUGUAUGCUUCAAUCAGACAGGCCCUUAAUGCUUCAUGCAAUGUUAAGGAAGCGUCUCUCCUUUAUUUUACGUUUCGAAGGAGGUUAUGAUAAUUGGCGGUUGGGAAGGCACCUCAACUUAUUUUUUUUUCUUGGCUUUUGAUUCUCAAUGGAGUGCAGAAGCUAUGGAUAUAAGAGGUAGUAUGGUCAACCCCAAAAACUGCACUUUUGCAAAAAAAAAAUUUCCCUUUCAUGAAUAACUGUUGAAACGGAUGGUCUGCACUUUUGCAGGCAACCUAGCAGUUGCAUGCUGUUUUUUGUGGUUUGCAUUUAUAAGCCGUUUCUUCAUGGCAUCAUUUGCCUAGCGAUCAAGCGGUGUCAAAUGCAUCAUAUAUUAGCCAUUAAAAUUGUUGAUUUCUGGACCACUCGAGUACUAGGCAAAUGAUAUCAAAGAAUUAUGAAGUUUGAAACCUAGAAAGUUGAAAUAUCCUACAUGUUUGAUUGUCUAUCCGGAUGCCCCGUUAUUAGAAAUGAUGCGGAAGUAAGCAGCGCAGUUUACUUGUAUAAGCAUUUUACACCCCCCCCCNNNNNNNNNNNNNCUCUCAACUUUCUAGGUUGAAAUAUAGAGAAAAAAGUUGGUGGUGGCACUGGCCUAUUGUGGAUCAGUAGGGUCUAGGAUUAAUUUCUUGAAGUAUUACCCCCACGGCCCCACCCACCCUCUCCAACCUUAAAAAAAAAAAAAAAAAACUCAAAAUGCAGUUUCUCGUGGAAACUUGCUCCUGCUCGGCGUGCUUAUCUUGAAAGGCUGGCUUAGAUGCAGGCAACCAAUAUUUGCAUCCAUGCAGGGGAUUUUAAUCCUCAGUUUGCCAUUUUGAAGCAACAAGUGUCGGAUGUACCUUAUCUGAAUGUACACGAUCUUUGAGGAAUGGCUAUGAUGACUGCCUGGAUGCACCAGAACUGAAGAAUUUGACUGAAACGUAGCUUGGCAAACUUUGGAAGGCUUGCAAUUCUGUGAGCAACCAUUAUGCAGCUGCUUGUGUAGUUCUGUGAAGAUUCUGGUGAAAAGGCCAGAUCUGAGCCACCUCCCUUCUCAACAUCAUCAUCCCUAAACUAUGAAAAGAUUGCUUGCACUUUAUCUUCUGUCACAAUUAUCUAACUGCUCGAGAAAGAUGGACUGUAGACAACCAUCCGCUUGUAGACAUCUUUGACUCUAUGGUAAACAAAUGCGACAUGUUUGUUGGGUAAAUGAAAGAAAUAUGUUGAACAAGAUUGCCAUGUGUCGAAGGAGACUCUUAUUUGCACUUUUGCUGUGCGUCAGAAAUGAUCUGUGGUGCUGUUUGAAGGUGCAUUCUUAUGUCUUUCCAUGUGGUGGGUGUGAUGAUUACCAAGUAUGGAAGAACCACAACCCUUCAACAUUAGACUACUUUGAUCUGCACAGCUUGGCAACUCUCGUACGGCUUGUUCAGCAAGCAUCCAUUUGCGUUUGUAUGUGUAGUUCGCAAAUGCUCAUAAAAAUGGGGUAAAAACGUACAGAACUUAUCUGAACUAUGGACUAUUUUGAGAAACACAGAUUGUAGACAACUAUCUACUCGUAGACACCUUAGACUCUAUGGUUAACAAUUGCGACAUCUUUGUUGGGUAAAUAAAAGAAAUGUGUUGAAUAAGAUGGUCGUGUGUCGCAAGAGGCUCUAAAUUUGUACUUUUGUUCCGCACCAGAAAUGGGUUGGGCUGCUGUUGAAAGAUGCAUUGUUAAUCUACGUGGUGGCUGUGAUGAUUGUCAUGUAUGGAUGCACCAAAUCACUACAAUAUUUGACUGAACUUUGAUCUGCACAGCUCGGCAACCUUUUAAAGGCUUGUUCUGCGAGCACCCAUUUUGCUUUAUAUGUGUAGGUUUGCAAAUGAUCAUAAAAAUUGCAGAUCUGAGCCAGUGUCUAAAUAUCUCCUUUUCGUUGUUUAGACCUAACAAUUUUUUUUUACCCCUAGCCUGUUCUUGUUUAAAGAAUUUAUGUUUGCUAAAUCACCUCUUGCAGCAAGCGGGUUAGGUGAUAUGAGGAAAAUUGUUCCUUUAUGUCAAUAUAUGUUUUUGAAGUUUAGUGGUGAUAAUUACACCACAGUUCGAGGGGUUUGGCAUUUUUUUGUCUUUAAAUAUGGCCUGCAGGAAGUGUAGUUUUUAACAGAGCAGUAGACCUGCCCGGCAGCAACAUUGGAUGGCCUGCUUAUAUGCUGGCAACCAAUUUUUGCUGCUGUGAGCUGGAGUUUAUACCCAGGUUCGUAUUAUUAGUGUUGAGCAUUGCGUUGUAACUUUUGUAGUCGUACCGAGCCGAAGAAUUGCUCUUUUGCAUUCCUCCUCGGUGAGUAAUUGAAAUCUCCACUAAAUGUGAACUUCAAAUCUCACUUCUUUUAAGUUUAUCCUCAAAGCGGUUUUCUGUAAAAAUAAACUGAACAUGGGACUUUGGCAAUGUUGGGGGAUCUCAUGGGAGUGACAUGGUCAAAUACGGUGGGAUUUUUGACGAAACCAUACCCGUAUCCAUGUUUUUUUCAUUUUUUGGUAUGCUAAUUCGGAUACGAUGGUGUCGGAUUCGAUUGGAUUUUAUCCUAACCACUUUCACCUCUACUUGUGGUACAUUUAUUCGGAGCCAAAAUACUCUGAACCCUCCAAUGAGGGAUGGAUGGACAGGUGGAUGGACGGGUACAUCGCUAAAGCGAUACGAAAGAGAGAAACCAGCAUUGGGAACAAGCGGAAAUGCAGGGGUGCUCCUUUCUUCCUGUAAGCCCCUCCGUCUCCUACUCUCUUCCACCCCAAAAAUGAAAAAAAAGAAAGAAAGAAAGUCAUUUGUCUCGUUUCCUGUCUCUUCCUCUCGUCAGGGAAAGUGUUUUUAGGUUAGACAGGGAAUCUGGUAAUGGCGGGGCAGUUCUGGACGGUCUGCUCUUCUGCAGGCUACUGAACUGCAGCCAUUACUCCGAAAAUGCAUUGGCGGCUAUCAUUUCCUCCUACUUCCUUGAUGCCUUGUUGUUGUUGUUGUUGUUGUUGUUGUUGUUGUUGUUGUCAUUAUUAUUAUUAUUAUUAUUAUUGUCAUUUUUAUAACUGUGGUGGUGGUGGGGGUGGGUGGAGUCUACCAUCUCCCUGCCCCUUCGUAAAAGGGGAAGCUUUCGUGUCUCGGGGUUGACCGAGCCCUGUGUGUGUGUGUGUGUGUGUGUGUGUGACUACUAUACUUCUAGAAGCAUAUACUUCCAACUUUUGGACCCUUGGAUCCCUCAGGUUUACUUCUUGUUGAUGGUAUUGGUAUGGAUCCAAGGGCCCAGAAGUUGGAAUUUGUAACUUCUAAAUGCAGCAUAGCUCAACUACACACACACACACUGUUCGUGUUUGAGGGUUGGAAAAAAAAAAAAACAAAAAAACAGCAAGAACAAUUCUAGAUGGGGCCUUAAGUUUCAGCAGAAGGUGCAUGGCAUUGUAAUCUUGGAACAUGGUUGUUUCAAACAUUCAUUAUCAACCCCCAAGGCCUGAUUUUAUCUUUAAUUUUUCAUCCUCUGGCUUUCUUACUGCAUGUACAAUCUAGGAUGGGUUGUUUCAAACAUUCAUUAUCAACCCCCUGAAACCCUUCCUCGUGCUGGUAGAUGAUGACUGGAUAGAAGUUUGGGGGGUCUAUUUCGAAAAUGGUCUAUAGUUGAGGGGAUCUUCAUCCUAUUUAACCUCUCAAUAUAUCUGAUGGUGAAAAGGUAUUGAUAGUCCCUGUCGUAUCCCGAUGCUAUUCCAAUAUUGUGACUUAGUCCUUGAACCUUUUCCAUAGCACUCCUCUCUCUCAUCUUUCUUAUAUUCUUGGAAUUUCAUCCCUCCCAUCUCUUUGGUUCAUACGUUGCAGGGAAAAUCUCUCAUUAGAACUCUGCAUUGUAAUUUAAUUACUAGCGAGGAUUGGCAGGCGCGUGAUCAGUAAUUGGAGGCAGCUCUGGAUGGUCUGCCCUUCUGCAGGCAACCUAGCUUGCAGCCAUUUAUCCGGUCAUGGCUGGGGUGGAGGAGGUGGUGGUAGUGAUAAGGAUUGGAUGUAUGUGGGUUCAUAUGAUCCUCUUCUCUGAUUAGGGUAUCAUCAUCGUUAUCUUCUUGGCACUCGCUUAUUCUCUUGAUCCAAGUUCCUGUAAAGGAUGUCCUUCAUCAUUUACUUCUAUUUCGCAAUUCCUGUUCCUUGAUGUGUUUCGGCAUUUGUGGAAGUUUCUGUUGAUCAUCUUCAAGAUAUGCGGAAUAACCACUUUUGUGUGGAGUAAAGCUUCUCUCUGCGGCCUUCUGAGAUGGAUACCCAUGAAAUUUUGUGCCUCAGGGUUGAUGAAUGGCUAAAAAUCAAGCUUUUUGAUUUUGAUUGUGCAUUCUUCAUAUGGGUUUACAUCAAGUUGGUCGGUUAGCUCGGUCCAUUGACACCUCUAAUCUGAGCCAUGCUUCAUUAAUUCCUCUAAUCUGAGCCAUGCUUCAUUAAUUCGUGGGAUGGAUGACAUUGCAGCUGGUGGUGCAUGUCUGAUCUUGUGCACCGGGUGCAGGUGUAAUGCCCCGGACUCGUCGCAACCCGCCAAUGACGAGAGCUUGCUGAGGCGUCGACGGCGACAGGGAUGAUGGUGGUUUCCGGCAGCAAUUCCGAGAUAAUUAAUGCAGGGAAAAAGGGGUAAGAGAAGAGAGAUAGAGAUAGAGUUAGAGAUACACAGAGAGAUGAGGAUGGGAAUUAGAAGUAGAUAAGAGAAGAGGAGAAUUGGGGGUAGUAGAGAAGAAGAGGAAGUUUGGGGAGAAGAAAAUAUCAAUUCAUUUCAUUCAUAAUCUGUUUACCGCGCUAAUUUGGUAUAUAUACUAUCUACUAACUCAUAUUGGAAUGUAAAAACAACUAUGUUAAGAGGGCUAUAGUGCAAAAGUGGUAAAUAGAGGUAUGGUCGGUGGGCUGCAAUUCAGCGGGCAAUUGGGCCUCAAUUGGGGUUGUUUGGUCCAAACUGCCUGGUAGUCGGGCAAACAGGUCGCAAUUCGCCCCUUCUCCGCACUAUCCAUCGCCCGGCGGAUCUUGGGUCCGCCUUUUCCCCCGAUCCGGGAUUUGGGGCCGCCCAAUCCACUCGUAAACGGACAACCGGGUCUCAGUUUGCCUUCUCCGCACUACCCACCGCCCCCUCAGCUCCGACGAUGCCCUAGCCCCGUCGCCCUGCCGGAGUUCCACCCGCACAGCCUCUCGCUGGAUCGCACCGCCGAGCUCGCUCCUCUCUACCCUGCUGUUGCCCUUAUUCCUCGCAUAACUAGUAAAGCUACCACUUUUACUACUCCUUUUAACUACUCUACUCCUUUAUUCUUCAGGUUGUUACGGCAGGCCGUAAUUUCUCCUAUCUUCUGCGUUUUGGGGUUUGAAUGCUCAAUUGGAAGGUCUGCAUUCUUGCAGGCAACCUGACAAACUCAUUUGUCUUUAAGGUGCGUAAGACUACAUGAUGCCUCAUGAUAUGAUUGAAUGGCAGAUCUGAGCCUCCCUUUUCUUCUUUGUUUCUUUUCAGCUAUUAAGAUCUAUUCUAGUAUUUCUUCUUCUCUGUAUUUGCUUCUGCAGGGAGAAGCUAGAUCAUCAAUUCCUAUUCCCUCUACUUUUCGGUGGCUUUGGCCUAUUUCAAGAUGGUCUGUAGUUGAGGGGUCUUCAUACAUGUAUCUCACACGCACUGUGGAAAUGUUUAAUUCAGGUAGCAGCAUGCAGUGCGAGGGUACAACCCAAAGCUUAACAAGAACAGAAAACAGAUGCAACGGCAAUUAAGCACUCAAUUUUACUGAUGGUUGCUAAGCGGCUAAAACAUCAAUGUCAUCUGUUACACUACAUAUAAUGAAAACAUGGAGUUUGUGGGGCAUUCAGGGUGAGGGUUGAUUUAAGCCUGAUUUUUCUCUUCCUCCCUUUCUCUCUCAUUUUUAUUUUUUUCAACUCAAUUCUCAUCUCCCUCUCUCUCUUUCUUUCAUCAAUUUCUUUCUCAUCUUUUACUGCACAAUCUAUUUUUAAGUAAUAAAUAUUAUAAAAUAAAAUAAAAGUUUUAUUAAAUAUAUAUGAUUUAAAUUAUAUAGAAAAGCUAUACGUGAAAAAUUACAAAAUUUGAACUUUUAUCUGAAAAUUUAGAAAAUGCAAUAGAUAAAUUUAGUUUUUUUAUCCAAUUUAUAAAAUAUUUCUCUUUCACUGUUCUAUCUUCUUCUUUUCAAUUACCAGCAACCGAUCUAUCUAUCGGUGCAUUGCAUAUACUAAACUUAUUUUUUAAAAAAUAAAAAUCACAAGAUUAAAAUGUAAUUCGACAAAUGCACUCUACACUAUAUAAAAAGUCUAUUUAAAAAAUUUAUACUGUUUUAAUUUUUAUAAUAGAGUUUUAAAAAUUUGGUGUGUAAGAUAUAUUUAUGCAUUUAAUGUGCCAAACAAUUUCUGGCUCGUCGCCGUCACAUCCUGUCGAGGGAACAAGAAAUCGGCAGAUCGUGGAGUUUGCCUACUUUCUCUCUCUCUUUUUUCGUGGAGUUUGCCUACUUUCUCUCUCCUCUUUCUCUCUUCUUUUCGUAAAAUGAUGAGGCAGCAAAUGUAUCUUUUGCUCUAUUAAUAUAAUCAAUUUUCUUCUUUUGCUCUAUUAAUAUAAUCAUUUUUCUUCUUUUGCUGUUGUUAUUUUUUUGUUUCGUCUUUUUCCUUCUAAUAACUUCGUUAUUAUUGUUGUUCUAGCUGGUUCUUCUUUAGCUUCUUUUUUUUUUAUUUUGUUAUAUUUUUACUGCCACUAUAAAUAUAUUUAUUAUUCUUAUGUUUCUGUUUUUAUUCUCCUGUUGCUGCUGCUGCUGCUUCUUCAACUUUUACUUUUUUCUAAUUCUUUAGUUUCUUUAAAUUCUUUUUAUGUUCUUACUGUCCUUUUUGCCUUCAGCUUUUUUCUUAUUUAUUUGUCUCUACAGAGCCGACUUUGCCGCAACGUGCCAGUAACUUCACUAGUUUUACAAGACCAGCUACUCUACUACAGACCGUAACCCAAGAACAACUUUUAUAACUUGAACUCUCUAUAUUACUCUUCAGAUUUGCCUAGAAUUCAACUCUUUAAGAGCAGACAACUUAGCAUGCCAUCAAAAUAUCUAGUUUAAUGAUCUGCCAAUUGUCGAUGUCAUAGAUUUCUUUGCAUAAACACAUGCUUAAUCUGAAAGCCAUAACUGAAUCAAACGAUUUAGUAAUCCAUCAUUCCCAAUUUAAAGAACCCAAAGCUGAUAAAUCUGGUGGAUUAGAAUGGAUUGUCAAACAUCGCCUUCAAAUAAUUAGCUGCAGUAGUUAGGAAAUGGGCGAUAAGAUUGGCAAAGCACAAAACAAACAGCGAGCGAUUUUGUAUCAACUAAACUCCUCUAAAGCUGAUCUAAAUACUAUGUCCAGAUGAUACAAUUUGGAACUCAGAAUAUGGCGUGUAAAAACAGUUUUCCUAAGGUAAUAAGGUUAAUAUGUCUGAAUUCCUCACUUAACAACUCGGAACUAACUAAUUUCUUAGAAUUUAGACCAUGCGCAUUUCAAUUUCCACAACUUGGACCAUUUUAUUGUGAAGGCGAACAUGUUUGCUCCACAUUAAUUUUCAGUUGUGUGGUAGAGAUCUCAGUUGGAAAGUGCAUCUAUAAAAAGAUGGCACAGAGAGACAUUACUUUGGUAGGCCAACUAAAUCUGCUUAACUGAAAAUUUGGAGGGCAAGUAAAUCUACCAACUUAUUCUUUCUAAUUCAAAGUACAAUUCAGACAUGAGAUCUCUUGUUUCUUGCAACAGCUAGAGCCUAUUUUUGUCAAAUACAAAACUGCAGUACCGUUUGGCCCCAAUACCUCUUUCAAUUGCCAAAAAUCAACAAAGAUUAACACUGUAAGUCACAAAAUUGUGAGAUUACCUCAAACUUUGCAUUCGGUUCCGAACGCCAUUCUAUUAGCGGCAAAGCAUCAAUGGUAAAGCAGCAACCAGGAGAAGAACAAAAAUAUAAAUGACACCUUGAGAUUCUAGAAUUCGCAAACCAUGUACCUUGAAAUUAAACUGAACCAAAAGCAACUCCAUCUACGAGAAAUAAACCUUCACGUACGGAUCGGAAUAGCAAUUCCAACUGUUUGUUUAGCAUGACCAUUUUCUCUAUCGCAAGAAGCAAACAACAGCAUUCGAAACAGGAAAAGCCCUCGGCUCUUUCUAUGGCAGCAAAUUGAAAUAAAAUUUCAUUGACUUGUCUGUCUCCAAAGAACUAAGUAGGAUUUAUUUCUCACAAAUAUAAAGGCCAACAAGCAAACACAACAUAUUGUUAUAUUUCAACUGCCUUCCAGACAAAUACCAAUAAGAAAUUAGCAUAAGCCAAUACCACUUAGAAUAUAAGGGCAACAUAUUUGCCUAAGCUAUGUGUUUUACACUGCAAAGUUUUGUAUCUCACACCGAACCCUACAAGUAGAUAAAUUUGACUCUUCACGAGAGCACCGACAAACUCCCAUAUUUAGGAAAAGUAGCAUCUUUUAUUUGUUAAAGCAAAGAUAAUAAGAUAAAAUGACACAAUAUAACUUGUUAAAGCCUCCAAAGUACUAACACCAAUAACUAAGAACUUAAAAUAAAGAAAAACCAGCAAUCGAAAAAAAAAAAAAAUUUACCACCAUUAUUCACGACCAAACAGCACCUGAAUGGGGAAGGCCUGGUGUAGAGCAUGACAUUCCGCCUGCAAAGCAAAUAAGGAAACAUCUAGUUAUGUUAUUGCAAAAAGACAGAAAAUUUAAACAAACAAGUAUUGCUAAUUAUAUUUCAUUGAUUAGCAUAAUCAUAUAAAGAUAACAUAGAGCAUGUUAUCCAACACUUUAUUACGAAUACUAUCAGGAAGCAUCAGAAACUAUUAUGCAACAAUUGAUUUGCAGGAAAUAAUUAGCAUCUCUUUCUGAAUCUUGUGAGAAUCAGUAAAAGAUAUAGUCCUCCUAACAAUUCAAAAGCCUCAUCCAAAUUCCUAAUUUUACAAGUCCAAGAAAUUACCAAUUUGGACAAAUAUAUAGCUAGCUAAUUGUGGUAGCUGAAAUUUUUUUCAUAAAAAAAAAUUAACACAAUGAGGAAAAAAUAGAAACUUAACAUAAAACAAAGUUGAACAUUGAUGUAACUAAGCAUUGGAAGUAGAAAUACAAGACGAACAGAAUAAAUAAUUUUAGCAUAGGAAACCUCAUUCUCCCUUUCUACAACAUAUCGCAUGUCACAUCGUUACAAAUAUCGAAUUAAAUAACAAAUGCUCUGAUUAAUUUAAAUACUAUAUACACAAACUAUAACCUAACUAUACAAACAAAUAAAUAAAAAUGUACCUCUACUAACUCGCAGUGGGCUUGAGUCUACAAAGAGCAACUCUAAUGUUACGUUGCACCCCAUAAAACACCUUCGCCUGGAAGAUUUUCGGCUCAGCUUCACCGUCAACUGCUUGGAAGGUAACAUAGUACCAAAGUCCUGCUGCGACACUACACGUUGCCUUCUCUAUUUUUACAAACACAUAACUCAUAUCCUACAUUAUGAAAAACAUCAUGAAAUCAAUUUUAUCAAAAAAAAAAAGAAACAAAGAAAAAAAAAAGAAGGAAAAGACAUACACAAGGCAACAUGAACAUACAUUUUCCUUAUUAAAAUGUUCGAUUGCCAAUUUAGUACAUCUGAUAAGAAUUUCAUCAUCAAAAUCCGUGAUCGCCGUAAGGCCAAACUCACAGGUGCCUGGAAAUGGAUCAACAUCGAAUCCCUGUAAAAGACAUGUAUUAACAAUUAGUGAAAAAAAAAAGUUGUGAAGCUUUAACUCUCAAAAAGAAGAUAAUAAUUAUUAAACACCUCGCUUUCCUUGAUUUGUUUGUAAUAUCUAGCCCAUUCUUCGUGAGUCCUACUGCGAUUACCAUUCGGCCAAACGUAAACCUCAUCUUCCUCUGAAGUAUGCUCAUAAACCCUUUGAUCCUUCUCGUUCCCUUUCUCUUCCUCUAUUUCACUUUGGGUAUCUUCCUCCUUGCCCUCUUCCCUCAUCUCUUCGCUUUCUUCCUGCAGUUUCAACUUCUUCUGCAGCGGCCCUUCAGGUAUCAGGUUCUUGGAAUUCUGCCUGUAUCACAAAAUGAAAUAUAUCUAUCAUAAAAAAUUUAAACAAAUUUCAAUCAAAACUAACGACAAUUUAAAAAAAAAAAAUCUUAAAUUGGCUCAAAUAAAAGAAGAAUUUAGCCGAUGCAUACGAAAUAGAGACCAAACAGGGCAUAAUUCAGGUGAUACAUUCCUAGAUUAGGAUUUUCUAAUUACAAAAUAAUAUAUUAUUAUUUUAAAAUAUUUCAGUUGUUUCCAAUAAAGUGUAAUUAGGGUUAGGUUAUAUAAAUGUGUAUUUUUUAUGAUUUGGAGAAUAAGAAGAAAUUGGCCGUGUUGUUCUAUCUUCCCUCUUGUUCUCUUCCCCCUUAUCUAUCUUUAUCUCUCUAAUAUCUCUCUCUUCAGGAGGUUCGAUUCCCUCAAAGUGAUUGUUUAUCUCCGUCGAUACGGUAGAAUCUUGUUCUAUCUCCCCUCCCGUUCUCUUCCCCCUUAUCAAUCUUUAUCUCUCUAAUAUCUUUCUCUAGGAGGUUCGAUUCUCUCAAAGUAAUCGUUUAUCCUUACCGAUACGGUAGAACCGUAUCAUCAGGCCAAAUUUCGUAAAUAAUUUUUUUGAAGGAAUAUUUUUACAAUUAUAAUAUGAUAUAAGUCUACUAAUAAUCCAUCAUAAUCAGAAUAAUCAAAUGCAUAUCAAACGUCACAAACAAACGGCAUUCUAAUCAUUUAUUACAAUCCUAAAUUAAUCAGAGAGCCAAACACAUAUCAAAAUCGCACAUGAAAAAAAAAAAAAAAAAAAAGAAAGCACAUUCUAACACGUGUGUACGGAAUAUGGUAACGAACGAGAUGUAUACCUUUGUCAGGUGAAGACAAUUGUAAUGCCUUGAAGAAUAAAUAGUUUAAUAGUUAGCAGGGGAAGGAAAUAAAAAUGUUAACUUUACAAUCGUAAGACCAGAAAUAAGGGCAACAGCAGCAGGGUGGAGAGGCGAAGAGAUCGGGCGGAAGUAGUAGGCGGAUCGGGCGGUCGGAUUACCGGAUCGGGCGUAAAACGCGGACCCAAGCCCCGCCGGGUUGCGGGUGAUGCGGAGAAUGUAGGAACCGACGCCCACUUACCGUUAUGCAUGGGUCGGGCGAACCGGAGCUCGGAUCGGGGCGAAAUGGCGAACCCAAGACCUGCAGGGUUGCGGGUAGUGCGGAGAAGUUCGGACCCGAGUCCGUUUGCCCGACAACCAGCAGAAGAGAUCAGAAAGCCCGGGAAAGGGCCCAACUAUUAUGAGAUGGCAGCCCACACGAGUUUUUCCUCAAUUUGUCACUUUUGCUGUUUAGCCCUCAUAGACUAGGUGCGUUUUCAGUUUAGUCCAAAUUACCAAGUACUAUAAAUACCAAAGUAUAACGUAAAUAGGGUAUCAAUAAAAUGAAAUAUUGAAUCUGCUUCUUCCCCAAACUCUCUUCUCCUCUAAACUCUUUUUUCCCAACUCUUAUCUCUUUUCUACCUCUCAUCCACAUCAUAUCUAAACUCUAUGUAUUACGAAAAAAAUAUAAAUAUUAAAAAAAGAAAAUACAAAAAAUAUAAGGACGGAACAUAGUGAAUGGACCAUUCACCGUAAUUGAACACGAUGAAUGGUUUACCGUGUCUAAGAAAAAUAUAUCAUUUACCGUGUUUGAAUGCGAUGAAUGAUUCAUGGUAUUCAACUUAUCAACCCUCUAGCUUUUACAAAAAUAAUUUAUAAAAUUUAAAUUUUAUAAAAAUAUAUUUGUUUUUUAUAAUCGGAACGACGAAAAAUAGAUCCAGAAAAUAAUUUAAUACAGAAAAAGAAAAGAUAAGAAAAGAGUACGCCGAUAUUUACGUGGUUCGGCCAACGGCCUACGUCCACGAAAGAAGACGGAGCAAAUACUUUAUUAAUGUCGAAAAAAGCGGAAUACAAAGAAGAUCUCUCAAAAAAUAAUCAAAGCUUAAUUAGAUCGAAACGCCGCAACAAGCAACUCCAAAAUUGGCUUCUCUCUCACCCGUACGACGUAUGGCUAAAUUAAAGUAGCCACGGAUCCUUGACCGUACGAAACGUGGAUAGAUUGGCUUAAUUAGAGUAUGGCUUAUAAUUAGCGGCAGCUCCUGACUGUACGGACCACACGAUCGACAUGGAUUUCUUAAUUAGAGCCCGGCAGCUCGGAAUAAUUAGCACAUGGCAUCUAAUUUUGGUCGCGGCAUCAUUAUAUAUAUAUAUAUAUAUAUAUAUAUUAUAAUUAGAGUCUAAUUCUAAUUAGAUUAGAAUUACAUUCCUAAUUAUAAUUUAUAAAAUAUAUAUGUCAAAUUAAAUUUAAAUUAUAUCUAAUUUUAAAUAAAUUAGAAUUUAACUCUAAAUUAGAUAACUACAAAUCUAAACCAAAUAUAAAAAUAAUUUACUAUAUUUUGGUAACCUGUAUGUAAUUAACCUAAAAAUUUUCGUCUUAUAAUAAGUGGAGGAGGCCAUCAGUAAUUGAAAUUUUCGUCUUAUAAGUGAAGGAGGAGUUGGCGUUUUCUAGACUCUUUCGUGUCUUCGGGAUGUACAAGGCGUGCUCCUUUUCUUGCUAUGACGAACUCCCACAUCACCAAAGAGAGGGGAAAAAAAAAAAAUGGAGGGAGAAAACACAUUUCUCUCUCCUUUGAUCCUUUCCCGGAAACCAAACAUCGCAUUACAGAAUCUGGCAAUGGCGGGGCAUCGCGCUGGAUGGUCUGCUCUUCUUCCGCGGGCUACCAAGCUGCAGCCAUUAAUCCAGACGCGAUGCUGCUGCAGCGACGGCGACGAGGACGACGACGGUCAUUCCUAAUGAUGAUGAUGAUGAUGACGGUGACGAUGAUGAUCUUUAAUGGGGUUUGGGCUUCAUCCGAAGAUGCAUCCUCCGAUGUCAAUGGCAUCGGAUCGUCGUCUUCUUGAUACCUCUCAUGUUUCUUGAUCCUCUCUGAAGUAACUAUCAUCAUUUUUUCUUUUUCUUUUUAUUCUACUUCUCCAUUUCUCUUCUUGAUGCCUCCUCUUCCUCCUCCUUGUUGUUGUUACUGUUACUGUGUUCGUGUUGGUGUUGGUGUUGGUGGUGGUGGUGGUGGGGGUGGGUGGAGCCUACCGUCUCCCCGCCCUAUCCUGAAAGGUUUCAGGAAAACCCACAAAACUUCGCCUUUCGGGGUAAAGAUGUAUAAAACUUUCCGCAACUAUCAUCCUUUUCGAUCUGACUACCUAACAGUUAAAAGUUUGGAUUUUACUACCCGUUCUUUCAAUUUAUUUGAUUUAAGCCGAUUAGUAAGCAACUAUGAAUUAAUUAAAGUAAGCAAUUAGUUUAAAUUUUGAAGUCCGAUUAUCGUUGACUGACUCAAAUCGAACAAAUUGGAAGGUUCGGUGGUAAAAUCAAAAUUUUGGAAGGUUGGGUGGUCGACUCAAAAUGAGGCAUUUAGGAUUUCGCAGUUGGUGCUUGGCAUGGUCAUGGUAAUCUUGGAAGGCUCUGCUCUUCUGCAGGCAACCACUUUUCCAUGCGAUGUCUUGUGGUGUAUUGCAAUACUGUGUUUCGUACCAAUUUUUCUGUGCGGGUGUUUUGGAGCGGAAAUUGGAAAUCAUGGUAGAUCCGACUGGAAACCGUUGGGUUUGCUUAGACUUGCUGAAAUCACUUCAAACCGGUGGAAAUCAAUUCAAACCACACCUGCUAAUGUUUCCAAGGAUUUACAUGUUCUUGGUUGCAAUUUCAUCCAAAUCAGUGAUUUGGAGGAUCCGAAACUGGGUGCAAAGGAGGCUGUGAUGGUUGCCAACCUGGGUGCUAAUGCUUUGUCCAAGCCAUUUCUUCUUUACCCAGUGUAUACAGCGAAAACAGCUCUUUUAAUAUCAUUUCUUCUUCGGCAAAUUGGAUGGUCUGCUAAUUUAGCAGGCAACCUUAUGCUAGCAUCCAUUGUUAUGGUGCAUGGAUUUUAUGAUGCUUUCUGAGUAAGGCCGGGGAAAUGGUUGUGAACAAACAAAUUGAGGCUUUCGGUGGGUCUCUUGCUGUGUCAUCAACCAUAAUAUUGAUUAGCGACAUAUUGCCGUUCACUCAACUUAAUUGGCUUGUGAGACUUGAUAGCAACAAUCAAGAAAGUUCGAGUCGAAAUUGCAACAAUUAUAUUUUGAGGACUAAAGUGUUACCUGCCUCAUUGUUUGAGGACCAAAAGUGUAAUUUAGCCUUAUUUUAUCUAACAAACCACUGAGCAGGUAAGAAUUUUCUUGCUAAAUUGCAUGUUUGGUCCUCAAACAAUGUGUAACACUUUGGUUCUCAAACUUUAAUCUGUUACAAUCUAGCCUGAACUUUUUGAAUUGUCGCAAUCAUGUCCUGCAAUCCAAUUUAGAUGACUAAAUAUUGAUGCAUCAUUGAUGUAAUAGUGAUGUGACAUUUUAUUUUUUGUCGCAUCAUCAAUUACCAUACUGCUACCGUCACUUUCACAUUACCGACAUAUCAAUAUUUAGUCAACUAAAUUAGAUUAUAGGACUUGAUUGCAACAAUUCGAUUCAGAAAUUACAAUAAAUUAAUGUUUGGUCCUUGUCAUGCGUCUCAAAGUUUGAGGGCAAAAUGUGCAAUUUACCCUAAUUUUCCUCAUCUCAGUGGCAGCUCUCAAUUGGAAGGUCUGCUGUUUUGCAGGCAACCUUGUUCUGUCAUUUGUCUUCAAGGUGCAUAAGAAUAAGACUAUCAUGAUGCUUGUUGAUAUGAUCAAAUGGCAUGUUGGACCCUCUCUUUCCUUUUGCUUGAAACAUUACUUCUACUUUCUUUUCAGCUUUUAAUAUUUCUCAUGUCGACUGUCCGUGUGUCCUCAUGCUGACUGUAUGCUUCAAUCAGACAGGCCCUUAAUGUUUUAUGCAAUGUUAAGUUUUUUUUUUCCCUUCAUUUUACUUGUCAAAGGAGGCUGUGAUGAUUGUCGGUUGGGAAUGCACCUCAACUUAUUUUAUCCCGGCUUUUGCUUCUCGGCGGAGUACAGAAGCUGAUAAGGAUAAUGGAUAUAAGAGGCAAUAUAGUCAACUCAAACCUAAGAUCUUGGUUGGGUUUUGACAAGUCGUGUGGGAUUUGAAUCUGGUUUGUUGGCUUGCUUUGUCCUUUUACAACCCUUGGAAGCCUUUCACUUCGUUCAUUUGUGGGAUAGACAGCAUCUCAGUGGGUGGUUUUUGGCUGACAUAAUGCACCAGGUACAGGCAAUAAUUUUUCCUUUCUGGGCAGCUCGUGAGGCCAACAAUACACCCCUCUAGCAGUACUUAAUUGGAAUGCCUUGCAGGCAAGCCUAUGCUGUCACGUCUUUAAGGUGCAUGAGAUUACAAGAUCCCUCAUGUGGUGAUUAAGCCUCCAUUUUAUUUUCCUACUUCCUUUUUAGCUAUUGAGAUUUGGUUGUUCACGUUUUUUUUUUCCCUCUCGCUUUCUUACUGCAUAUAGAAGCUAGGAUGGGUUGUUUUAAAUAUUCCUUACAACCCGUUGAAACACGACUUCAUGCUGGUUGAUGGUAAAUUUUCUAUCCUAUAUGUAUUCAGACCUGUGGCAACUUGUUAAUUUUUCGGAUUUUGAUAAGAACUAAAUAUAAGAAAGAUUUGGAUGCUAGGUAUAUAAAUAUUUGGGUUAAUUUCUUCAAUACCCUCCUUAAAGGUUGUAAUUUCAUAAAGACUCCUUCAAAUUGUAAAGGGUUUAGGGUUUAUGCAUUAUUGCAUGCAUACAUCUCUCUCCCCCCCCCUUUGUAAUCUGGUUCUUGUAAAUUUGCAUCUGAUCGACAUCAAGUUUCUAUAUUUAUUGGGUUUCUUUGCAUUUUAAAGUUAUACAAAAUUGUUGCAGGGCAUGCGAUCAAAACGGUUGCUCAAUCAAUAGCUUCACUUGAGCCCUAUUAUAUUAUUUGAUAAAGUUUUGGGAUUUAUUUGUUAAAAAGUAGAAGUUUUAGCACCUGUUUGCAAAAGUGUUAGAGUUUGGGGGGGGCUUAGAACAUUGUUUCAAUUAUUAAUGUCUACUAAAAAAAUGCAUGUUGGGCGAAAACGUUGCAUCCUUUUGGGCUAUUUAGGGAGGCAAAAUACUGUGAGCCCUCCAAGGACGGAUGUGUGGGUAUGCCUUUGAGGCGUUACGAGCUAGAGAGCCUAUGUUUGGGGAAAAACAGUAAGUACUGGGCGUGCUACCUUCUUGCUGUAAGCUCCUCUGUCUCUUCACUCCCACACUGAGAAACCAAUCACCCCCUUAGAGAAUCUGGUAUUGGCAGGGCAGCAUUGGAUGGUCUGCUGUUUGUAGGCUACUGAGCUGCAGCCAUUAUUCCAGAAUUGGUUCGUCAACGACGGCGGUGGCGAUCAUUAUGUGGCCAUCAUUUAUAAUGAUGAUGAUUAUCAUCAUCAUCUUUAAAGGGGCUUCGACUUCAUGUGAGGAUGCCUCCAUUUUCGUCGGCAUUGGAUCAUCAUCUUCUUGACAGCUCUCAUAUAUUUUGAUCCUGGCUGAAGUAACUAUCAUCGUUUUUCUUGUACUUAUCCAUUUCUUUUCUUGAUGCCAUUUUGUUGUUAUUGUUAUUAUUAUUAUUGUUGUUGUUAUUGUCAUAGUGGUGGUAUGGAGUUGACCAAGCCUUCAUAUAUAUAGGCUAGGGCUACUAUCCUAUUAAUAGGAUAGUAGCACUUGUCCUAUCAAAUUGUUCUUGAUGAUAGAGAUUCCGAAUCGAUGAUCGGAACCGUUGAAGUUGAUCUAGAGUACUUGAAAUAUCUAGAAACUAAAUUUAAUAAAUUUUAAAAAUUAUUUACAUGGUGAUCAAACUAUCAAAGUGUCGAAAAAUCGACAAUUUUUGACGGCCUAUAUGAGCCGUUUGCUUGUUUAACGGUGUAGAGCAAUCCAAAUUACUUGAAUUUUUGAUAAAAAAAUUUUUAUACUAUUUAGAUAAUGUUUGAUAACUCUGAUUAUGAAUUGAGAAAAUCUAACCUCUAUUUUAAGAAGGUUAUUCAUUUAUGACCGUUCAUUUUUUAACUCUUAAGAUGAACAUGAUAAUGAUUUUUAAAUAUUACAAAAUUUGGUUUCUAAACAUUUCUGAUUGUGUAGAUCAAUUUCAACGGUGCCGAUUAUCAAUUUGAAGUUCCGAUCAUUCAAAACGACUUGAUAGGACAAUAGCUCCAAUCCUAUUAAUAGGAUAGUAGCUGGACUCUCUCUCUCUCUCUCUCUAUAAGUUAUUAUAUAUAUAUAUAUAUAUAUAUAGAGCUAGGCUGGUAUACUAUUGGUAGCACGGAGGCCACCGUGCUACCAAGUUGUUUUCAAUGAUGUGGCUUCCAAAUCGACGAUCGGCUCCGUUAGACUUCUACACUAUUGAAAGUAUUUGGAAGCUAAAUUUCAUAAUUUUUCGGUAUCAUUUGCCUAGCAAACGAGUACUCUAAAAAUGAACGGCUGAAAAUAAAAAUCUCAUAAUAUUGGAAGGCUAUGGUGCUUUUAAAAGCACCAAGCACUUGGUCCUUGUAAGUUUCCUAUUGUUAGAUUUAUCUCUUUGACCAAUUCCAUCCCUAAGAUUAUGCUAUUCCACCAACCACCUGCUCAACUCUCGGGGACCACUAUUAUCCUAACCUACAAAUCUUCAUCCAAGACCGAAAACCUACAAGCACCAAUGACUUGGCACUUUUAAAAGCAUAGGAGCUCAAUUCUGUCUAUCUAUCUAUGUAUACAUAUAUGUAUAUAUACAGUUUGUGUGUGGGGAAUAUAAGGGGGAAAAAAACAGCAAUCAUACCACAUGAGGCAUAAAGUUUUCAGCGGUAGGUGCAUGGCAUGGUAAUAUUGGAAGGCCUUGCUUCUCUGCAGACAACUAUUUUUCCUUGAUGUCUUGCUUAGACUUGCUGAAAUUAUUGAGAACUAACUUAUUAAAGCUUUCAAUGAGUCUCUUGCCGCGUCAACAACCACUACACUGUCACAUUACUGUUGCAUUAGUGAGACAUUACCGAAAGUAAGUUGGCCUAUGAGACUUGAUUGCAACAAUCAAGAAAGUUUGAGCUAGAAAUUGCAGCUAUUAUGGUUUGAGGACCAAAAGUGUAAUUUAGCCUUAUUUUAUAUAACAAACGACUGGGCAGGCAAUAAUUUUCCAAUCUCGGCUACCUAUAACUACACUCAAUUGGAAGGUCUGCUGUUUUGCAGGCAACCUUGUUCUGUCGGUUGUCUUCAAGGUGCAUAAGACUAUAUGAUGCCUCUUGAUAUGAUCGAAUGGCCGGUCGGAGCUUCUCUGUCCUUCUACUUUAUUUUCAUCUGGUAAUAUUUCUCAUGCUGACUGUCGAUGUCCUCAUGCUGACUGUAUCCUUCAAUCAGACAGGCCCUUAAUGCUUCAUGCAAUGUUAAGGAAGCAUCUCUCCUUUAUUUUACGUUUCGAAGGAGGUUGUGAUGAUUGGCAGUUGGGAAGGCACCUCCACUUAUUUUUUCUUGGCUUUUGAUUCUUAAUGGAGUGCGGAAGCUGAUCGAAAUACUGGAUAUAAGAGGUAGUAUGGCCAACCCUAAAAACUGUACUUUUGCAAACACACAAAAAAAAAAAAAAAAAAUCCCCUUUCAUGAAUAACUGUAGAAACGGAUGGUCUGCACUUUUGCAGGCAACCUAGCAGUUACAUGCCGUAUUUUGUGGUUUGUAGUUUAAGCCAUUUCUUUACGACAUCAUUUGCCUAGCGAUCAAGCGGUUUCAAAUACAUCGUAUAUUAGACAUUAAAAUUGUUGAUUUCUGGACCACUUGACUACUUAGCAAAUGAUAUCCAAGAAUGAUGAAGUUUGAAACCUAGAAAGUUGAAAUAUCCUAGAUCAUGUUUGACGGUGUUAAUCGUCUAUCCGGAUGCCCCAUUAUCGGAAAUGACACGGAAGUAAGCUGUACUUGUAGAAGUAUUCUAGCCUCUCUUUUUCUCUCUCUCUCUCAACUUUCUAGGUUGAAAUAUAGAGCAAAAAGUCGGUGGUGGCACUAUUAUGGAUCAAUAGGUUCUAGGGUUCACUUCUUGAAGUAUCCCCCUGCUCUCGCACCCCAAAAACACACACACACACACAAAAAGAAAAAAAAAAAAAAAAAAAACUCAAAAUGUAGUUUCUCGUGGAAACUUGCUCCUGCUUGGCAUGCUAUCUUGAACGGCUAGCUCCGAUGCAGGCAACCAAUAUUUGCAUCUAUACAGGGGAUUUUAAUCCUCAGUUUGCUAUUUUGAAGCAACAAGUGUUGGAUACAGUGCACCAGAACUGAAGCAUUUGACUGAAACGUAGCUUGGCAAUCUUUGGAAGGCUUGCAAUUCUGUGAGCAACCAUUAUGCAGCUGUUUGUGUAGUUCUGUGAAGAUUCUGGUGAAAAGGGCAGAUCUGAGCCACCUCCCUUCUAAGCAUCGUCAUCGUUAAAUUAUGAAAAGCUUUCUUGUACUUUAUCCUCUGUCACAAUUAUCUAACUGCUCGAGAAAGAUGGACUGUAGACAACCGUCCGCUUGUAGACAUCUUUGACUCUAUGGUAAACAGUUGCGACAUGUUUGUUGGGUGAAUGAAAGAAAUGUUGAACAAGAGGGUUGUGUGUCGAAAGAGAGACUAAAUUUGCACUUUGGUUGUGUGCCAGAAAUGGUCUGUGCUGCUGUUUAAAGCUGCGUUCUUAUGUCUUUCCAUGUGGCAGCUGUGAUGAUUGCCUAUGGAAGCAUCAAAACCCUUGAACAUUAGACUACACUUUGAUCUGCACAGUGUGGCAACUUUUGGACGGCUUGUUUAGCAAGCAUCCAUUUUGCGUUUGUAUGUGUAGUUCGCAAAUGCUCAUAAAAAUGGGGUGAAAACAUGCAUAACUUAUCUGAACUAUGAACAUUUCAAGAAAGGCAGAUUGUAGACAACCGUCCGCAUGUUUGUUGUGUAGACAUCUUAGACUCUGUGGUUAACAAUUGCGGCAUAUUUGUUGGGUAAAUAAACGAAAUAUGUUGAUGGUCAUGUGUUGAUAGAGGCUCUAAAUUCGCACUUUUGUUCUGCACCAGAAAUGAGCUGUGCUGCUGUUGAAAGAUGCAUUGUUUCCUCUUUCUAUGCGGUGGCUGUGAUGAUUGCCAUGUAUGGAUGCACCAAAUCCCUACAACAUUUGACUAAACUUUGAUCCGCACAGCUCGGCAACCUUCGGAAGGCUUGUUCUGCAAGCAUCCAUUUUGCUUUGUAUGUGUAGGUUUGCAAAUGCUCGUAAAAAUGGCAGAUCUGAGCCCCAGCAUCUAAAUCUCUCCUUUUCGUUGUUUAGAACUAACAAUUUUUUACCCCUAGCUUGCUCUUGUUUAAAGAAUUUCUGUUUGCUAAAUUGCCUCUUGCAACAAGGUGGUUAGUUGAUAAGAAGAAAAAUGUUCCUUUAUGUCAAUGUAUGUUUGAAGUUUAGUGUUGAUAAUUACACCACAGUUGGAGGGGGUUUGGCAUAUCUUUGUAUUUAAAUAUGGCCAGCAGGAAGUGUAGUUUUUAACAGAGUAUUAGACCUACCUGGCAGGAACCUUGGAUGGCCUGCUUAUAUGCUGGCAACCAAUUUUUGCUGCUGUAAGCUGGAGUUUGUACCCAGGUUCGUAUUAUUAGUGUUGAGCAUCACGAUGUAACUUUUUGUAGUUCUACAGAGCCGAAGAAUUGCUCUUUUGUAUCCUUCUUCCUUAGUGGGUAAUCAAAAUUUCCACAAAAUUUGAACUUCAAAUCUCACUUCUUUCAAGUUUAUCCCCAAACUGGUUUUCUAUAAAAAUAAACUGAACAUGGGACUUCGGCAAUGCUGGGGGAUCUCAUAGGGGUGACACGGUCGAAUACAGUUGGAUUUUUGACGAAACCAUAUCUGUAUCCAUUUCGUAGGCUAAUUCGGAUAUGAUGAUGUCGGAUUCGAUCGGAUUUUAUCCUAACCAUUUUCACCCCUAUUUGUUGUACAUUUAUUCAGAGGCAAAAUACUCUGAGCCCUUCAAUGAGGGAUGGGCGGACGGAUGGAUGGACGGGUACAUCGCUAAGGUGAUGUGAAAGAGAGAACCCUGCGUUGGGGACAAGCAGAAAUGCAGGGAUGCUCCGCUCCCUUCUUCCUGUAAGCCCCUCUGUCUCCUACUCUCUUCCGCCCCAAAAGAAGGGAAAGAAAAAAAGAAAGAAAAAAGAAAGUCAUUUGUCUCGUUUUCUUUCUCUUCCUUUCCUUAAGAAAAGUGUUUUUAGGUUAGACAGGGAAUGUGGUAAUGGCAGGGCAGUUCUGGACGGUUUGCUCUUCUGCAGGCUACUGAGCUGCAGCCAUUACUCCGGAAAUGCAUUGGUGGGAGUGACGACGGUCAUUCAUAAUGAUGAUGAUGAUGAUGAGGAUGAUGAGGAUGAUAACCUUUGUAGGGGCUUCAUCUUCCUCUUGAUACCUCACCUAUCUUCUUGAUACCUCACCUAUUUCUUGAUCCUCGUUAAAGCAGCUAUCAUUUCCUCCUACUUCCCUUCUUAAUGCCCUAUUGUUGUUGUUGUUGUUGUUGUUGUUGUUGUUGUCAUUAUUAUUAUUAUUAUUAUUGUGGUGGUGGUGGUGGUGGGGGUUGGAUGGAGUCUACCAUCUCCCUGCCCCUUCGUAAAAGGGGAAGCUUUCGUUUCUUGGGGUUGACCGAGCCCACACAUAUAUAUGUGUGCGCGCGCGCGUGCGCUUUUAGAAGCAUAUACUUUGAACUUUGGACCCUUGGAUCCCUAGGGUUUACUAGUUAGUGAUGGUUAUAGUACGGAUCCAAGGGCUCAAAAGUUUAAGUUGUAACUUCUCAAAGCAGCAUAAGCUCUAUUCUAUAUAUAUAUAUAUGCACACACACUGUUGGUGUUUGAGGGUUUGAAAAAAAAAAAAAAAACCAGCAGGAACAAUUCUAGAUGAGGGCUAAAGUUUCAGCAGAAGGUGGAUGGCAUGGUUAUCUUGGAAGGCUCUGCUGUUCUGCAGGCAACCAUUAUUCUAUGUACGAGAAGAGAUAUCUAUUCCUUUUUCUCAUGCAAUACUCUGUUUGGUGCCAAAUCAUUAUAGAAUUGAAUAUAUUUGCAAUUCCAUGAGGGCAUUUGUGUUGCGGAAAAUGCAGACUAUGGCAAAUCUGACCACAAACCAGAGAAUUUGCUUUAUCGGAAAUAAAUUUGAAGUACACCUGCUAAUGUCUCCAAGGAUGAACCAGUUCUUCUUGGCAAUUUCAUCCAAACCAGUGAUUUGGAGGAUUCCAAACAGGGAAUGAAUGAGGCUUCGAUGAUUGCCAAUCUGGUUGCCCACAGUUUGCCCUUGCCGUUACUUCUUUACCAUUGUACAGUGUAAACGGCUCUUUUAAUAUCAGUUCUUCAGUAAAUUGGAUGGUCUGCUAAUUUAGCAGGCAACCUUUGAAGCUUUUGAUGGGUCUCUUGCCAUGUUAUCAAUCACAGUACUUCUACAAAUCGGAAGUCACAACAAAUUAAAGUUUCAGGACCAAAGUGUCACCCGCCUUAUUGUUUGAGGACCAAAUGUGUAAUUUAGCCUUAUUUUAACUUACAAAGCACCCAGAACAAAAAGAAAGCACCGGAUUUUUUUCUUUUUUUCUAGAGAAGCUUUCAAUGGCUUGCGAUGCACCUGGUGUAGGCAAUAAUUUUCCUAUCUCAGCUGCUCAUUAGGGCAACUUUGCGGGAUACCUGUAGCAGAACUCAAUUGGAAGGUCUGCUGUUGCAGGCAACCUUGUUCUAUCAUAUGUCUGUAAGGUGCGCAUGGCAACAUAAUGCUGAUCGAAUGGCAGGUCGGAGCCUCUUUCCUUCUUCUCUCUUUUCAACUCUCAGUAUUUCUCAUGCUGACUGUACGAAUGUCCUCAUGUUGACUGUAUGUUUCAAUCAGAUGCGCCCUUAAUGUUUCAUGCUAUGUCAAAGAAGUGUUUCUCCUUCAUUUUAGUUGUCAAUGGAGGCUGUGAUGAUUGCCAGCUGGGAAUGCUCCUCAACUUCUUUUAUCCUUGCUUUUGACUCUUGGCGGAGUAAAGAAGCUGAUCGAAAUACUGGAUAUCAGAGGGAAUACAGUCAGCUCAAACCAAACAUGUUUGUUGGGUUUUGACAAUUCUGGUGGGAUUUGAAUCUGUUUUGUUGGUUUUCUUGGUCCUUUUACGCUCCUUGACAGCCCUUUGCUUCGUUCAUUUGGGUGGUCUUGGCUGACAUGAUUCACCAGGUGCAGACAAUAAUCUUUCCUUUCUAAGCAGCUAUAAGGCCAACAUUAGCUACCUGUAGUAGUACUUAAAUUGGAAGGUCUGCGGUCUUGCAGGCAACAUUAUGCUGCUAUGUCUUCAAGGUGCAUAAGAUUGCGGGACCCCUCAUAAGAUAUGAUUAAAUGGCAUAUCUGAGCCUCCAUUUUCUUUUACUACUACAUUUUUUGCUAUUUAGUGGUACAUUGUUUUUCUUUUCUUUUCUUUUCUUUUUUUCUCUGGCUUUCUUGCUGCAUGUAGAAUCUAGGAUGGGUUGUUCCAUAUUUUCCUUAUCAACUUCCUGGAACUCUGCUUUAUGCUGGUUGAUGACAACUGGAUAGUUGUUCGGGGGUCUAUUUCAAAAUGGCCUAUAGUUGUGGGCAAGGAUUUAAGUGCCGUGGCAUGGGGUCGUGCCGGAAACUUGUCGGCAUGGUACAGCACGGUGCAUGCCGAGCCGUGCCGAUGCGUGCCGGUCAAAAAAAUUCUUGUGUGCCAACACAUAAUAGCAUGAAAUAUUUAUUUUCUUUAGCAACAAAAUAUUCUAAUUAUUUAUUAUGUUUUUUAUCACAUCUUUUGAACUCUAUUGAGGAAAUUACUUACUAAUUUAAAGAAUAGAGGUUUUUGAGCUGUGCCAUCGGCAUGGGGUCUGUAUCGUGCCGAUAUCUUGUUGGCACGGUGGAUACGGCCCGUGCUAACGGGCACUUAAAACCUUGGUUGUGGGGAUCUUCAUACUAUUUGCCCUUCUCAAUAUAUUUGAGGGUUAUCCCAAUAUUGUGAUUUAGUCCUUGAACCUUUUCCGUGAGCACUUGUCCCUUAUCUUUCAAAUAUUCUUGCAAUUCGUCCCCGGCCAUCACUUUGGUCCAUAUACUGCAGGCAAGAUCUCUGAUUAGCACUUUACAGUGUAACUUAAUCACUAGAGGAUUGGCGCGUGAUUCGUAAUUGGGGGCAAGAAGAAGUACAGGGCAUGCUCCCUCCUUUGUAUAAGCCCCUCUGUCUACUUUCUCUUGCACCACAAAAAGCAAAAGAAAAAAAGAAAACAUUUUAAUGUUGAUAAGGGAUGGUGAUAAUACUUUAGGCUUCGGCUUCAUUUGAGGAUGCCUCCUAUGUUGAUAGUGUUGGAUCGCCAUCUUCUUGAUUCCUCUCAUAUUUCUAGAUUCUAGCUGAAGCAACUAUUAUCUUUUUUUUUUAAUUACAUCUCCAUUUCUCUUCUUGAUGCCUUAAUUUUUUCUUCUUCUUCUUCUUGUUGUUAAUUGCUGCUGUUAUUGUUAAUUUUACUAUAGUGGUGGUGGUGGUGGUGGGUGGAGACUAUCGUCUCCCCACCUCCUCCUGAAAGGGAAAACCCAAAAACCUUAGCUUUUCAGGUUUGACCAAGCCUUCAUUUUUGGUUUUGGCUGUAUAUAUAGAGAGAGAGAGUUUGCGAUUAACUUUUUAACCCUUGGAUUUCAGCAGUAGGCGCAUGGCAUGGAAUUCUUGGAAGGCACUACUCUUCUACAGGCAACCAUUUUUCCAUGUGAGGUCUUGGAUGUACAAGAAGAUAUAUCUACUCCUUUUCUAAUGUAAUACUCUGUUUGGCACCAAAUUGUUAUAUAAGUGAGUAUAUUUGCAAUCCUGUGAGGGCAUUUUUGGAGCAAAAAUGCAAAUUAUGGUAGAUCCGACCACAAACCAGUGGAUCUGCCUAGAAUUGCUGCAAUCAUUUGAAACCAUCGGAAAUCAAUUCAAUCCACACCUGCAAAUGUUUCCAGGGAUUAAUGAGUUCCUGUUUGCAAUUUCGUUCAAAUCAGUGAUUCAAAGGAUUCUAAACAGGGUGUAAAGGUGGCGGUGAUGGUUGCCAACCUGGGUGCCAACGGUUUGUCCAAGCCGUUUCUUCUUUGCCGAGUGUACAACGUAAACAGCUCUUUUAGUAUCAGUUCUCCUUUGGUAAAUUGGAAGGUCUGCUAAUUUAGCAGGCAACCUUUACCACCAUAUAUUAUAAUGGUGCAAGAAUUAUAUGAUGCCUUUUUAAUAAAGUGGGGGAAAUGGUUGAGAACAAACUAAUUGAGGCUUUAGGUGGGUCUCUUGUGAUGUCAUCAACAGCAAUACUGCCACAUUACUGCUACAUAUGUGAGACAUCACCAUCCGCUCAACUAAAUUGGCCUGUGAGAUUUGAUUGCAGCGGUUAAGAAAGUUCGAGACAGAAAUUGUAGCAACUAUAGUUUGAGGGCCAAAGUGUUACCUGCCUCAUAGUUUGAGAACCAAAAGUGUAAUUUAUCCUUAUUUUAGAUAACAAACCACUGAGGGUGAAAAGACAGCGUUUUUCUAGGAACUGGCUCCUGUGAUGCACCAGGUGCAGGCAAUAGUUUUCCUCUCUAUGCUACGUGUGGCAGCACUCAAUUGGAAGAUACGCUGUUUUGCAGGCAACCUUGUUCCUUUGUCUUUAAGGUGCAUAAGACUACAUGAUGCCUCUUGAUAUGUUCGAAUAGCAGGUCAGAGCCUCCCUUUCUUGCUUUCUUUUCAGCUAAAAUAUAUCUCAUGCUGACUGUCCAUAUGUCCUCAUGCUGACUGUCCAAAUGUCCUCAUGCUGACUGUAUGCUUCAAUUGGACAGACCCUUAAUGUCUUGUGCAAUGGUAAGGAAAUGUUUCUCCUUCAUUUUACUUGCUAAAGUAUGCUAUGAUGAUUGCCAAUUGGGAAGGCACCUCAACUUAUUUUAUCCUGCCUUUUGACUCUCUGUAGAGUGCAAAAGCUUAUUGAAAUGCUAGAUUUAAGAGGCAAUAUAGUCAGGUCAAACCAACGAUCUUGAUUGGGUUUUGAUAAUUCGAGUGGCAUCUGAAUCUAGUGGUUGGUUAGCUUGGUGCUUCUACACCCCUUGAGAGCCAGUCGCACGCUUGUAUGCUGAUUCAUAUGUGGAUAUCCAAGCAUGCAUCUCUCUUUCUCUCUCUCUCUCUGUCACGCCCCGGUUCCUUGGAGGGUCACCCAUUCUAGAAUUACUCUAGCCCUAUGUUUGCUCAACCCUCUUAACUUCUUGGGCUUAGCCACUGCUCAAAAUGCUAUAGCUAGGUUUAGAUGUUUAUACCUUAUAUAUAGAACUUCCAAAAUGCUAUAGCUACUCUAGAACUACUCUAGCCCUAUGUUUGCUCAACCCUCUUAACUUCUUGGGCUUAGCCACUGCUCAAAAUGCUAUAGCUAGGUUUAGACGUUUAUACCUUAUAUAUAGAACUUCCAAAUCCUAGGGGUGUCACAUUCUCCUCUCGGUUACCCCCUUCCCUUUUUUAGGCUCUGACGUCCUCGUUAGGCUCAAACACACUCACAAGAACCGUCGAUGUGAGACUCGUCUUGCUAGCUUUAGCUAACCUUGUGGGGAGCCGCGUUCCACCCACAACGGCCAGGAGAGCUGUGCUUUUGCUCGUUUUAUGACUCUAGCUCAGCCAAGGCUCACCUGACACUUAUGGUUGGUGAUUUGCUUCGAUACCAACUGUGACGCCCCGCUUCCCAGAGGGGUCAUCCAUCUAAGAACUACUCUAGCCUUAGGCUCGCUCAAUCCUCUUAACUUCUGGGCCUAGUCACUGCUCAAAAUGCUAUAGCGGGGUUAAAAGGUUUAGCCCUACUAUAUCUUAUAUAUAGAACUAUUCCAAUCCUGAGAGUCUCUGUCUCUCUCCCCCUCUCCCCCCUCUCCUUAGGGAUGUCAAUAGGUAUGGAUACCCGAAAUUUUAUCCAAAUCCGAACUCGAAUAAAAUGGAUAUAUUCGAUGUUAAAUGGAUAUGGAUUUGGAUAUGGAUAUCAAAAAUAGAAACCCGAUGGAUAUAGAUUCGGAUAUGGAUUUUGAUUGUACCCGAAUUUAUUUUGUACUUUAUAUAUAUAUAUAUAUAUAUAUAUAUAUGUAUGUAUGUAUAAAUUUGAUGUUAUAUUUGAAUUUGUAUUUUAAAAAUUUAGAUUUAACAUAAUAUAUUUUGAAAUAUUGAAAAAAUAAAUAAUUGUUUUGGGUUCAAAUUUUCGGGUUCGGAUUCGGGUUCGGGCUUCGGAUUUUCGGUUGGGUUCGGGUUUGGACAUGGAUUUUUAAAAUCCGUCGGGUUCGGGUUCGCGUCUCGGGUUUGGAGUGGGGUUCGGGUUCGGGUUCGGGUUUUUGAAAAUCCGCCCCGAAUCCGACCCGUUGGCAUCUCUACCUCUCCCCCCGAUUGUCUCAUGCCCUAAUGACCAUUUAUAGUCAUAAUCUAUUUCAAAUAAUUUUGGAUUCGAUCAAAUAUCAUAUUUCUAUUUGUUAUAUAAAAUUAUGUGCAAGGCAUGUGAUCAAAACAGUUGCUCAAUUAGUAACUUCACCUGAACGGAGGGGUUCACUAAACUAUUUGAUAAAGUUUAUGCGGUUUUGUUUCCAAAAAGUAAAACUUUAGGCUCCUGUUUGCAAAAGUGUUAAAGUGCGGAGUACCAAUUUUUGAUGUUUGUAUAUCUAAAAUCAUUUUUUUAAAAUGUAGCUGGUAAUUGCCAAGCAGCUCUGGACUGUCUGCUCUUCUGCAGGCUACGGAGCUGCAGCCAUUGUUCCAGAAAUGUUGUGGCGGCGGCGGCUGCAGUUGGUGAUCAUUCAUAAUGAAGAUGAGGAUGAUGAUUAUAACCUUUAAAGAGGCUUCUACCGCAUCUAAGGAGGCCUCCUACAUCGAUGGCAUCUGAUUGUCAUAUUCUGAUACCUCUCAUAUUUCUCAAUCCUCGCUUAACUAUCAUCAUUUUUUUUUCUUCUACUUCUCCAUUUCUCUUUAUGGUGACUUGUUGUUGUUGCUGCAGCUGCUGGUGUUCUUGUUAUUGUUGUUGUUGUUGUUGUUGUUGUUGUUGUUGUUNCCAUAUCUCUUCAUGAUGACUUGUUGUUGUUGCUGCAGCUGCUGGUGUUCUUGUUAUUGUUGUUGUUGUUGUUAUUAUUAUUGUUAUUGGGGUCGCGGGGUUGGAGGUGGGUGGAGUCUGAAUGUCUCCCCGCCCCUUCCUGAAAGCCGAAACUUAGAAAACUUCGCUUUGCUGGGUUGACUAAGCCUUCAUUCUUGGUUCUGGUUAUAUAUAUCUAUAUAUAUAUAGAUAUAGAUAUAGAUAUAUAGAAACAGCUUGUAUUUGGGGGACAAAAAGGACAAAACAAACAGCAAUGAAACCAAAUGAGGCGUUAAGUUUACAGUAGUAGUUGCAUGGCAUGGUAAUUUGGAAGGCUCUGCUUUUCCGCAAGCAAUCAUUUUUCCAUGUCUUUUCUUUUUUAUACUUGGUGAAAUGGUUGAGAACAAACUGAUUGAAGCUUUUGGUUGUCUCUUGCGAUGUCAUCAACCACAAUGCUGCCACAUUACUGCUAUAUUAAUGAGACAUCACCAUUCACUUAACCAAAUUGGCCUGUGAGACUUGAUUGCAACAAUCAAGAAAGUAUGAGCUAGAAAUUGCGGCUAUUAUUGUUUGGGGACCAAAGUGUCACCUGCCUCAUAGUUUGAGGACCAAAAGUGUAAUUUAGCUUUAUUUUAUCUAUCAACCCUUGGAACAGGCAUUAAUUUUCCUAUCUCAGCACUCUGUUGGAAGGUCUGCUGUUUUGCAGGCAACCUUGUUCUGUCAUUUGUGAUGCCUCUUGAUGUGAACGAAUGGCAGGUCGGAGCCUCUCUGUCCUUCUACUUUCUUUUCACUGUUGAUAUUUCUCAUGCUGACCGUCCAUAUGUCCUCAAUCCUCUUGCUGACUGUAUGCUUCAACCGGAAGGCCCUUACUGUUUCAUGCAAUAUUAAGGAAGUGUUUUUCCUUCGUUGUACUUGUCAAAGGAGGCUGUGAUGAUUGCCACUUGGGAAUGCACCUCAACUUCUUUAAUCCUUGCUUUGGAUUCUCGGCGGAGUGCAGAAGCUGACCAAAAUACUAGGUAUAAGAGAGUCAACUCAAACCUGAGACCUUGGUUGGGUUUUGACAGUUCGGGUGGGAUUUGAAUCUUUUUUUUUUUUUUAAUUUUAUAUUUUAGUCCUUUUACACCCCUUGAGAGGCCUUUACGUGGUUCAUUUGUGGGAUAGACGGCAUCUCAGUGGAUGGCUUUUGGCUGACAUGAUCACCUGGUGUAGGCUAUAAUUUUUCCUUUCUCAGCAGCUCAUAUAACCAACAUUAAGUACCUGUAGCAGGACUUAAAUUGGAAGGUCUACUGUCUUGGAUGCAACAUUUUGCUGUCGUGUCUUUAAGGUGCAGAAGAUUGCAAGAUCCCUUGCGAGAUGAUUAAGUGGCAAAUCUGAGCCUCCAUUUUCUUCUCCUACUUUCUUUUUAGCUAUUAGGAUUCGGUGGUACAUUAUUUAUUUUUCCCAUUUUUUCUUUUCCUCCUCUGGCCUUCUUACUGCAUGUAGAACCUAGGUGGGUUGUUUUCACAUAUUCCUUAUCUACUUCCUGAAAUGUGACACUCUACUUCAUGCUGGUUGAUGCUAAAUCAUUUAUCCUGUAUGUCUUCAGAUUUAGGCAACUUGUUAGUCUUUUAGAUUUUGAAAAGAACUAAAAACAGAUAAAGAUACGGAUGUUUGGCAUGUAUAUCUGUAUAUUUGUAUGCUGAUUCAAAUGUGGGUAUCCAACAUACUUGUAUAUCUACUUUUCCAUUUCUCUUCUUGAUGCCUUGUUGUUGUUGCUGCUGCUGCUGUUGUUAUUCUUGUUAUUAUUAUUACUGUUGUUAUUGUUAUUGUGGUCGCAAUGGUGGUGGUAGAGGUGGGUGGAGUAUCGCCUCUCCGUGUCACGCCCCGAAACCGCUAUCAAUUUGGUCCGGCUCGGGCGCGUCGAACAGACGCCGAACGGACAGAACCUCCCCUCCAUUCUAGGCUCAACAACAAGAUCAUGUACGUUUUUGUCGCCCAGGAUGACAUACAACAUACAUGAACAGUACGAAGCACCGCAAGUGCUACACAAUUAAGAGCAAGACACAAGUAAUAAAAUGAGUGGUAUAAAGAGAGUAACAUCUAGCUAUUACAUCCACAAGGCAUUCAACAUUUAGAUCCUUGAUUAUAUUUACGUCUCCAAAAUGAAUAUUCAUGAUAAUCUCCAAAAUACCCUAGCAAUCUCCCAAAAUACAUCAUAUGUCACGGGGUGCACGAGGGUACACUAAUGCAAGUGGAAGCUGCUAACUAUACCUAGGGCGCGAUGCUCUUACCACGAUCCUCUGCCGGUGCUCUCUCGCUAGGCCCUGCAACAAAGUGGGGUGAGAACUAUAUAAAUAUAGUUCCCAGUGGGUUCGGCCGCCGACUCCGCCGAUCUUCCCACUAGGUCUAAGCAGGCAUAAGCAGAUAGAUAUCUGUAACUGUAAUUGAUGCAUAUAGAAGGAAUUGCAAGAUUCUACUAUGCCUGGAGAACAAGAGUAAAUCACAUAGCCAUGUAAUCUCUAACAUGCUAUAAUAACUCUAUCAAGUAUACAUGCAAUUCUACUAUGCCCAGCAUGCUCAACAUACUCAAUAUGCUUACUAUGCUCAAUAUGCAUAAUUCUCUUGAGUUCAUCACCCAAUCAUCUGGCUAGCCCAAAGGCGCGCCCUCGACUCACAACUCAAAUCCGUCUAUGAAGGGGGACUCGAACCACUCGAGGGAUUGUCUGCGGGACCCCACAUAGGCUAUCCCUUGGGACCCCACAUAGGCUAUCUCAAUCGUUUCACGUGCCAAGACUCCGAAACUCGCACUACUUGUGCGGAGCGACCGCCACAAGCGCUGAACAGACUGUGUGAGUAUAAUCAAAUUCGUUUCCAACGAAGGUACCCGGUCACUACGACCUACAUGCACAAGUGUUCUUUUAACACUACGUUCUAAUGCCACUCGUCAAGUUGUUUACUUGGUAUACAUAUGACACUCGUCAAGUAUGUACUUGGUUCACAUGUCACUUGCCAUAAUGCAAUUGUCCCGACUAUACUAGUCAUAUAUCCGCUAUGCAAGAUCAAGUUAUUGUCUAACUUAUCUCUAUAGGGUUCUAUGUCACAAACUCAUUCUCAUGCACCCUAAGUUCACAUGCCAAGCCUACUAUGUCGCAAUACAAGGGAGCAUGCAAGAAUAGUAAAAGUAACAUCUAAAUACCCUAACAUGCAUGAUACUAUAUAUGUAGUAUGUUCAACAUAGAAAUACUUAGACAUAGGGAGAAGCCCAGUUGCUUCGGGAUGACACCCCCCACCUCUUGGUGAUGUCCUGAAGUUACGAUUCCGUUUCCAAGAUUUUUGGAAGCUUUCGCCGCAAGUUGCGGCAAUCUGUACCCUAACGGCUUCGUUCUUUAAUAUCUUCGCGUACGCUCGUCGUAUCGCCGAACCGAUUUCGCCAACGCGUCAGAAAAUCUAGCAAUUAGGUUUAUACAUGAUCAAUUUAGAUCAAAACCUCACAUAUCGAAAAAUUCUAUUUUUGAGCCCUAACAUGCAAUUACCCCCAAAUAAUCCAAAUUAAAUGGAGCAACAUGCUAAGAAUGCUCAUUAGAGGCUACUAGAAUACUUAAAGUUAAGGAUUAAGCCAAAUCCCAAAAGUUUACCAAAAUGUGAACGCCGAGACGGAAGCACGCCGCUCCAACGGGCGCACGAAAGCUCGAUCCGUCGCUCCCGACGCGUUCGCAAGCUCGUUCUCCGCCAACGCCGCGAAUUUGGGCGAAAGAUCUAGAGAGAUGAGAGAGUUAUUUAGAGAGAGAAAGUGAGGAUUUCUCUCACUACCACCAUGAACAUGUGCUUGUGGGGGUGGUGCUUGGCUGUGAAGAAGAAGCCAAGUCACUAGAAGCUUCUACUUAUAUAGUCAACACCCCAAUAUAGUCAACACCCCAAUAGUAGCAUACACUAUUCACUUCAGGCAGUUCGAAAUCUGAUAUCUUUCGCCGGAGCCCUCUGAAUAUCCGUUUGAGCUCAAAUUUGACAGUCAUGUUCGGAUUUGCUUAACUUAACGAAAGAAAUUUUAAUCUUUCAGUUUCGACCUCGUUUGGUCACCGAAAGCCGUACCGAACUGUAAUCUUUAUCAGAUCACUAUCGGAUUUUAUUUUUCACCUUCCGGAUGUCAGAAUGAUAUGAAACUUUAAAUCUAGCCUCAUAAAAAUAAUUUUGGCUUAUCCUCCAGUUUUCAGAAUUUUCUGACACUGCAUUUUCUGCUAAUUUAUCUGCCCCGUUUCACACAGAAAAUUCUAAAUCUUCUGUUUUCGCUCUGAUUUCAACACGGGUCAUUCCAGACUUAUAUUUUAUGUCUAUAAGUCCAAUAAAAUAGUAUCUCACACUAUUUUUAUUUAUAUUUAUUUUUAUAUUAAAAUUUCAGCAUAUUACAUCCCACCGUAACUUCAUAAUUUAAGAAGUUCGGUACCUUACAAUCCGCCCCUUCCUGAUGGGGGAAACCCACAAAAAUUUGCUUUUCGGGUUGACCAAGCCUUCAUUCUUGGUUCUGGUUCUAUAUAUAUAUAUAUAUACAUACAAACUGUUUGUAUAUAGAGGAAAAAAGAAAAAGAAAAAAGCAACAAAACCAAAUGAAGCCUUAUUAAGGUUUCAGUGGUAGGUGCAUGGCAUGGCAAUUUUGGAAGGCUCCGCUUUUCUGCGAGCAACCAGUUGUCCAUGUGUUGCCUUGCUUAGAUUUGCCGAAAUGGCUGAGAACAAACAAAUUGAAGCUUUCGAUGGGUCUCUUGGUUGUCAUCAACCACAAUACUGCUGCAUUACUGCUACUUUAGUGAGACCACCAUUUACUCAACAAAAUUGGCCUAUGAGACGAUUGCUACAAUCAAGAAAUUUUCGAGCCAGAAACUGCAAGUAUUAUAGUUUUGAGGACCAAAGUGUCAUCUGGAUCAUAGUUUGAGCACCAAAGUGCAAUUUAACCUUAUUUUAUCAAACGAACCAAGGAACAGGCAAUAAUUGUCCAUCUCACCUGCCUGUGGCAGUACUCAAUUGGAACUCAAUUGGAAGGUCUGUUGUUUUGCAGGCAACCUUGUUCCAUCAUUUAUCUUAAAGGUGCAUAAGAAUACACGAUGCCUCUUGAUAUGAUUGAAUGACAGGUCAGAGCCAACUUCUUUCAUACUCUCUUUUGUUAUACUUGUCAAAGGAGGCCGUGAUGAUUGCCACUGGGGAAUGCACCUCAGCUUCUUUAGUCCUUGCUUUUGAUUUUUCGUUGGAGUGCAGAAGCUGACCAAAAUACUAGGUAUAAGAGAGUCAACUCAAACCUGAGACCUUGGUUGGGUUUUGACAGUUCAGGUGGGAUUUGAAUCUGGUUUUUUUUGGUUAUUUUGGUUCUUUUACACCCCUUGAGACGCCUUUGCAUGGUUCAUUUGUUGGAUAGACAGCAUCUCAGUGGAUGGCUUUUGGCUGACAUGAUCACCUGGUGCAGGCUAUAAUUUUUCCUUUCUCAGCAGCUCAUAUGUGACCAACAUUAGGUACCUGUAGCAGGACUUAAAUUGGAAGGUCCACUGUCUUGGAUGCAACCUUUUGCUGUCGUGUCUUUAAGGUGCAGAAAAUUACAAGAUCCCUUGCGAGAUGAUUAAGCGGCAUAUCUGAGCCUCCGUUUUCUUCUCCUACUUUCUUUUUAGCUAUUAGGAUUUGGUGCUACAUUCUUUAUUUUUCCUUUUUUUUCUUUUCCUCCUCUGACCUUCUUACUGCAUGUAGAACCUAGGUGGGUUGUUUUCAAAUAUUCCUUAUCUACUUCCUGAAACAUGACACCAUACUUCAUGCUGGUUGAUGCUAAAUCAUUUAUCCUGUAUGUCUUCAGAUUUGAGGCAACGUGUUAGUCUUUCAGAUUUUGAAAAGAACUAAAAACGGAAUAAAGAUUCGGAUGUUUGGCAUAUAUAUCUGUAUACUUGUAUGCUGAUUCAAAUGUGGGUAUCCAACAUACAUGUGUAUCUACUUUUCCAUCUCUCUUCUUGAUGCCUUGUUGUUGAUGCUGCUGCUGCUGUUGUUAUUAUUAUUAUUAUUUUUGUUAUUAUUAUGGUCGCAGUGGUGGUGGUGGAGGUGGGUGGAGUCUAUCGUCUCUCCACCCCUUCCUAGGGAACCCACGAAACUUUUCUUUUCGGGGUUGACCAAGCCUUCAUUCUUGGUUCUGGUUAUAUACAUACAUACAAACAUUUUGUAUAUAGAGGAAAAAAGAAAAAGAAAGGAAAAAAAAAGCAACAAUAACAACGAUACCAAAUGAAGCCUUAAGGUUUCAGUAGUAGGUGCAUGGCAUGGUUAUUUUGGAAGGUUCUGCUUUUCUGAGAGCAACCAAUUUUCCAUGUGUUGUCUUGCUUAGACUUGCCGAAAUGGCUGAGAACAAACAAAUUGAAGCUUUCGCUGGGUAUCUUGGGAUGUCAUCAACCAUAAUACUGCUAUGGUAGUGAGACAUCACCAUUUACUCGACCAAAUUGGCCUGCGAGACGAUUGCAACAAUCAAGAAAGUUCAAGCCAGAAAUUGCCAGUAUUAUAUUUUUGAGGACCAAAUUGUCAUCUGCCUCAUAGUUUGAGCACCAAAAGUGUAAUUUAGCCUUAUUUUGUCUAACAAACCACAGACACAAAACAGGCAAUAAUUUUCCUAUUUCACCUAUGUAAUACACUGGAUCUUAGCAAAUUGCAAGAUUCGAGUGUUUGAUCUGUGUGUGGAGCCUUUCCACAGUUUUUGGAGGGUCGUUGAUAGUGUUCCGACCCCUGGCACGCACCCCGAGGAUGUUGGUUUGAGACUUGGCACCAAAAUUUCAAAAUUGAAAUUUUUAGUCAGCUCUCGGAUAGCCUGCAGCAGAGCUUGUACCGGAACAAGAUUGGUCUUGUACCGGUACAAGGUUGAUGGUUGUACCGGUACAGCCAUCGGGCUUGUACCGGUACAGAGCCGCAGACUCCGCAACCCGAGCCUCGGGUUUGCAUUUUCGCAGGGCUUGUACCGGUACAAGGGCCCGUGUACCGGUACAAGGUGGCUGAUUGUGUGCAGUUUGAUACUGCAGGGGGUUUUUCGCGAUUGUAGCCUAUCUAUAUCAGCCCCCACGCCUUUAGGGACUCUCCCUGAGCUGAGACCAGCAGGAGUUGAGGUAGGAGGAACUCUCUUCUUUCCUUUGCAUUUUUACUCCUUUUGCUUGGUUUUUAUUGGAUUUUCUCUCCUCUAUUUGCAUCUUGGUGGCUUCUCCACCAUUGUUGAUGGCUUAAAGCUUGGAGAGGAGCUAGUGGCCGCGGAGAUCUUCAACGUCACUUGGAUUGGAGCUAAGUUUGGAACUUCUUGAGAGGUCAGAGACUUGAUUUCUCCCUUUGAUCCUUGAUUUGAGGUUUUUGUGAGAUCAAACCCUAGAAAUGAAAAUUUAGGGUUUAUUUGGGCAUUUUCGUUUUAGGGCUUUUGAGGCUCAAUCUCUUGGAUUAGAGCCUUCCUCUAGGGUAGAUUGGAGGGGUUCUAACUCUCAUUUGGAGCUUGAGAGGAGAUCUUUGCAUUUGAGGUGAGUUUUCCUCACCUAUGCUUGCAUAGCUUAUAGAUUGAGCUUAGCAUCAUUCGUUUCAUUUAGGUGACACUUGUUUUCAUACCUCUAGGAUACUAGGAGGUUAGAGGACACCUUCGUCGGAGCAAACGAAGGGCUUCGUUUACCGUUGGUGGUUUUGACUUCAUGAAAACGGGGCGAAAUGGCCCCUAUGCCUCCUAAACUCUUCGUAAAGUAUUUUUAAAUUCAUUUCUAUGCUAAAUAGAAUUUAUAUGAAUUUUUGAGCACUUAAAAUGCAUGCCUUGUGUAUUAUGAAGAAUUUCACUAUAUAGUAGAGCUAUAUGAGUAGAAUGCAUGCAUACGGGAAAAGUGUUUAUUUUGCAAGUGGAAAAUACAUCUCUUAUGAGGAGUAUGACUUGGGACAUGUACUUUGGAACAUAGUUGCCAUGCUUGGACAUAGAGAACAAGAGUGUCAUCAAGGGGCACUUGAAACUAGUAAACUAUUAAAUUGCAAUAUAGAGACAUAUUGAUAGGCCACUACAUAUCUGCUAUAUUCCAUGUUAGAGACAUGAUGACAUAGAGAUAGGCCACUGAGAUACUUGAUAUAUAUUCCAUGUUGNUUUAGCCUUAUUUUGUCUAACAAACCACAGAACAGGCAAUAAUUUUCCUAUUUCACCUACCUGUGGCAGCACUCAAUUGGAACUCAAUUGGAUGGUCUGCUGUUUUGCAGGCAACCUUGUUCCAUCAUUUAUCUUAAAGGUGCAUAAGAAUACAUGAUGCCUGGAUAUGAUCGGAUGGCAGGUCAGAGCCUCUCUUUCCUUGUGCUUUCCUUUCAGCUAUUAAUAUUUCUCAUGCUGACUGUUCAUAUGUCCUCAUUCUGACCGUAUACUUCAAUCAGACCGGCGCUUAAUGUUUCAUUCAAUCUUAAGGAAGUGUUUCUCCUUCAUUUUACUUGUCAAAGGAGGCUGUGAUGAUUGCCAGUUGGGAAUGCACCUCAACUUCUUUUAUCCUCUCUAUUGAUUCUCGGUGGUGUAAAAGCUGAUCGAAAUACGGGAUAUAGGAGGCAAUAUAGUUAGCUCAAUCCUUAGAUCUUGGUUGUGUUUUGAUAAUUCGGGUGGGAUUUGAAUCCAGUUUGUUGGUUAGUUUUGUCAUUUUGCUUCCCUUGAGAGCCUUUCGCUUCGUUAAUUCGUGGGAUAGACAGCAUCUCAGUGGGUGGCUUUUGGCUGACAUGAUUCACCGGGUGCAGGCAAUAAUUAUUCCUUUCUCAGCAGCUCAUCAGGCCAACAGUAGCUCCUGUAGCAGUAGUUAAAUUGGAAGGUCUGCUGUCUUGCAGGCAACCUUAUGCUGUUCAUAUCUUUAAGGUGCAUAAGAUUACGAGAUCCCGAUCCCUCAUGAGGUGAUUGAAUGGCAAAUCCGAGCCUCCAUUUUAUUCUCCUAGUUCCUUCUUAGUUAUUAAGAUUUAGUGGUACAGUAAUUUUUUUGUAGCUAUUAAUAUUUAAUGGUACACAAUUUUUCUGUUUUAUCUUUAAUUUCUCAUCCUCUGGCUUUCUUACUGCAUGUAGAAUCUAGGAUGGGUUGUUUCAAACAUUCAUUAUCAAUCCCCUGAAACCCUACUUCGUGCUGGUAGAUGAUGACUAGAUAGAAGUUUGGGGGGUCUAUUUCAAAAUGGUCUAUAGUUGAGGGGAUCUUUAUCCUAUUUAUCCUCUCAAUAUAUCUGAUGGUGAAAAGGUGUUGAUAGUCCCUGUCGUGUCCCAAUACUGUCCCAAUAUUGUGACUUAGUCCUUGAACCUUUUCAAUAACACUCCUCUCUUUCAUCUUUCUUAUAUUCUUGGAAUUUCAUCUCUCCCAUCUCUUUGGUUCAUAUGUUGCAGGCAAAAUCUCUCAUUAGAACUCUGCAUUGUAAUUUAAUUACUAGAGAGGAUUGGCAGGCGCGUGAUCAGUAAUUAGAGGCAGCUCUGGAUGGUCUGCUGUUCUGCAGGCAACCUAGCUUGUACCCAUUUAUCCGGUCAUGGCUGGGGUGGAGGAGGUGGUGGUAGUGAUAAGGAUUGGAUGUAUGUGGGUUCAUAUGAUCCUCUUCUCUGAUUAGGGUAUCACCAUUGCUAUCUUCGCGGCACUCACUUAUUCUCUUGAUCAAAGUUCCUGUAAAGGAUAUCCUUCGUCAUUUACUUCUAUUUCGCAAUUCCUGUUCCUUGAUGUGUUUCGGUAUUUGUGGAAGUUUCUGUUGAUCAUCUUCAAGAGAUGCAGAAUAACCACUUUUGUGGAGUAAAGCUUCUCUCCGCGGUCUUCUGAGAUGUAUACCCAUGAAAUUUUGUGCCUCAGGGUUGAUGAAUGGCUAAAAAUCAAGCUUUUUGAUUUUGAUUGUGCAUUCUUCAUAUGGGUUUAAUUGGUCAGUUAGCUUGGUCCAUUGACACCUCUAAUCUGAGCCAUGCUUCAUUAAUUCAUGGGAUGGAUGACAUUGCCGUUGGUGGUGCAUGUCUGAUCUUGUGCACCGGGUACAGGCCAUAAUUUCUCCUAUCUCUGCAGUCCAUAAGGUCGGCGUUUUGGGGUUCACAUAGCAAUGCUCAAUUGAAAGGUCUGCAUUCUUGCAGGCAACCUUACAAAGUCAUUUGUCUUUAAGGUGCGUAAGACUACAUGAUGCCUCAUGAUAUGAUUGAAUGGCAGAUCUGAGCCUCCCUUUUCUUCUUGUUUCUUUUCAGCUAUUAGGAUUUAUUGUUGUCAUUUUCUUCUUCUCUGUGUUUGUUUCUGCAUGGAGAAGCUAGAUCAUCAAUUCCUAUUCCCUGUACUUUUCAGUGGUUGAUGAUCAGAUUUGAGUUGGUGACUUGGUCGGCUUAUUUCAAGAUGGCCUGUAGUUGAGGGGUCUUCAUACAUUUUACCUUUUUAAUAUGGGUUGGAAUAAGAAUCAGAUAUUAUUUUUCAUCCGAGGCUGGUGAUAUCGGUGACUUUAUCUGAGGAAUAAGAGCUAUUUAUAGUCCCUGUACUAUUCCGAUAUUGUAAUUUGGUCCAAACUACAUCUCCACAACCUUCACUUCGGCACAGGUGUAGUUUCCUAUUAGACCUCUGCAGUGUAAUUCAACCACUACAGAGGUUCCAAGUGUGAUCUAGCAAUGGUGAGGCAGCUAUGGAUGGUCUGCCUUUCCGCAGGCAACCUAGCUGGACCCCUUAAAUCUAAUCAUGAUCUGCCAUGAAGAUAGCAUGCCAGUGUAGCUUCAUCUUUAAGACUCUUCCUCUGUUGAAAGUUUGGAGUGCCAUCUUCGUGGUACAUUUGUUCUCUUGAUCCUGUUAAGAAUACUAGUCCCAUAUUCGAUACUUAAGCUUUUUGGAUUGGUCCGAGACUUUUGGCAUAUCCAACUUCUAGCGAGGGAUAUUUUUAUCUUUUUUUUUUUUUUCAAUUAUUCCAUCUGUCCUUCCUGAUGCCUUUGAUUAUUUGGAGAAGGCGGUAAUGAUUUCUAGCAUGUUGCACAUGAGCUUUCUUCCAAAAUGUUAUGAUUAUUCUAUCCCAGGCUGUAGAAUAUUGAUUUUGCCAAUUGGACGUAGUGGAGGAUGCCGGUCAGCGCGUGUGCGGAGCCUAAAUGAGGUGAAAACGUUUUGGCGCGAAAUGGACGCAAAAACGAAUGAAUAGGGUCAAUCUCUUAUUAUGGAGGACCAAAUCGCAAAUAGACAAAGUUUCGGGCUAAGUUGCAAAAAGGGCAACUUAGUGGAAUUCCACUAAGAGCUCUUAACCUUAUUUUACUGUUCUUUCACUAUUCUGGCCUCCAGUAGACCUAAUGGGAAGAUCGUGGUUAUCGUCGACCGUAUCCACUGGGAACUACUGUUUAGUAGUUCUCACAUCCUUUUGUGGUUUACUUUUGAGGGGUAGGUAUACUGACGGCUGAUCGAGGUGAGGGGGAUCGCGCAGUAGAUACCAUCUCCUACCAGCAUGCCUAGACAUGAGUGGACUACUAGAUAGAGUGCUACUCUGUACUACAUGCAUGUACUGGUGAGGGCCAGGGCUUUUUUUCUUGUACUUUUCUUUUGGGGUUGAGUUUUAUUUGAUAUAGUACAUGAUGUACAGUAGUUUAGUUUGUAGAUAGCGCUCUGAUACUUGUCGUUUGCUUAUUCUGUACUUCAUGUUGAUUCCUGUGUUGUGGAAACUUCUCUAGUGUGACCUCUUGGAAUCCUUUGUCCUGUUCAGUUAUGUUGACGUUUCGUUCAGGCAGGAAAAAACUCUGUUCGUUCGGCGAGUCUGUUGACGUCCCCAUAGGCUUCCGCUGUGGACUUGGGGCGUGACACAGGCUUCCUGAGAUUCAAAGUUUGAAACCCUUGAAAUACUGCUUUAGGUUUCAAAUCUUGGAAGGCUCUGCUUUUCCAGCAGGCAACCAGUUUUGCAUUCAGGGUUCAACCCGUUUUUUCGAAAUUUUUUUUUUUUUUCCCAUAUUAUAUCAUUUCUGACAAAAAGGUUGUAUCCAGUAUUUGAUUUGUGUCCCCAGCUAAGCACUCAUGGUUUCCAACACUGCUCUCCGUUGAAUGUUUGUAUUUGAAUUUGUACUUGGAGAAGUAUGGAAAUAGUCAGUUGCUAUCUGAACAAUAUCCGACCCAUUUUCAUCCCUAGUUAUGUGACAGGUAGUGAUCCUAGUAGAGUCUAGAGACACUGAAGAAGAGAUAUAGUCGUUUCUCACCCUCUAUCAGCGUCUAGAGAGUCUAGAGAGUAAGAGGGAAUCGUUAUCCUGAAAUUUCUUUCCUAAUGUCCAUAUCAGUGUCUCUUUACGUUUUAAUCUUUCUGCUGUGGAAAUCUUAUUUUAGAUUGCUUUACUUCGCUUUCUCGUAUGUCCUGCAUCUAGGUAAUCUUCUUAAUCUAUGUUGUUAGAGCCUUCUUGACUGUCUCUUCUCUCUCUACUUGGGUUCAUCCAUUAACCAGAUAGAAUUGUCCUCUUCUUUUUCUGCAGAAUGUGUUUACCUAAACUAUGAACAAAUGAUAUACAUUUUUUUGUUUUUUCAAUUGACCUCUGAAUAUUGACUUGGUUUCUUUGAUUAAUUAGUUAGUUCACUGCAGUCGGCUUUUUUUUUUUUUUUUUUUUUUUUUUUUUUUUUUUUGGUUUUUGGUUUAUACAUUCUGUUUCCAGCAUAUUUUUUAUAUUAAUGGCUUUACUGUUUACUGUUUUCUGAAUUAGUAUUUUGCAGUUGACAUUUCUCUCGUAUUCCCGUUUCUUUUUAUUAUUUUUGUUAUUAUUGUACCGUUUUGUGUUCUUUCAACAUGCUUGUACAUCUUUCUUCUCUUAUUCUUCUAAUCCCUAGCUACCAUUUUACCAUUGAACCCUGAAUUCUAAACCCUUGGGACAUUGUUUGGUUCAUAAGUGGAGUGAGAAUGGAAAAUAGAAUGACAAACCAUCAACGAAUGUUUGAUUCAUUAUUGACCAAAAUAGUUGUAUAAUUAGGAGGUUCACUUAGAGAGCGGGGGUGUACCGAGUUAUUUAAUAAAAUAUAGUAGAGGACCUACUCGGCAAAAAUAAUAGUUUACGCAGUUAUUUGCAAAAUAACUAAAUUUUAAUUUUUAGGAUGUCUCUGAACAUUUUUUUUUCCUUUAUGAUUUUUUUUUUUUGGCAAUGUUAACUCUACAACGCACCCGUUUUAGACUGUAGAUCUUAUAACUAGAUUAUCCAAAAAGAUAAUCAACUUUGUGCCCUUAAAAAAGAGCUAAUUUCCUCUGUAGCUUUAAAAAAUUAAUAAUUUUUCAUUUACCUUUUAUUUCGAAAAUAUACUCCCGAAAAGAAAAAUUUACAUGCUCCUUUAAAUAUUUGAAAGAAGGAUCAGGUAAAUAUGAAAUUAAUUUUGUAUUGAGGCGUAUAUGAGUAGUGAUAUUAAUGAACACUAAUGUGAUAAUUUUUGUUGAAUUAAUGUUAAAAGUUAAUUAAAAUAAAUAUUACAGAAAAGAAGUUUAGGAGAAAAACCAAAAAUAGGAAAUUACUCCAAAAAUCUCAAAGAAGGAAAAGGAAGGUAAGGAUGUUGUUUCAAAAUAGCUAUUAUUGAGGAGUCUCGACGCUUUUUUGUAUUUGAAAUCAAUGAUUUAAGUGUCUUGGCACGGGAUCGUGCGGAAAUUUGCCGGCACGAUAUGUGCCGAGCCGUGCCGAUGCGUGUCGGUCAAAAAAAUUCUUGCAUGCCGACACAUGGCAACAUGAAAUAUUUAUUUUCUUUAGUAACAAAAUAUUUUAACUAUUUAUUAUAUUUUUUUAUCACAUCUUUUGAACUUUAUUGAGGAAAUUAUUUACUAAUUUAAAGAAUAUAGGGUUUUUAGCUGUGCCAUCGGCACGGGAUCUGUAUCGUGCCGGUAUCUUGUUGGUGCGAUAUGGCACGGUGGAAACGGCCCGUGCCGACGGGUACUUAAAAUCUAGUUCGAAAUGCUGAGUGCACAUGCGGUUGUUACAAAUUAUUUAUAAUUACAAUGUUUUCCACUAUAUCUAAUUAAACAAAUUAUCUAUAUCUAUAUCUCUAUACUUAUACAUUAUUUUCCAUAUAGUCUUGCCACGUAGCGGUCCCUUCUUUAUCUUACCUUCUCCUCUCUUCUCUAAUCACAAUUGUUUCAGCCGCACAAAACCUUUGAUCUUCCAAUCAAUGAACGAUCUUAAACCCACACUCUUCGUUUCCCCACUAAGGAGUUACUAACGCAUUAUUAACUUUAAUAAUUAAUAAUUACGAUGAUCCGCACAAUUAGCACCACUAAAACCCCAUCAUCAUCAUCUCCUCUUUCUCGGAAUCAAAUAUCACACUCUAACAAUGUCCUAUGUUAUAAACCAACUUUUCUAUCUAUUAUUCUUAUUAUUAUUCUCGAACGCGAGGACGAACCCGUCAACGCCAUUCGGGUCGAGCCAUGAUUGUUCAGGCACAUUGUUUGGGUUCAGCGUAUGCUUGGAGUUAGUGGAGGGCGGGGCGAACGGGUCCAAAUCGGGGUUGCUGCUCUGGGUUCGGUCACGUGCUGAGUCGGAGUGUCACGUGCCUCUGUGAGGCCAUACGAGAUAGGCGUACCCGUGAACGUCACCAAAGCUCUCGCUUUGCCCUUGCUUUGUGGGCUCUCCUACACGCCAAUUGUCCUCUGUUACAAAACUAAGAGGUGUAUUUUUUUUUUAUGGUCCAAUUUCACCUGUACAAAUUGCUUUCAUAAGAAAAAAUAAGUAAAAUAAAAUUUUUUUGUACUCUUUUUUUCCCUUUUUUUGGCGCAUAAGAAUGGUUUAUAUUUUGUAAUUUUUUUAAUUUUUUUUAUCUUUUUGUUUUUAAAUUGUAUGUGUACUGAAAUUAGGGUUUUGUGGAUUGUAGAGCAGCAAAGAUAGAUUUGGAGUCAACGAGAGAAAAGAAGUGGAAUCAACGUGGCUGUGACGAAAAGGAGCUCGACAUUGAUAAUGGCGACAAAGGUAAUGUGGAGAUGGGGAUUCGUCUUCCCGAUGUCGGUAGUGAAAUCAAGAUACGUAUGGAGUAAUAAUUCUAUUGCUGCUUCUUUCAUUACUAUUUUUUAUAACUUAUUUAAUGAAAUUAUAAAUUUUGUUACAUUUGUACGUAUAUCUGUUUCAUCUCUUUUAUUUGUAUAUAUGUUAAUAUAUAUUAUUUUUAUUUAUUAAUGUCUUAUGACAAUUCAAAAAAUUUAAAAUUUUUACUUUAUGAAUUUUUUGUCUUUCUAUAGCAUCAAUCCGCCGCAAUGCACGGAUAAUUUCACUAGUAUAUACUUAUAACUGCGGCAUGAGUUGUAAAUCUUAUAUUUCACGAUUUAAAGGCUAAUUGUUACACACUAGUUAUAUCGACAUAAUUUGAUAUAGCUAAUAUGCAGCAUGUAACUCUUAUAAUGAGAUGUAAAAUGUAUACCCAGCUUUUGAGUUUACAGAUUUGUUUGUUAAUUCGCGAAUUAUUCACGAAUUAUUAAAAAUUCAAAUUAAACGGUCCGUUUACGAAUUUUUUUCAAAAAAAAAAAUUAUUAGCGAAUUUUUUGGCCAGCCGAAUAAUUCGCAAAUUAUUUUCGAAUUAUUGAAAAUUUAAAUAAAAAACUUAUAAUUUUUAUGUUUAAAUAUAGAUUAUCUUAUAUUUUAUAUAAAUAUGAGUUCUCUGUUCAUUCUCCCCCCCAAAAAAAAUAUUUAUAUAUAUUUUAUAAUUAAUAAUGGGCUAUUUUAAUCUAUUUCUUGCUUGAUUGUUUAUAUACCAUAGUGUAUAAUAUAAUUCUCUAUAGUUUUUUUUUUUAUUUAAUCUACUUUAUUUUGUAGCUUUUUAUUCUUAGAAUUGUAAAUGUUUACAAUAGUAGUAUAAAUCUAGAAAAAAAAUUGAAGUUUAAUAGGCAAAUUUUUUAUCCCGAAUUUUUAAUUGAUGAACGUAUAAUUUUCGUAUAAAUCACGUAUCCGAAUAAUUACCAAAUCCAUUUUUUAAGUCGAAUUUUUUAACAAAUUAAAAAAAUUAAAAAACGAAUUUUAUACGUAUUAUAACCGUACCGAAUUUUUUCCGAAUCCGAAUUAACUAACUAUGGUUUAAAGGUAGCAAUGCUCUUUUCAUACAUCCUACUUUCGUUUGAUUUAGCCCAUUUUCUAGUAAUACAAUAAAUCCUUCUAGAAAAUAACUUGGAACUAUAUUACAUUUUAAGAGAGUCUGAGACUUAUGCUGGGUUUAUUCCGAAAAAGUUAAAUUGGAGGUUUGGGUUUCAAAACUAUUGAACCUUCUUUUCAAAACAACUUAGAAUAUUUUAGGUAAAGAUAAUACUCUUGUUUUUGAAUUUACAAUAUCAUGUUUUCAUUCUUUAGAAUUUUUUUUUUCAUCGGUCAACUUUGUUUAUUUAAUGUACCCAAAAAUAAUCUUUGAAAAAUAUAAAAUAUGGUAUGUCAUAUUUGACAGUUGUUGACAUGAACGCAUUCUUAAUUGAAAACGAGUUUAUUUCAGUUCAUUAAAAAUUGCUCAAUCUUACAAUCUUUGUGUUAUUCUAUCAUGAAUUCAACUUUGGAGUUAUUUUAUCAUGAGAUUGUUCUGAUUAACUUUUGCUUUUAUUGUUAUCCAUAUUAAUAUUCACAUUUAUUAAUUUCCUCUAUGAAAGUCUUAGAAAAGAGAAAUUUCGCACUUUCUUUACUCUGAGACAUUUUAUUUAGAUAUUUACAAGCAAAUAUACAUUAAGGGUGUGUUUGGUUCGCAUUAUGAAAGAUAACUAGGAAUAAAAGAUAUCCUAGAAUUUUAUUCCUAUUCAUCCUAUUACUAAGAAUGUGGAAUUCAUGUGUUUGGUUUGCACGGUAAUAUUAAUUAGCCAUAUUAUUUAAUAUUACAAAAAAUAUACAAUUUAUUUAUUUAUUUAUUUAUUUAAUUUUAGAUAAUGUUACCAAAAAUUUCAACAUCUUUUUAGAAAAAAAGAAGAGAGAGUAUAAAUUAGAGAGAGAGCGCAUAAUUAAAAAAAUAGAAAGAAAAAUAUAGUCGAAAUUAGAGGAAGUGAGAGAGUUGAAAUUUUAGAAAAAGAGAGAGAGAGCAAGCUUAGUUUAGAGAGAGAAAAAAAAGUUGAAUUUUAGAGAGAAAAAUAAGUUUAGAGAGAGAUAUAAUGUUAGAGUAUAAAAAAAAAUAAUAUCAAUUAGCCGGCGGAUAGGAAGAAAGAAAGAGAUUAGACAUAUUAUGAUUACCUCAAUCCAUUAAUAAAAGGAUAUCCAUCCUCCUCAAGGGAAUGAGAUUAGUACUUUGGGGUGAAUCUUAUUCCUAAGUGAAUCCAAUAUUACCAACUAGAUUACUUAGUGCGUUUAGCCAAACACUGUCAUAUUUUUUUAUUCCCAUUGGAUUACUAGGAAUCUUUAAAACAUAGCGCGAACCAAACGCACCCUAAGAUUAUUGCACUAACAUUGGGUACAUUAAACUUGAUAGAAUACUUUUCUACUACUUUACUCUUAGAACUAGUUGAAAUCUAAUUGACCAAAUCCUAAUUGUUUUAGAUUGAUGGGCCUGGUUGCAAUUCAAAUAAAUUUGUAGAAUACUUUUGUUUAUUUUAUGUCCUGCUCUGAUGGGAUAUUUACUAGUGAUGUGCAACAAUUUUGGAAUAUCUAACUACAACUAUGGAUUCAGACUGACUUGUGUCCAGUUAUGGGUCAGAACUGUUUUGGGUUUUGAUUUUGUGUCUAACUAUGUAUCAAAACUUAACUGGGUCUUAGCUUUAGAUCUGAUUUUUGAGUCUAAUUAUGGGUCAAAACUAAAUUUGCCUUUGAUUUCUGAUCUACUUAUGGAUCAGAAUAAAUUAUAAUUACAUCUAAUUAAGAUUUGAAUGAUUCUAAUAAACGGCCAGAACUGAAAAAGCACUAGUUAUGAGUCUAAUUAGUUAGAGAUUUUACUUAAUGAGAAUCCUAUUUUGCUAAAACUAAGUUAGUGUUUUUCACCUUCUUUAUUCGAAUAAUAAGAUUAUUCUCUAUGAUUUGAAAGCCUAUAUAUUAGCAAAUUAAACAAAGAAAUAAAAAAUUAUAUAAAACAUUACAUAUAAUAAUAAAAUUCUUUCACAUCAAUAUAUAUUGUUUAAAACAAAUUUCACAUACAAAUAAUAUACUAAAUAUGCAUAUUCCACAAAUUAAAAAAACUAAUUAUUUUCAACUACGUAUGCGCCAAUUGCUAUUGCCAUGCGACUCAAAAGUUCGCGCUUUACUUUUGCAUAGCCGUCCGUUCCCCAAUGACUACCCCAAGAGUUUUUUAUCAAAUAAUAUUUGACGUCGUUUUCUACACCGUAUCCAACUAUAGUCACGGAGUGGCUCCCUCGUUUUUUUUCUCCAACAUGAGGACCCAUAUACACAACCUACAUGGAAAAAAAAAAUAGUCAUUAUCAAAUUAAAAAAAGGUCAUUAUCAAAUAUUAUAUUAUCAAAAGUUAAUUAAAAUUUAUAAGUAUUAGCAUAUAAAAAAUUAUUCAUUAUUAAAUAUUAUAUAUCAAAACUUAAAUUUAUAAAUACUAACAUCUCUCGGUAGAUGAGUAAAGCUGUUAUAUAUGUUUAUGGCAGCAGCAAUAGGUCGUUCUCUCAAAAUUUCUUCGAUUUCUCCCUCAUUAUGUCUUCUUUCCAAUUUGCUCUGAAAAUCUUGAAUCUUCACUCUCUGCUUCUUCUGUAAAAAAUAUUUAAAAUUAUCCAAUAAUUAAUAGAUGUAUUAAUACUAAAUAAGUUUUUUUAGUGUAUAAGUUAACUUACAUCUUCAUUCAUUUGACAAUAUUGGCGUCGUGCAACAUAUGGAUUAUCAGCUUCCAUGGCAAUACCAUAUGUUUUGAUGUACUCUAAACACUUGCUAUGUGUGCACUGUAUACAUCCAACGGCGUCUAUAUGUUGUUCACGGGAAGAUGGAUACAUUUCAUGAUAACAGUUUACUAGCUCUUGUUUUGAUAAUUCAAUGAGUUGACCAUACUUUUUUGCAUAUUCUGCUUCAACUAAAGUGGUGGAAGAAAAGGCAUAGCAACAUUCUUCGUAUAAUUCAUUAAAGAAAAAAAACAUUAGUUAAUAAAACAAUAAUGAAUUGUAUUAAUCUCUACAAAAAAUCAUUCUAUUAAGUAUACUUACGACACUCUCUUUGAUUUCCUACGUCCUCCCGAAUUAUAUUAAUUGGCUUGUCGUAAAUCAAAAGAUGCCUAUCAUAUUAAAACAAAGAUAUGAAAAUGAGAAUUAAGAAAAUAAGUAAUUUCUAUAUAUCAAAUAAAAAGUAUAAUCUAUGAUAAUUUUUGUUAUUUGAUAACUUUUUUAUUGGAAAAUUAGGAUAUUCGCUUAUUUUAACGAACUUAGUUUAUUUUACAAAAUUCAUUUGCAAAUAGCUCGAGGUAAAUUAAUUAAAGAAAAUUUAGUAGAAUUAAAAUUAUUAAAAUAUUAGUUGGUAAAUCAAAACUUAAACUAGAUUAAAACUAAUCCUAUUUUAAAUAGGUUUCAUAUAUAUAUAUAUAUAGCUAACGACUCAAAAUUCUUUUGAGUUAUUACCAUGUUAGUGUGGGUUGCGAGGUGGAGUUAGAAACAGACCCAAUAAAAAUAAUCUUAUCUAUCAAAAAAAUGCACUAUAUAAUUUACAAAGUGCAUGGUUAUGUGGGAGUGAGAUUCUCUUCUCACACUUUCAUUGGAUAAAAAUGUGUGAAAGUACUAUUAUACAUGAGAUUUGCAUUGAUACUUUGGCAGCCAGACUAACUAAAUUUAAAUUAUAUUAAUUACCUAAGGUCUCGUUUGGCAUGCAUUGUUGCUGGUUAUAAGAUUAUCAAGAAAAUGCACUUUGUGAUUUACAAAGUAGUUCAAUGUGGGAGAGAGGUUCUCUUCUCACACUUUUAUUGGAUAAAAAUGUGUGAAGUACUAUUAUACAUGAGAUUUGCAUUGAUACUUUAGUGACAAACUAAUGAAACUUAAAUUAAUUAAUUAAGUAAGGUCUUGUUUGGCAUGAAUUGUUGCUUCUCGUUUGGCAUGCAUUAAUUUGUUGCUAGUUUUUACUUUCUUAAAUAUAUAAAAAUUUUAUGUCAAAAACUAUAAGAUUAAAUGAUGUACUACAUGUAUAUGACUUUUGCAUUGCAAGUUAAACAAAUCAUGAUAAGAAAAGAAAAAUCAUCCUACAGAAAUCAAAUUAAGCAUAUGAAAAUAUAUUGUGUUUGAAAAAAAAAAUUAAAAUAAUAUAAAAUAAAAUCUAAAAUAUUUUACUAUAUGCACCGUCUAAUUGAGUAGCUGAUAAAAUUUAAAGAUAACAAUUUAUCACUACUCUAUAAAAAAAUAAAUAUUUUGAAGAAAAUGUGUAUAAUACUAGCAUUCACGUACGGGAUUUGCAUGGGACCAUGGGUACUUCUCCCACCGUCUAAAUUUGAGUAACUAGAGAUAACUAAAGAAUACACAUGCACGUUAACUACUUAGCUUGAGUUAAUUGAGUGAGCUAUUUUUACGUAUUAGCUAAAUUGGUUCAUGAUUCACUUGUGAGGCCUCUUUGGAGAAAUUGUUGCCUGCAACCAACAUAUAAUGAUGCAUGCAUUAGUGGAAGAAUCUAUGCUUUUAGAUGGAUGAGAUGUAUAAGUUGUGAACCUAACAUAUAUAAGUUGCAUUGCUCAUAAAACCAAGUAAUAAUUUCACAAAAAGUUCAAAAAUUGGUAGUACAAUUAAUGUACCUAAUUUUAAAGUUCAAAUGCGCGCACCAGAAUCUUUUAAAAUUUUGCUCAAUCAUCCAAACUUUAAAAGUUUCUUAUUUGUCAUCCAGAACUUUCAAUUCUUUAACAUUUAACUACUUACUUUAUACUUUGUUAAUUUAAACUGACUGACAAUACCUAAAUGGUCAAGAAACAAUAAACAACACAUGCCAAAGCUAUAGAAAGGAAUUUUUUUUUUUUUUUUUUCCAAUGAUGGAAUUUAGUUUUACAGUAAAAAACAUAUUUUUUAUUAUUAACUAUUAAAAAUUAUAGUGAUAUUCUCAGCAAAAGAAAUAUUAAUGAAGUGUGUUUUUUUUUUUUAUUAUUUCUUGAUCAUUUGGCUAAUUAAUAUUAUAGAAACCUUAAAUAUACAAAAUAUUGGAAAUACGUUCUAGGUGAUAAAUAUAUAAUUUCUGUAGUUACAGAUGGUUAUGUGCAUCAGACUGAAAGUGGAAGUGCAAUCAACCCCUAUUUUCAGACCAAACUUUCCAUGAAUAAAUAGAUAGUUUUAAAAUUUUUACAGUAGUAGUACAUCCAUAUAUACUAGUUAAGGACCCAUGCGAAUGCCGCGAUAUAAAAUAUUCUAAUCAUAAAAUUUAGUUAAUUUUUAUUUUUUAUAAAAAUUUAUUAGCUUGUUUUUUUAAUUAAAUAAGUAAUAAUUAAAUUAAUUUAAAUAAAAAUAACUUAAGUUAGUACAUAUACGACAUAAAUUUUUAUAUUAGAUUAUUAGUGAUCAUCUCGUUAAUAACUACAAAUGUAUAAGUGAAUGUGUUAAAUUAUUAAGCUAAUUACAACACAAUUUAUUAUUUUGUAAAGGUAUGUGUAUCAACUAGGAUUCAAACUAGGAACUUCGGGUAUCAAGUAACAAGUCAUUUGCUGCUUGCGCUAGGGACGGUCGAUAAUGACCUCUCAUAGUUGAAGAGGAGAGUUAGGGUGACACAUGUUUUAUGUGCUUUCCUUAACUCUCCUUUCAGAUAUUACUGGUGAAGGCAUCCACAUGUUACAGUGGAUUGGUACGGCAGAAAUAAAUAAAUAAAUAAAGCUAAAGAAAGAAAAAAUAAUAAAAAAAAGAGUCAAAGAAUAAAAAUAAAAACAAACUAAAAAAGAAGCAGCAACUAUUGCAGUAAAAGUAUAAGAAUAAAAGUAUAAGAAAAGUAAUAAAAAAAAAAAAAGAAUAAAGGCAAAAUAAUAAGAAUAAUAAAUUCAAUUUAUAGCAUCAGUGAAAGUUGAGAAUUAAAAUGUCAUAUGCCUGAGAGUUUGAUUCAGAAAUUGUAACUAAUUAAAGCUUGAGAACUAAUAAUUUGAGCAAGAAAUAAUAAAGCAUUAAAGUUUGAAAAUUAAAGUAUUACGGAUUCUAUAAUUUGAGUAAGAAUUAAUAGCGGCCAUUUGAUAAUCGCCGUUAUCAAAUUAUCGCUAAAUUAUUAUUUUAUUGUAGUGACUGUACUCAUAUAUUUUGUCUUGAAUGAGAAUUCUUUUUAUUUUGGAAGGAUGUUGCAUUCGAUGUGCGAAAAAAUUUCGAGCCCGCUAAUCCCGUGGCGCGUCUUGCCACUCUGGCUCGUUGCCGUCACAUCCUGUCGAGGGAACAAGAAACCGGCAGAUCGCGGAGUUUGCCCACUUUCUCUUUCUCCCUUUCUCCCUAUCUGACUAUUAGGGGUGGAAACGAGCCGAGCUCGAGCGAGCUUAUGUCAGCUGCCGAGCAAGCUUAAUCCGAGCUUUUCGAGCUUAUAUAUAUAUACAUAUAUAUAUCAUCCCGAUAACACGAUAAUCCUCGUGUUGUUUGGAACACAAGGAUUCAAGAAUUGACAGGUAGUUUAAACUAACUACCAAUCCCACUUUCUCUCUUCUCUUUAACUUCUUUUCUUUAAAAGAAGUUAAAGAGAAGAGAGAAAGUGGGAUUGGUGGGUAGUUUAAACUACCCGCCAACUCUUGAAUCCUCGUGUUCCCAUCGGGAUGAGAUAUAUAUAUAUAUAUAUAUAUAUAUAUAUAUAUAUAUUACAUAAAAUUAAUAUAUAUCCAAAAUUAAAUUAAACCCGACAAUAACAACCGAGUAUUUUAUUUGGGUUGUUCAUGUUGGCACGUUAACUCGGGUUGAGUGUUAAAUAUAUUGUGUGAGAGAAAAAGUCUGAAAGUGACAACGUGUAUUGGGAUUUUGCACUAUUGUAAGUUUAAAGGUUUAGGGAUUAAAAAAAGGGGGGGAGAGAGAGAGAAGAGAGAGAGAGUCUGGGAGUGGGUCAAUCCGCCAGUGGGAUCGAGUGUAAAGAACGUUAAUAAAAUAUAAAACUUGAUAACCUGUACAACGUAGUUUAACAUCCAUUACAAGAUAUUUUUAAUUUGAUGACUAAUAUAUUACAGUUCUUAAAGUUAGCCGAGCAAAUCUCGAGCUCGAGCCGAGCUGAGCUUUAAUCCGAGCGAGCUCGAGCGGAGCUUAAUUAAAGUUCAGCUCGAACUCGGAUCUAAAUCCGAGCCUUAAUUAAAGUUCGGCUUAAACNCUCUCCCCCUCUCUCUCGCACGCCACUCUCUCUCUCUCUCUCUCUCUCUCUCUCGCACGAACACCUAUCAUCUUCUAUUGCGCCGUCCUCCCAGGUAAUCAUCACGAUCUCCUUCCCUCCAUUCGUCAUUUCUGUAAAAAAUAAUAUUCAAAUGACCACAACAAGGGUAAUUUUGAAAAAAACUAUACUUUUAUGUCAGGAUUACUAAAUUUUAUAAACUGAACCAAACGUAUUAAUGCUAUAAACACUGUAAUCUAAUAUUACAUUACUGAAUUAAACCAAACGUACUAAUACAGCAUCAGUAGUAAUCUCACGCCGAAAUUCAAGAUACUUGGAUAUGUCGAGAUACUUUGUAAUAUUACAUAACUCGAACCAAACGGGCCCUUAAUAUAAUCAUUCUUCUUCUUUUGCUAUUGUCGUUAUUUUUUUGUUUCGUCUUUUUUCUUCUAAUAACUUUGUUAUUAUUGUUGUUCUUGCUGGUUCUUCUUCUUGGUUCUUCUUCUUUAGCUUCUUUUUUUAUUUUUUUAUAUUUUUACUGCUACUAUAAAUAUAUUUAUUAUUCUUAUGUUUGUGUCUUUAUUCUUUUUUCAUUUCUUUUAUAUUUAUUAUUCUUAUGUUUGUGUCUUUAUUCUUUUUUCAUUUCUUUUUAUGCUUUUAUUCUUAUAUUUUAUUGCACCACCUGUUGCUGCUGCUGCUUCUUCUUCAACUAUUACUUUUUUUCUAAUUCUUUAGUUUCUUUAAAUUUUUUUAUGUUCUUAUUGUUUUUUUCCUUCGGUUUUUUUCUUAUUUAUUUGUCUCCACAUAACUGACUUCCCGCAACGCGCCGGUGUCUUCACUAGUUUUACAAUACCAGCUAGUCUACUACAGACCGUAACCCAAGAACAACUUUUAUAACUUGAGCUCUCUAUAUUACUCUUCAGAUUUGCUAGAAUUCAACUCUUUAAGAGCAGACAACUUAGCAUGCCAUCAAAAUAUCUAGUUUAAUGAUCCGCGUUUUGUCGAUGUCAUAGAUUUCUUUGCAUAAAUACAUGCUUAAUCUGAAAGCGAUAACUUAAUCAAACGAUUUAGUAAUCCAUCAUUCCCAAUUUAAAGAAACCAAAGUUGAUAAAUCUAGUGGAUUAGAAUGGAUUGUCAAACAUGGCCUUCAAAUAAUUAGCUGCAAUAGUUAGGAAAUGCGCGAUAAGAUUGGCAAAGCACAAAACAAACAGCGAGCGAUUUUGUAUCCACUAAACUCCUCUAAAGCUGAUCUAGCUAUUAUGUCCAGAUGAUACAAUUUGGAACUCAGAAUAUGGCAUGUAAAAACAGUUUUCCUAGGGUAAUAAGGUUAACAUGCAAUGGCUAGUAUAACUCAAUUCUUAAUUCUUCACUUAACAACUUGGGACUAACGAAUUUGUCCAGGUCUAAAUCAACAAACCAGAAUUUAGACCGUGCGCAUUUCAAUUUCCGCAACUUGGACCAUUUGUGAACGACAGAGUCGUGCGCGAACAUGUUUGCUUCACAUUAUCAGUUGUUUGGUCGAGAUCUCAGCUGGAAAGUGCAUCUAUAAAGAUAGCANUUAUUCUUUUUUCAUUUCUUUUUAUGCUUUUGUUCUUAUAUUUUAUUGCACCACCUGUUGCUGCUGCUGCUUCUUCUUCAACUAUUACUUUUUUCUAAUUCUUUAGUUUCUUUAAAUUUUUUUAUGUUCUUAUUGUUUUUUUCCUUCGGUUUUUUUCUUAUUUAUUUGUCUCCACAUAACUGACUUCCCGCAACGCGCCGGUGUCUUCACUAGUUUUACAAUACCAGCCCAAGAACAACUUUUAUAACUUGAGCUCUCUAUAUUACUCUUCAGAUUUGCUAUAAUUCAACUCUUUAAGAGCAGACAAUUUAGCAUGCCAUCAAAAUAUCUAGUUUAAUGAUCCGCGUUUUGUCGAUGUCAUAGAUUUCUUUGCAUAAAUACAUGCUUAAUCUGAAAGCCAUAACUGAAUCAAACGAUUUAGUAAUCCAUCAUUCCCAAUUUAAAGAAACCAAAGUUGAUAAAUCUAGUGGAUUAGAAUGGAUUGUCAAACACGGCCUUCAAAUAAUUAGCUGCAAUAGUUAGGAAAUGCGCGAUAAGAUUGGCAAAGCACAAAACAAACAGCAAGCGAUUUUGUAUCCACUAAACUCCUCUAAAGCUGAUCUAGCUAUUAUGUCCAGAUGAUACAAUUUGGAACUCAGAAUAUGGCGUGUAAAAACAGUUUUCCUAGGGUAAUAAGGUUAACAUGCAAUGGCUAGUAUAAUUCAAUUCUUAAUUCUUCACUUAACAACUUGGGACUAACUAAUUUCUUACAAUGUCAUCCUUAAGCAGGAAGAAUUUGUCCAGGUCUAAAUCAACAAACCAGAAUUUAGACCGUGCGCAUUUCAAUUUCCGCAACUUGGACCAUUUGUGAACGACAGAGUCGUGCGCUAACAUGUUUGCUUCACAUUAUCAGUUGUUUGGUCGAGAUCUCAGCUGGAAAGUGCAUCUAUAAAGAUAGCACAGAGAGACAUUAGGUAGGCCAACAAAAUCUGCUUAACUGAAAAUUUGGAGGGCAAAGUAAAUAUCUACCAAACAUGAAGUGAUUACCCCCUAUUCUUUCUAAUUCAUAGUACAAUUCAGACAUGAGAUCUCUUAUUUCUUGCAACAGCUAAAGCCUAUUUCUGCCAAAUAUAAAACUGCAGUACAGUUUGGCCCAAAUAUCUCUUUCAAUUGCCAAAAAAUCAACAAAGAUUAACACUGUAAGUCAUAAAAUUGUUAGAUUACCUCAAACUUGGAAUGCAUUUGGUUCUGAACGACAAUCUAUUAGCGGCAAAGCAUCAAUGGUAAAGCAGCAACCAGGAGAAGAACAGAAUUAUAAAUGACACCUUAAGAUUCUAGAAUUCGCAAACCAUGUACCUUGAAAUUAAACUGAACCAUCAUCAAAGACCAGAAGCAACUCCAUCUACGAGAAAUAAACCUUCCAAAUUGCCCUACCGUUCAAACCUUUAUAUAUGGAUUGGAUCGAAGAACAGGGAAUAAAAAUGCAGAGUUUCCAAGAUCCACAUUUAAUUAACUGUUUGUUUAGCAUGACCAUUUUCUCUAUUGCAAGAAGCAAACAACAGCAUUUGAAACAGGAAAAGCCCUCGUCUUUUUCUAUGGCAGCAAACUGAAAUAAAAUUUCAUUGACUUGUCUGUCUCCAAGAACUAAGUAGGAUUUAUUUCUCACAAAUAUAAAGGCAAACAAGCAAACUCAAUAUAUUGUUAUAUUUCAACUGCCUUUCAGACAAAUACCAGUCAAAAAUUAGUAGAAGCCAAUACCACUUAGAAUAUAAGGGCAACAUAUUUGCAUAAGGUAUGUGUUUUACACUACAAAGUUUUGUAUCUCACACCGAACCCUACAAGUAGAUAAAUUUGACUCUUCACGAGAGCACCAACAAACUCCCAUAUUCAGGAAAAGUAGCAUCUUUUAUUUGUUAAAGCAAAGAUAAGAAGAUAAAAUGCUACAAUAUAACUUGUUAAAGCCUCCAAAGUACUAACAUCAAUAACUAAGAACUUAAAAUAAAGAAAAACCAGCAAUCAAAAUAUAUAUAUAUAUAUAUAUAUAUAUAUAUAUAUUUCCCACCAUUAUGCACGACCAAACAGCACCUGAAUGGCGAAGCAGCCUGGUGUAGAGCAUGACAUUCGGCCUACAAAGCAAAUAAGGAAACAUCUAGUUGUGUUAUUGCAAAGAGACAGAAAAUUUAAACAAACAAGUAUUGCUAAUUAUAUUUCAUUAAUUAGCAUAAUCAUAUAAAGAUAACAUGGAGCAUGUUAUCCAACACUUUAUUAGGAAUACUCUCAGGAAGCAUUAGAAACUAUUCUGCAACAAUUGAUAUGCAAGAAAUAAUUAGCAUCUCUUCCUGAAUCUUAUGAGAAUCAGUAAAAGAUAUAGUCCUCCUAACAAUUCAAAAGCCUCAUCCAAAUUCCUAAUUUUACAAGUCCAAGAAGUUACCAAUUUGGACAAAUAUAUAGCUAGCUAAUGUCGUAGCUGAAAUUUUUUUUCAUUAAAAAAAUUAGCACAAUGAGGAAAAAAUAAAAACUUAACAUAAAACAAAGUUGAACAUUGAUGUAACUAAGCAUUGGAAGUAGAAAUACAAGACGAACAGAAUAAAUAAUUUUAGCAUAGGAAACCUCAUUCUCCUUUUCUACAACAUAUCGCAUGACGCAUGGUUUUCAAGUUAGACAACAGAUAUCGAAUUAAAUAACAAAUGCUCUAAUUAAUUUAAGUACUAUAUACACAAACUAUGACCUAACUAUACAAACAAAUAAAUAAAAAUAUACCUUUACUAACUCGCAGUUGGCUUGAGUCUACAAAGAGCAACUCUAAUGUUACGUUGCACCCCAUAAAACACCUUCGCCUGGAAGAUUUUCCACUCAGCUUCACUGUCAACUGCUUGGAAGGUAACAUAGUACCAAAGUCCUGCUGCGACACUACACGUUGCCUUCUCUAUUUUUACAAACACAUAACUCAUAUCCUACAUUACGAAAACAUCACGAAAUCAAUUUUAUCAAAAAAAAAAAAAAAAAAAAAAAAAACACACAAAGAAAUAAACAAUAAGAAAAGACAUACACAAGGCAACAUGAACAUACAUUUUCCUUAUUAAAAUGUUCGAUUGCCAAUUUAGUACAUCUGAGAAGAAUUUCAUCAUCAAAAUCCGUGAUCGCCGUAAGGCCAAACUCACAAGUGCCUGGAAAUGGAUCAACAUCGAAUCCCUGUAAAAGACAUGUAUUAACAAUUAGUGAAAAAAAGGUUAUGAAACUUUAACUCUCAAAAAGAAGACAAUAAUUAUUAAACACCUCGCUUUCCUUGAUUUGUUUGUAAUAUCUGUCCCAUUCUUCGCGAGUCCUACUGCGAUUACCAUUAGGCCAAACAUAAACCUCAUCUUCCUCUGAAGUAUGCUCAUAAACCCUUUGAUCCUUCUCGUUCCCUUUCUCUUCCUCCAUUUCACUUUGGGUAUCUUCCUCCUUGCCCUCUUCCCUCAUCUCUUCGCUUUCUUCCUGCAGUUUCAACUUCUUCUGCAGCGGCCCUUCAGGUAUCAGGUUCUUGGAAUUCUGCCUGUAUCACAAAAUGAAAUAUAUCUAUCAUAAAAAAUUUAAACAAAUUUCAAUCAAAACUAACGACAAUUUAAAAAAAAAAAAUCUUAAAUUGGCUCAAAUAGAAGAAGAAUUUAGCCGAUGCAUACGAAACAGAGACCAAACAGGGCAUAAUUCAGGUGAUACAUUCCUAGAUUAGGAUUUUCUAAUUACGGAAUAAUAUAUUAUUUAUUUUAAAAUAUUUCAGUUGUUUCCAAUAAAGUGUAAUUAGGGUUAGGUUAUAGAAAUGUGUAUCUUUUAGGGUUUGGAGAAUAAGAAGAAAUUGGUCGUGUUGUUCUCUUCUCCCUUAUCUAUCUUUAUCUCUCUAAUAUCUCUCUCUUUAGGAGGUUCGAUCCCCUCGAAGUGAUCGUUUAUCCCUAUUGAUACUAAUAUCUCUCUCUUUAGGAGGUUCGAUCCCCUCGAAGUGAUCGUUUAUCCCUAUUGAUACUAAUAUCUCUCUCUUUAGGAGGUUCGAUCCCCUCGAGGUGAUCGUUUAUCUCUAUUGAUACAAUACAACGGUAUCAAUUGGCAUCAGAGCCUUGUAUGUAUAGUGUAAACUCCAGCAAAAAAAGAUUUUCUGAAGAAGAUGAAUGGGGAUUUCAUAAGAAAAGAAGAGAUGAACGCUCGGUUUUCCAAUGUGAAGGCCCAACUCAACAAAGUGGAGACCGAGGUAAAGCUCACUAGCGAUUCUAUUAAUGAUCUCAAAAAUUUGAUCAUCCCUAUGAGCACGAAGAUGGAUUUGCAGCCGCAUACGCCAUUUGAAGAUACAUUCGUCUCGAAUUUCGACAAAAAUCAUCCCUUGCUCCCAACUCCUAUUAAGAAGGAAGCAUUGAUCCUAUUCAAAAUGUUCGUGACUAUCAGGCUCGACUCGAAAUGCUUGCCAAUCGCACUUAACAUUUUUCAUAAGUUUCUUGCCAAUCGCACUUAACAUUUUUCAUAAGUUUCUUCAUUAGUGGGCUGAAGGAGGAUCUAAAGUAUAACGUCCGAGCCUUCCGACCAACUUCUAUAUCAGCUGCUAUUGGUCUUGCUCGUCUACAAGAGGAGAAGUUAAUAGCUCAACAUCGUAUUAUGAAGCCUAAGCCUUCCCUUUUGUGCCCUUCCAUGACACCAAUAUCUAAUGAGGCGCUUCCACCCAUAAAGCGCCUUACACCGGCUAAAGCAAAAGUAAGAAGAGAUCAAGGCCUUUUGCUACAAUUGUAUGAAAAAUAGUCCUGGACAUCGAUGAAAAUCAAAGCAACUAUUUUUGAUCGAGGCCGAACGUGAUGAAAACAGAGAAGAUCUAAAGAGGAUAGGCAAAGGUUGAGGAUUUUCCAUCUUGAGGGCAAGGUGGCUAUCGAGGGCGGUGGAAUGACAUAUUCCUAGAUUAGGCUUUUUAAUUAUGGAAUAAUAUAAUAUUUAUUUUAGAACAUUUCAGUUAUUCUCAGUAAAGUGUAACUAGGAUUAGGUUAUAUAGAUGUGUAUCUUCUAGGGUUUGGAGAAAAAAAAAAAUUUGACCGUCUUGUUCUAUCUUCCCUCCCGUUCUCUUCCCUCUUAUCUUAAUCUCUUUAAUAUCUCUCUCUUUAGGAGGUUCGAUCCCCUCGAAGUGAUCGUUUAUCCCUAUCGAUACGGUAGAACCGUAUCAUCAAGCUAAAUUUCGUAAAUAAUUUUUUGGAAGGACUAUUUUUAUAAUUAUAAAAUAUGUUAUAAGUAUAUUAAUAAAAGAAAAGUCAACCAGCCAUCAUAAUCAAAAUAAUCAAAUGCAUAUCAAACGGCACAAACGGCAUUCUAAUCAUUUAUUACAAUCCAAAAUUGAUCAGAGUCAAACACAUAUCAAAAUCGCACAUAAAAAAAAAAGCACAUCCUGACAUAUGUGUACAGAAUAUGGUAACAAACGAGAUGUAUACCUUUGCCAGGUAAAGACAAUCUUCAGGAGAAGCAAGGCCUUCGCGAAUAAAGGCGGUGCGAAGGCACAGGAGAAGGAGACUCAGACUUGCGCUGCAAGUUUUGAUUUUAAUUUAGAGUAAACUUCAAGUCCCAUCCAUGUAGUUUCGCACUUCCUCAUUUUAGUACUCUAUAAUUUAAAGUGUAUCAAUUUAGUGCCCUCUGGUUUUAUUUUUCUCUUUUCAUCAACUUCUUCGUUAAUAUUUCGUUAAAUUAUAUACAAAAAAACUUCAGAUACCCACCUAGGUUUAUCGAAUAUUUACUUUAAUACUCUUUAGUUUUAACUUUGUCAUUGAUUUAAAGAAAAAAAUUAGUAGAAUUGAUAAUAAAAGGAUAAAAAUAAAACCACAGGACGCUAAAUUGAUACACUUUAAAGUAUAAAAUAAUAAAAUGAGAAAAUGUGAAAUCACAGGGGUGAUAUUUGAAAAUUUUCUUUUAAUUUUUAGUUUUUUGUUUUAGCAGUGGGCGGUGGCGUCGGGUGCUUCCCAUACGUGCGCUGCUGGCCCGGUACUUGGCAAAAGCCAAAACCACCUGAGGAACGAAUCACAUCCCCAGUGACGUUUCUGCCCUACUUUUGGAACAAAAGGCCAAAAAAAAAAAAACUUUAAACUAACGUAAAAAAGAUUAUGAACUUUAGUUUUCUUUUUUGUUUUUUUCCCAAUUAGAAUCUUAUUAUUCUAUUUGAAUUGGAUUCUAAUUCGGUUUCAGAUUUUGAAUUCCGAAAUUUUUCGGAUUCAAAUUCAGAUUUACUAUUUUUUUUCCCUAACUCAUAUUCAGAUUCGGAUUCAGAUUCGAAUAUGCAAUUUUGAAAUAUCCCAACAAAACUCUCACAACUUUUUUUUAUUUUAGCUUUAAAUAGAAUUAGGCUGGUAUACUUCCGUGCUACCAAAUUGUUUUCAAUAAUGCAACCUCCAAAUCGACGAUCGGCUCCGUUAGACUUGAUUUAUACUAUUGAAAGUAUUUGAAAACUAAAUUUCAUAAUUUUUCGACAUCAUUUGUCUAGUGAUCAAAAGUUACCAAAAUUGACAAUUUUAAUAGUCGACGUGAUGUAUUUGUGAAUUUAACGGUGUAAAACAAUUCAAAUCUGAUAAAAUCUUUAUAAAAAAUUCUUUUCACUAUUUAGAGUAAGAUCAGUACCUCUGAUCUUAAAUCAAGUCUUUUAUCAUCAUUUUUUAUAAGUUUUUUUAUUUUCAGUCGUUUAUUUUAGACUACUCAUUGAUAGAUAAAUAAUGUCGACAAAUUAUGAAAUUUAGUUUUCAAAUACUUUUAAUAGUGUAGAUCAAGUCUAAUGGAGCCGAUCGUCGAUUUGGAAGCGGCAUCAUUGAAAAUAACUUGGUAGCACUGAGACCUCUGUGCUACCGAUAGUAUACCAGCCGGACUCCUUUAAAUAUUAAUUAAAUAAUAUAAGUGGUAUGGUAUCCAAUGUUGAUUUAGGGGCCGUUUGGUUCAGGAACAAAGCGGGAAUAAAUACUUGUUCCUUUUUUUGUUUCCAGAUGCUAUGUUUGGUACUCGAGAACAAGCAGUUUUCAAGUCUCUGGAAUAAGCAAGUAUAAUCCGGUAUAAGUUUUGAAUUGUUAUUCCAACUUUUUUCUAGAACAAGCUUGUUCCCAAGUAGAAACAAGAUUAAUUAAAGUUUAAAUUUAAUUUUAACUAUGAUAUUAAAUUAUUAAUUAAUCUAAUUAAUAUAUUAGAAUUAUUAUCCAUUGUUUAAAUAAUAAAGUAAUUAAUUAAUUAAUUUAUUAUGUAUAAUUAAUUAGCUAAUUAAUUAUUAAUAAUUUAAUGUGUUUAUCUAUAAAUUAAUUUUUAUAUUGAUCAACCAUUAAUAUUAUUAUUAUUCUAAUUAAUUUUUUAAUUAGUUAUCAGACUAAAAUAAUUUACUAACUAAUUAAAAAUCUAAAUUAUUUUUUAUAGUUAAUUAAUUAAUUGAUAUAUUUUUAUUAUCUUCUAUAAUAUUCAUAGGUAAUAAAUUUAUUAAUUUAUUAAAUUAUUUUAAUUAAUAUUUUGAUGUUAAUUAACAGGAUAAAACAUUUUUAAUUUAAAAUUAUAACUCUUGUUUUUUCUGUUUCAAUCUAAUCAUCCAAACACUAUUUACCUUAUUUUCAAAAACAAUCUAAUUUUUGUCUAAAUGCAAAAUUAGUCUAGUUUCUGUUUAUAUCUAAACUUAUAUCUAUUUGUGAAAUAAGUAGUUUUUACUCGUAUCUGAACCAAGAUUCUUUUUUAUUAGUUCGGUUUGGACUACUAUUGAUGUGACAAACUAUUUAUUUACCUUAUAGUCUCUCUUCUUCUUUUUUUCCUUAUUUCUUUAAUUUAUGUUUUUUUUUUAUUAUUUUGAAGUGGUGGUUUCAUCACAAACAAAUAUCUUCCUUCGUUUCUUUGUCAUUGUACCAUCAACUAAAACCUUUUCUUAAAAUAGAGAUCAAAGGUUGUGACUAUUUGCUUAGGAGGCCGUUUCUAGAAGAAGGAAUGCAAGCUUACAACAAAAUUCUAUUAUGUGCGGAAUGGCAAUCUUGGUGGGUCUGCUCCUACAGGCAACCAUUAUUUGCAGCCGUAAGGUGGAGUGAGGGUUUUGAUGCGGUAUGCUUUGAGGUUGAUCUGAACUUUCAUAGUACAAUCAGAGGUUAAAUUUUGUGUGAAAGUUGCAGAUUUGGGCUUCAGCUCCCUAUGGGAGAAGAGUAAAAUUACGCUGUUGUUUUCUGAAAUAUUGCAUAGCCCCCCGACCUCCACCACCUUGAUAUUUAACAGUUUGUUUUGAUUUUGAGUGACCAAGUAAAUUUGAUUUGCCUAAUGUCUAUCUUUUUUUUAUUUUUUUUCUUUCUUUCUUUCUUUCUUUCUUUUUUUAGCUACUUGCUUUUGCUUCUCCUCUACUUACCACUAUAAUUUUAUGGCCUUUGAAUCAUUUGAAGCAUUUUGGUUGUUUUCAUUUUAGUCUUUACUGUGUCGUGAUUAUCUAACAAACUCUUUAGGUUAGCUGCAAAAGAAGUGCCUUUUAUUGUUGAACUACAAUGGGGGUGCCGUAUGCUGCUCUUGUUGUUGCUAUUAUUAUUAUUAUUAUUGUUGUUGUUGUUGUUGUUGUUGUUGUUGUAGUUCUUCUUCUUCUUCUCUUAUGUUGUUGAACUAUAGAAGGGGUGCUUCUUCUUCUUCGUCGUCGUCCUGCUCCUCCUCCUCCUCCUCCUCCUCUCCUAUUCUUGUUGCUAUUAUUAUUAUUAUUGUUAGAAGGGGUGUAAAGUCUCAUCUUUCAUUUUUUGGCUGGAAAAAGUGGUAAAGUUGGAAGACUUUGCAUUCAAGUAUCUCCUGCACUGCAGGACUAUUUUGGCAGGGGCUACUCGGCAGGCAACCAUUUUGCAUUCAGAUUGACAUUACAGAUAUGAGGGACUAGUGCACAAUAUCCAAGAUUCGAGGGAAUCACAUGCCUCCCAAAAUGAGAUAGAGAGAGGGAGAAAAACUCUUAUUAUCGAUGAAUCGGCAUCUCUGAAACAUGGUCAAAUUAGAGAAAAGCUUUCUAAGAAGAGAGGCGAUGAUGGUUCGUAAUCCUCCUCUCAUGCUCUGCCACUCCCUGAUUUAGUAAUGGCGUGGCAACCCUGGAGGUAUAUUGUCUUAAGGUGACAAUUACAUGUUGUGGUUGUGAGACUGGUUUGUGGACAACAAAUGGCAACCAGGUUGGUAUUCAUUGCUAGGUGGGAGUGGUGAAGACCGAAGAUAGGAGGGAGGCUAAUGGAAUAGUUCCCCUGAGCCUCUGCUUCUAAAUCCUGUUUUAUUGUUCUAUGAAUUAUGAAGGCUUUUUGUGGACUUCUGUCCAUGCAUCUUGUGCAGGUAAUAAUUUCUCGAGCUUAUCUUUUUCUGAUAAGGUUGAGGAUUUUCCAUCUUGAGGACAAGGUGGCUAUCGAGGGCGGUGGAAUGACAUAUUCCUAGAUUAGGCUUUUUUAAUUAUGAAAUAAUAUAUUAUUUAUUUUAAAACAUUUCAGUUAUUUUCAAUAAAAUGUAACUAGGGUUAGGUUAUAUAGAUGUGUAUCUUCUAGGGUUUGGAGAAUAAGAAGAAUUUGACCAUCUUGUUCUAUCUUCCCUCCCGUUCUCUUCCCCCUUAUCUAUUUUUAUCUCUCUAAUAACUCUCUCUUUCUUUAGGAGGUUCGAUUCUCUCGAAGUGAUCGUUAAUCCUUAUCGAUACGGUAGAACUGUCUGUAUCAUCAGGCCAAAUUUCGUAAAUAAUUUUUUUGAAGGACUAUUUUUACAAUUAUAAUAUGUUAUAAGUCUAUUAAUAAAAGAAAAGUCAACCAACCAUCGUAAUCAAAAUAAUCAAAUGCAUAUCAAACGGCACAAACGGCAAUCUAAUCAUUUAUUACAAUCCAAACUUAAUUAAUCAGAGAGUCAAACACAUAUCAAAAUCGCACAUAAAGAAAAAAAAGCACAUCCUGACACGUGUACAGAAUACGGUAACGAACGAGAUGUAUACCUUCGCCAGGUGAAGACAAUCUUCAAUACGUCCAUGUCGAGAAGGACAAUGCGGCGGCGGCGGCGGCGGCGGAUGCCGGGCGAAGACGGGGGGAAGGAUCGGACUUCAGGAGGAGCAAGGGCUUCGCGAACAGAGUCAGUGCGAAGAGACAGGAGAAGGAGACUCCGCCGCCGCCGAUGCCGGGUGAAGACGGGGGGAGGAUCGGACAAGGGCUUCGGGAACAGAGGCGCCGAUGCCGGGCGAAGACGGGGAGAGGAUCGGACAAGGGCUUCGGGAACAGAGGCGGUGCGAAGGGACGGGGGAGAAGGAGACUCAGACUUGCUGUGCACGUUUUGAUUUUAGUUUUAGAAAAACUUCAAAUGCCAUCCUUGUGGUUUUAUAUUUUCUGACUUUAAUAUUCUAUAAUUUAAAUUUAAAGUGUAUUAAUUUAGUAUUUUACGAUUUUAUUUUUAUUUUUUUAUUAUAAAUUUUAUUAAUUUUUUUCGUUAAAUCAGUGACAAAGUUAAAACUAAACGGUAUUAAAAUGAAUGUUCGAUAAACCUAGGUGGGGUAUCUAAAAUUUUUUAUAUAUAUUUUAACGAAAUAUUAACGAAAAAGCUAACGAAAAAAUAAAAAUAAAACCGCAGGACACUAACUAGAUACACUUUAAUUAUAGGGUACUAAAAUAAGAAAGUGUGAAACCACAUGAGUGAUUUUUGAAUUUCACCCUUUAGUUUUCAGUUUUUAGUUUUUUUAUUUUAGCAGUGGACGGUGGUGUCGGAUGCUUUCCAUACGUGCGCCACAGGCCGAUACAGACUUGGCAAAAGCCAAAACCACCUGAGGAACAAAUCACAAUCCCAGUGACGCUUCUGCCCUACUUUUGGAACAAAAUGCCAAAAAAACAGCAAAAAACUUUAAACUAAUGUAAAAAGGGUUAAUUACACCGAUGGUCUCAAAUCUUUGCACUAUUUUUCACUUGGGUCCCCAACUUUUUUUUUUGCAAUUGAGUCCCUAAUCUCUUGAUUUUAUUACAAUCACGUCCCGCCGUAAAAAAUACUGUUAAAAUUAAUGGAAUAGAAUAGGCAUCCUUUUGCAUGUUAAUUUUGGUCCAUAAACUUUGCACGUUUUUCACUUUAGUCCCUAAAAAAAAUUUAAAAUUUUAAUUUGAAAUUCAAAAAUAAUAUUAAAAUUAAAAUUUUAAACUAACGAGAAAUUAGAAAUUUGAAUUUGAAUUUAAAGCUAAAUUAAAAUCUUGAAUUGAAAUUUAAAUUUUAAAUUUGAAUUUUAAAUUGAAUCUAAAAUUUGAAUUCAAACUUAAAGUUUUGAUUUUGAUAUUUCAAUUUACAUUUAAAAUGAAAGUUUUGAAAUUGAAAUUUAAAUUUAAAAUCGUAUUCAAAAUUUUGAUUUUAAAUUUAAAUUUGAAUUCAAAAUUUAAAUUUAAAAUUAAGAUUUGAUUUCAAUUCUAAAUUUGAAUUUAAACAUCGAAUUCAAAUUCACAUUUUGAUUUGAAAUUUCAAAUCAAAGUUUGAAAUUAAAUUAGAAUUUAAAAUUCGAAAUGUGAAUUCGAGUUUAAAAUUAAAAUUUUAAAAUUAAAUGUAAAAUCAGAAUUUGAAUUCAAAUUUAAAUUUGAAUCCAAAAUCAAAAUUUAAAUCUUAAAUUAAAAAUCUUGCUUUAAAUUUAUAAAUGUAAUGGGUUAAUUACACCAUUGGUCCUCAACCUUUACACAAUUUUUCAAUUUAGUCCUCAACCUUUUUUUUUUUUUGCAAUCCGCUGACACCCGCCUCUGUGGCGCUGACACGGCGCCUCCGUGGCGCUGACAUGGUGCUGACGUGGUAUUUUCCGUCAAUUUUAAUACCUUUUUGACGGCUGGGACUUAAUUGUAAUGAAAUCAAUAUAUUAGAGACUUGAUUGCAAAAAAAAAAAGAUUGGGGACCAAAUUGAAAAAUAGUGCGAAGGUUUGGGACCAAUGGUGUAAAUAACCCAAUGUAAAAAAGAUUAUAAACUUUAGUUUUCUUUUUUGUUUUUUUUUUUUCUAAUUAGGAUCUUAUUAUUCUAUUUGAAUUUGGAUUCUAAUUCGGUUUCGGAUUUUGAGUUCCGAAAUUUUUUGGAUUCAAAUUCAGAUUUACUAUUUUUUGCCCCAACUCAUAUUCAGAUUCGGAUUCGGAUUCGAAUAUGCAAUUUUAAAAUAUCCCAACAAAACUCUCACAACUUUUUUUUAUUUUAGCUUUAAAUAGAAUUGGAUUCGGAUUCGAAUUCGGAUUCGAAUAUGCAAUUUUGAAAUAUCCCAACAAAACUCUGACAACUUUUUUUAUUUUAGCUUUAAAUAGAAUUAGGCUGGUAUACUAUCGGUAGUACGGAGGCCUCCGUACUACAAAAUUGUUUUCAAUGAUGCGGCUUCCAAAUCGACGAUCGGCUCCGUUAGAUUUCAUAUACGCUAUUGAAAGUAUUUGAAAACUAAAUUUCAUAAUUUUUCGACAUCAUUUGCCUAGUGAUCAAAAGGUAUCAAAAUUGACAAUUUCAUAAUUUUUCGACAUCAUUGGCCCCAAUUUCCCUUUCAAUUGCCAAAAAUCAACAAAGAUUAACACUGUAAGUCAUAAAAUUGUGAGAUUACCUCAAACUUUGCAUUCGGUUCCGAACGCCACUCUAUUAGCGGCAAAGCAUCAAUGGUAAAGCAGCAACCAGGAGAAGAACAAAAAUAUAAAUGACACCUUGAGAUUCUAGAAUUCGCAAACCAUGUACCUUGAAAUUAAACUAAACCAAAAGCAACUCCAUCUACGAGAAAUAAACCUUCACGUACGGAUCGGAAUAGCAAUUCCAACUGUUUGUUUAGCAUGACCAUUUUCUCUAUCGCAAGAAGCAAACAACAGCAUUUGAAACAGGAAAAGCCCUCGGCUCUUUCUAUGGCAGCAAACUGAAAUAAAAUUUCAUUGGCUUGUCUGUCUCCAAAGAACUAAGUAGGAUUUAUUUCUCACAAAUAUAAAGGCCAACAAGCAAACUCAACAUAUUGUUAUAUUUCAACUGCCUUUCGGACAAAUACCAAUCAGAAAUUAGCAGAAGCCAAUACCGCUUAGAAUAUAAGGGCAACAUAUUUGCCUAAGCUAUGUGUUUUACACUGCAAAGUUUUGUAUCUCACACCGAACCCUACAAGUAGAUAAAUUUGACUCUUCACGAGAGCACCGACAAACUCCCAUAUUCAGGAAAAGUAGCAUCUUUUAUUUGUUGAGGCAAAGAUAAGAAGAUAAAAUGACACAAUAUAACUUGUUAAAGCCUCCAAAUUACUAACACUAAUAACUAAGAACUUAAAAUAAAGAAAAACCAGCAAUCGAAAAAAAAAAAAAAUUUACCACCAUUAUUCACGACCAAACAGCACCUGAAUGGGGAAGGCCUGGUGUAGAGCAUGACAUUCCGCCUGCAAAGCAAAUAAGGAAACAUCUAGUUGUGUUAUUGCAAAGAGACAGAAAAUUUAAACAAACAAGUAUUGCUAAUUAUAUUUCAUUGAUUAGCAUAAUCAUAUAAAGAUAACAUGGAGAAUGUUAUCCAACACUUUAUCACGAAUACUAUCAAGAAGCAUCAGAAACUAUUAUGCAACAAUUGAUAUGUAGGAAAUAAUUAGCAUCUCUUCCUGAAUCUUGUGAGAAUCAGUAAAAGAUAUAGUCCUCCUAACAAUUCAAAAGCCUCAUCCAAAUUCCUAAUUUUACAAGUCCAAGAAAUUACCAAUUUGGACAAAUAUAUAGCUAGCUAAUUGUGGUAGCUGAAAUUUUUUUCAUGAAAAAAAAUUAACACAAUGAGGAAAAUAUAGAAACUUAACAUAAAACAAAGUUGAACAUUGAUGUAACUAAGCAUUGGAAGUAGAAAUACAAGACGAACAGAAUAAAUAAUUUUAGCAUAGGAAACCUCAUUCUCCCUUUCCACAACAUAUCGCAUGUCACAUCGUUACAAAUAUCGAAUUAAAUAACAAAUGCUCUGAUUAAUUUAAAUACUAUAUACACAAACUAUAACCUAACUAUACAAACAAAUAAAUAAAAAUGUACCUCUACUAACUCGCAGUGGGCUUGAGUCUACAAAGAGCAACUUUAAUGUUACGUUGCACCCCAUAAAGCACCUUCGCCUGGAAGAUUUUCGGCUCAGCUUCACCGUCAACUGCUUGGAAGGUAACAUAGUACCAAAGUCCUGUUGCGACACUACACGUUGCCUUCUCUAUUUUUACAAACACGUAACUCAUAUCCUACAUUAUAAAAAACAUCAUAAAAUCAAUUUUAUCAAACAAAAAUAAAGACACAAAGAAAAAAACAAUAGGAAAAGACAUACACAAGGGAACAUGAACAUACAUUUUUCUUAUUAAAAUGUUCGAUUGCCAAUUUAGUACAUCUGAUAAGAAUUUCAUCAUCAAAAUCCGUGAUCGCCGUAAGGCCAAACUCACACGUGCCUGGAAAUGGAUCAACAUCGAAUCCCUGUAAAAGACAUGUAUUAACAAUUAGUGAAAAAAAAAAAGGUUGUGAAGCUUUAACUCUCAAAAAGAAGAUAAUAAUUAUUAAACACCUCGCUUUCCUUGAUUUGUUUGUAAUAUCUAGCCCAUUCUUCGUGAGUCCUACUGCGAUUACCAUUCGGCCAAACGUAAACCUUAUCUUCCUCUGAAGUUGCUCAUAAACCCUUUGAUCCUUCUCGUUCCCUUUCUCUUCCUCUAUUUCACUUUGGAUUUCUUCCUCCUUGCCCUCGUCCCUCAUCUCUUCGCUUUCUUCGUGCAGUUUCAACUUCUCCUACAUCGACUCUUCAGGUAUCAGCUUCUUAGCAUUCUGCUAUAUCACAAAAUGAAAUACAUCUAUACAUAAAAAAUUUAAAUAAAUUUCAAUCAAAACUGACGACAAAUUAAAAAAAAAAUUCUUAAAUUGGCUCAAAUAAAAGAAGAAUUUAGCCGAUGCAUACGAAAUAGAGUCCAAACAGGGCAGAAUUCAGGUGAUACAUUCCUAGAUUAGGAUUUUCUAAUUACGAAAUAAUAUAUUAUUAUUUUAAAAUAUUUCAGUUGUUUCCAAUAAAGUGUAAUUAGGGUUAGGUUAUAUAAAUGUGUAUUUUUUAGGAUUUGGAGAAUAAGAAGAAAUUGGCCGUGUUGUUCUAUCUUCCAUCUUGUUCUCUUCCCCCUUAUCUAUCUUUAUCUCUCUAAUAUCUCUCUCUUUAGGAGGUUCGAUUCCCUCGAAGUGAUCAUUUACCCCUAUCGAUACGGUAGAAUCUUGUUCUAUCUCCCCUCCCGUUCUCUUCCCUCUUAUCAAUCUUUAUCUCUCUAAUAUCUUUCUCUAGGAGGUUCGAUUAUCUCAAAGUAAUCGUUUAUCCCUACCGAUACGGUAGAACCGUAUCAUCAGGCCAAAUUUCGUAAACAAUUUUUUUGAAGGAAUAUUUUUAUAGUUAUAAUCUAUUACUCUUUAUGAAUCCCCAAUGUUUUAAGCUGAUGUGUCAUAACCUCCUAAUUUUGAAUUUUUUUUAAUUUAGAAUGAUCAAUUUUAUUCUCUCUCUCAACAUACGUCUCUUCAUCUCCCCCAUUUAAUUUUUAUUUAGAAUGAGUCAUUUUACUCUCUCUCUCAACAUACGUCUCGUCAUCUCCCCUAUUCAAUUUUUAUUUAGAAUUAGCCAUUUUACUCUCUCUCUCUCAACAUUCGUCUCCUCAUCUCCCUCAUUUUAUUCUCUCUUUCUUAACAUACGUCUCUUCAUCUCUUCCAUUUAAUUUUUAUUUAGAAUAAGCUAUUUUACUCUCUCUCUCCAUCGUUGGUAGAUGUACCAAGUGAGAUAUACAAAAAAAUAUUUAAUAUUUUAUUAUUAUUAAUUACUACUAUAGUUUCUAUCCGCUGCAAAGCGCGGGACUCUUCACUAGUAUGAUAUAAGUCUACUAAUAAAAGAAACGUCACAAACAAACGGCAUUCUAAUCAUUUAUUACAAUCCGAACUUAAUUAAUCAGAGAACCAAACACAUAUCAAAUCGCACAUUCAAACAAAAACAAAAAAAAAGAAAGCACAUUCUAACACAUGUGUACGGAAUAUGGUAACGAACGAGAUGUAUACCUUUGCCAGGUGAAGACAAUUGUAAUGUCUUGAAGAAUAAGUAGUUUAAUAGUUAGUAGGGGAAGGAAGUAAAAAUGUCAACUUUACAAUAGUAAGACCAGAAAUAAGGACGGAAGUAGUAGGCGGAUCGGGCGGUCGAAUUACCGGAUCGGGCGUAAAACGCAGACCCAAGCCCCGCCGGGUUGCGGGUGAUGCGGAGAAGGCAGGAACCGACGCCCACUUACCGUUAUGCAUGGGUCAGGCGAACCGGAGCUCGGAUCGAGGCGAAAUGGCAAACCCAAGACCUGCAGGGUUGCGGGUAGUGAGGAGAAGUGCGGACCCGAGUCCGUUUGCCUGACAAUCAGCAGAAGAGAUCGGGAAAGCCCGGGAAAGGGCCCAACUACCAUGAGAUUUCAGCCCAUACGAGUUUUUCCUCAAUUUAUCACUUUUGCUGUUUAGCCCUCAUAGACUAGGUGCGUUUUUAGUUUAGUCCAAAUUACCAAGUACUAUAAAUACCAAAGUAUAAUGUAAACAGGGUAUCAAUAAAAUGAAAUAUUGAAUCUGCUUCUUCCCCAAACUCUCUUCUUCUCUAAACUCUCUUUUCCCAACUCUUAUCUUUUCUCUACCUCUCAUCCACACCAUGUCUAAACUCUAAACACAAUGAAUAAUUCGCCGUGUUUAAAAAAAUACAAUUAUAUGUAUUACGAAAAAAAUAUAAGUAUUAAAAAAAGGGAAUACAAAAAAUAUAAGCACGGAACAUGGUGAAUGGACCAUUCACCGUAAUUGAACACGAUGAAUGAUUUACCGUGUCUAAGAAAAAUAUAUCAUUUACCGUGUUUGAAUGCGGUGAAUGAUUCACGGUGUUCAACUUAUCACCCCUCCAGCUUUUACAAAAAUAAUUUAUAAAAUUUAAAUUUUAUAAAAAUAUAUUUGUUUGUUAUAAUCGGAACGACGAAAAGUAGAUCCAGAAAAUAAUUUAAUGCAGGAAAAGAAAAGAUAAGGAAAGAGUACACCGAUAUUUACGUGGUUCGGCCAACAGCCUACGUCCACGGGCGAAGACGGAGCAAAUACUUUGUUAAUGUCGAAAAGGCGGAAUACAAAGAAGAUUUCUCGAAAAAUAACCAAAGCUUAAUUAGAUCGAAACGCCGCAACAAGCAACUCCAAAAUUGGCUUCUCUCUCACCCGUACGACGUAUGGCUAAAUUAAAGUAGCCGCGGAUUCUUGACCGUACGAAACGUGCAUAGCUUGGCUUAAUUAGAGUGUGGCUUCUAAUCAGCCGCAGCUCCUGACCGUACGGACCGCAAGACCAACAUGGAUUGCUUAAUUAGAGCCCCGGCAGCUCAGAAUAAUUAGCACAUGGCAUCUAAUUUUGGUCGCGGCAUUAUUAACUUAGCCGUAGCGUAUCUAUUACUCUAUGUGAAUUCCCAAUAAUUUUGCCACGUGGCAAGUUUUUCUCCACUCUCACUAAUCUUUUUUUUGAAUUGAUUUUUACUCUUGGCUUUUCCACUCCCAUCUUCUUUAUUCAAUGACAUGUAAUUAAUGUGCUUUUUAAUUUAUACGUUUCCUAUUCAAAAUUACUUUUUUUGAAUUGAUUCUUACUCUUGGCUUUUCUCCUCCCCUCCUCUCUAUUCAAUGACAUAUAAUCAAUGUGCUUUUUAAUUUAUACGUUUUCUCUUCACAAUUAGUCCUUUCUUCUCCCACAAAUAAUUCCUAACAUGCAAAAUUAGAAAAGGAGAAGAUGAAUAGUUACUACUUUCAGAUCUAGAGAUUGGGGAAUAGUAAGGGAGUUUUCCAAGCUCUAAUCCGUGCCAAUCCGACUCGACCCGAACCCCCCCCCUCCGAAUCAAAAGAGUGUUUAUAGGGUUUCUAUUAAUGCCGAUCUCUUCGGAUUUAUGGAAAAAUAAGGUAAUCGAACGGUUUUUCAAUAGAGAAAGCUAAUUGGAGAGCAAUAAUGGACGGUUCGAGGGGUAGGUUUGGAAAACGAAAAUCCUAAACCUAAUUUUUCUUUUCUUUAUUUUAAUCUCGAAUUCUUACUAUGUAUUCAUUUAGAAUUUAAUUUAUUUGCAUUAUUUUUUAUAUGGUGAUUGUAUCAAUUAAGGACUUGAUUUAUAUGCAUUAUUUUGAUUAAUUUAGAGGUUAUUUUUUAUUUCAUAAUUGAUGUGGCAGGUUUGGCCCACAACUUUUGAUCAUUCCAUGCUCAAAAGGGUGCAAAAUUUUGCAAAUUUUUAUCAGAUUUUCAUCGCCAUCGUCGUCAUCAUCGCAACAUUAUUAUCUCCAUCUUCAUACGACCUUUGUAGGUUUUUUUUUUUUGAAUGUUGAUUCUGGGCAGUUAUCAAUUUUCAAUGGCUAUAUUGGUUAGUUCAAUUCAUACGUUUCCCUACCCAAAAAAUAAAACACUCUUAAAUUUUUAUUUUCCAAACUUCUUUCUUCUUACUCUUCAAUAUUUUUUAAUUUUUUUUCUAUUAUUUAUCCGCGGCAUCGCGCGGGUUAGUACACUAGUAUAUAUAUAUAAUACAUGUUUUCUAAUUAAAGUCUAAUUCUAAUUAGAUUAGAAUUACACUCCUAAUUAUAAUCUAUAAAAUAUAUAUGCUAAAUUAAAUCUAAAUUAUAUCCAAUCCCAAAUAAAUUAGGAUUUAACUCUAAUUUAGAUAACUACAAAUCUAAACCAAAUAUAAAAAUAAUUUACUAUAUUUUGGCAACCUGUAUGUAAUUAACCUAAAAAUUUUCGUCUUAUGAGUGGAGGAGGACAUCAGUAAUUAAAGGGCUUUCUUUGCAAAUAGCCCCCUGAAAAAUUUUAUUUGCGCAAAUAGCCCCGUCUAAAAAUUAUUUGCAAAAAUGGCCCUGGCCCUGCCACGCCAGCGCCACGUCAGCGCCACGCGAGCAGGGCCUGGGCCAGGUGGCUAAGUUGAACACGGCAAUUGGUUCACCGUGUUUAGACACGGUGAACCAAUCACCGUGCUCAUUGUAUUACUCCCGCCCACGACGGGGUGUUAGUAUUACAUUAGACACGGUGAUUCGUUCACCGUGUCUAAACACGGUGAACCAUUCACCGCGUCUAAACACGGUGAACUAUUCACCGCGUUUAGACACGGUGAACCAAUCACCGUGUCUAAUGUACUACACACCAUUUCGCGGGUGCCAAAUAAGGCAUAGAACACGGUGAUUGGCUCACCGUUGUAUUAGACACGGUGAACCAAUCACCGUGUCCAAUGUAUCACUCCAGCCCAAGGCGGAGGGUUGGUACCACACUUAAACACGGUCGAUACGUUCACCGGGUCUAAACAUGGUGAACUGUUCACCGCAUUUAGACACGGUAAACGGUUCACCGCGUAUAGGACACGGUGAACGGAUCGCCGUGUCCAAUGCAUGGGCCGGGUGCGGCUGCGAGAAAAUCUAACACGGCCUGGCCCAGUUCGUUAACCAAGCGCCUAUGGCCCAAUAAAGAAAGUCGGGCCAGAUCUAAAAGUGCGGCUGCGAGAAAAUCUAACACGGCCUGGCCCAGGAACCGAAUCAAUGCACGGGCCGGGUGCNCCUGGGCCAGGCCGUGUUAGAUUUUCUCGCAGCCGCACUUUUAGAUCUGGCCCGACUUUCUUUAUUGGGCCAUAGGCGCUUGGUUAACGAACUGGGCCAGGCCGUGUUAGAUUUUCUCGCAGCCGCACCCGGCCCAUGCAUUGGACACGGCGAUCCAUUCACCGUGUCCUAUACAACCCUAUACCCCGAAAAUGGCUAAGUCUGGUAAACCCUAAACCUUCGAAAAUGGUUAAGUCUGGUAAACCCUAAACCUUGAACUAACUGAAUUGGACACGGUGAACCAUUCACCGUGUCCAAUACAACUAGCCACACCUAAGCCGUAUUUGGCCAAAUAUGGAAGUAAAGGACACGGUGAUUAGUUCACCGCGGUGAAUAGUUCACCGUGUUUAGACACGGUGAAUGAAUCACCGUGUUUAGACACGGUGAACGAAUCACCGUGUCUAAUGUAAUACUAACACCCCGUCGUGGGCGGGAGUAAUACAAUGAGCACGGUGAUUGGUUCACCGUGUCUAAACACGGUGAACCAAUUGCCGUGUUCAACUUAGCCACCUGGCCCAGGCCCUGCUCGCGUGGUGCUGAUUUGGCGCUGGCGUGGCAGGGCCAGGACUAUUUUUGCAAAUAAUUUUUAGAUAGGGCUAUUUGCGCAAAUAAAAUUUUUCGGGUGGCUAUUUAAUUGAAAUUUUCGUCUAAUAAGUGAGGGAGGAGGCCAUCAGUAAUUGGUGUAUUCUAGACUCUUUCGUGUCUUCGGGAGGUACAAGGCGUGCUCCUUUUCUUGCUAUGACGAACUCCCACAUCACCAAAGAGAGGGGAAAAAAAAAAAAAAAAGGAGGGAGAAAACACAUUUCUCUCUCCUUUGAUCCUUUCCCGGAAACCAAACAUCGCAUUACAGAAUCUGGCAAUGGCGGGGCAGCGCGCUGGAUGNGGCCAUCAUUUAUAAUGAUGAUGAUUAUCAUCAUAAUCUUUAAAGGCGCUUCGACUUCAUGUGAGGAUGCCUCCGUUGUCGACGGCAUUGGAUCAGCAUCUUCUUGCUCCCUUUCAUAUUUUUUGAUCCUGGCUGAAGUAACUAUCAUCAUUUUUUCUUUUUCUUUUUAUUCUACUUCUCCAUUUCUCUUCUUGAUGCCUCCUCUUCCUCCUCCUUGUUGUUGUUACUGUUACUGUGUUCGUGUUGGUGUUGGUGUUGGUGGUGGUGGUGGUGGGGGUGGGUGGAGCCUACCGUCUCCCCGCCCUAUCCUGAAAGGUUUCAGGAAAACCCACAAAACUUCGCCUUUCGGGGUAAAGAUGUAUAAAACUUUCCGCAACUAUCAUCCUUUUCGAUCUGACUACCUAACAGUUAAAAGUUUGGAUUUUACUACCCGUUCUUUCAAUUUAUUUGAUUUAAGCCGAUUAGUAAGCAACUAUGAAUUCAUUAAAGUAAGCAAUUAGUUUAAAUUUUGAAGUCCGAUUAUCGUUGACCGACUCAAAUCGAACAAAUUGGAAAGUUCGGUGGUAAAAUCAAAAUUCUGGGAGGUCGGGUGGUCGACUCAAAAUGAGGCAUUUAGGUUCUCGCAGUUGGUGCUUGGCAUGGUCAUGGUAAUCUUGGAAGGCUCUGCUCUUCUACAGGCAACCACUUUUCCAUGCGAUGUCUUGUGGUGUACUGCAGUACUGUGUUUCGUACCAAUUUUUCCGUGCAGGUGUUUUGGAGCGGAAAUUGGAAUCAUGGUAGAUCCGACUGGAACCGUUGGGUUUGCUUAGACUUGCUGAAAUCACUUCAAACCGGUGGAAAUCAAUUCAAACCACACCUGCUAAUGUUUCCAAGGAUUUACAUGUUCUUGGUUGCAAUUUCAUCCAAAUCAGUGAUUUGGAGGAUCCGAAACUGGGUGCAAAGGAGGCUGUGAUGGUUGCCAACCUGGGUGCUAAUGCUUUGUCCAAGCCAUUUCUUCUUUACCCAGUGUAUACAGCGAAAACAGCUCUUUUAAUAUCAUUUCUUCUUCGGCAAAUUGGAUGGUCUGCUAAUUUAGCAGGCAACCUUAUGCUAGCAUCCAUUGUUAUGGUGCAUGGAUUUUAUGAUGCUUUCUGAGUAAGGCCGGGGAAAUGGUUGUGAACAAACAAAUUGAGGCUUUCGGUGGGUCUCUUGCUGUGUCAUCAACCAUAAUAUUGAUUAGCGACAUAUUGCCGUUCACUCAACUUAAUUGGCUUGUGAGACUUGAUAGCAACAAUCAAGAAAGUUCGAGUCGAAAUUGCAACAAUUAUAUUUUGAGGACUAAAGUGUUACCUGCCUCAUUGUUUGAGGACCAAAAGUGUAAUUUAGCCUUAUUUUAUCUAACAAACCACUGAGCAGGUAAGAAUUUUCUUGCUAAAUUGCAUGUUUGGUCCUCAAACAAUGUGUAACACUUUGGUUCUCAAACUUUAAUCUGUUACAAUCUAGCCUGAACUUUUUGAAUUGUCGCAAUCAAGUCCUGCAAUCCAAUUUAGAUGACUAAAUAUUGAUGCAUCAUUGAUGUAAUAGUGAUGUGACAUUUUAUUUUUUGUCUCAUCAUCAAUUACCAUAUUGCUACCGUCACUUUCACAUUACCGACAUAUCAAUAUUUAGUCAACUAAAUUAGAUUGUAGGACUUGAUUGCAACAAUUUGAAUCAGAAAUUACAAUAAAUUAAUGUUUGGUCCUUGUCAUGUGUCUCAAAGUUUGAGGACAAAAUGUGCAAUUUACCCUAAUUUUCCUCAUCUCAGUGGCAGCUCUCAAUUGGAAGGUCUGCUGUUUUGCAGGCAACCUUGUUCUGUCAUUUGUCUUCAAGGUGCAUAAGACUCUCAUGAUGCCUCUUGAUAUGAUCAAAUGGCAUGUUGAACCCUCUCUUUCCUUCUACUUGAAACAUUCGUUCUACUUUCUUUUCAGCUUUUAAUAUUUCUCAUGUCGACCGUCCGUGUGUCCUCAUGUUGACUGUAUGCUUCAAUCAGACAGGCACUUAAUGUUUUAUCCCAUGUUAAGUAUUUUUUUCCCUUCAUUUUACUUGUCAAAGGAGGCUGUGAUGAUUGUCGGUUGGGAAUGCACCUCAGCUUAUUUUAUCCCGGCUUUUGCUUCUCGGCGGAGUACAGAAGCUGAUAAGGAUACUGGAUAUAAGAGGCAAUAUAGUCAACUCAAACCUAAGAUUUUGGUUGGGUUUUGACAAGUCGGGUGGGAUUUGAAUCUGGUUUGUUAGUUUGCUUUGUCCUUUUACAACCCUUGGGAGCCUUUCACUUUGUUCAUUUGUGGGAUAGACAACAUCUCAGUGGGUGGUUUUUGGCUGACAUGAUGCACCAGGUGCAGGCAAUAAUUUUUCCUUUCUGGGCAGCUCGUGAGGCCAACAUUAAGUACCCGUAGCAGUAUUUAAUUGGAAGGCCUUGCAGGCAAGCCUAUGCUGUCACGUCUUUAAGGUGCAUGAGAUUACAAGAUCCCUCAUGUGGUGAUUAAGCGGCAUGUCUGAGUCUCCAUUUUAUUUUCCUACUUCCUUUUUAGCUAUUGAGAUUUGGUUGUUCACGUUUGUUUUCCCCCUCGCUUUCUUACUGCAUAUAGAAGCUAGGAUGGGUUGUUUUAAAUAUUCCUUAUCAAACCGUUGAAACAUGACUUCAUGCUGGUUGAUGGUAAAUUUUCUAUCCUAUAUGUAUUCAGAUCAGAGGGAAUUUGUUAAUCUUUCGGAUUUUGAUAAGAACUAAAUAUAAGAAAGAUUUGGAUGCUAGGUAUAUAAAUAUUUGGGUUAAUUUCUUCAAUCCCUUCCUUAAAGAUUGUAAUUUCAUAAAGACUCCUUCAAAUUGUAAAGGGUUUAGGGUUGCAUGCAUACAUCUCUCUCUUUUGCAUCUGAUCGACAUCAAGUUUCUAUAUUUAUAUUGGGUUUCUUUGCAUUUUAAAGUUAUACAAAAUUGUUGCAGGGCAUGCAAUCAAAACGGUUGCUCAAUCAAUAGCUUCACUUGAGCCCUAUUAUGUUAUUUGAUAAAGUUUUGGGAUUUAUUUGUUAAAAAGUAGAAGUUUUAGCACCUGUUUGCAAAAGUGUUAGAGUUUAGGGAGGCUUUGUACAUUGUUUCAAUUAUUAAUGUUUACUAAAAAAUGUAUGUUGGGCGCAAACAUUGCAUCCUUUUGGGCUAUUUAGAGAGGCAAAAUACUGUGAGCCCUCAAUUACGGAUGUAUGGGUAUGCCUUCGAGGCGAUACGAGCUAGAGAGCCUAUGUUGGGGGAAAAACAAAGUACUGGGCGUGCUCCCUUCUUGCUGCAAGCUCCUCUGUCUCUUCACUCCCACACUGAGAAACCAAACACCCCCUUAGAGAAUCUGGUAUUGGCGGGGCAGCAUUGGAUGGUUUGCUGUUUGUAGGCUACUGAGCUGCAGCCAUUAUUCCAGAAUUGGUGCGGCAACGGCAGCGGUGGCGAUCAUUUUGUGGCCAUCAUUUAUAAUGAUGAUGAUUAUCAUCAUAAUCUUUAAAGGCGCUUCGACUUCAUGUGAGGAUGCCUCCGUUGUCGACGGCAUUGGAUCAUCAUCUUUUUGACACCUCUCAUAUAUUUUGAUCCUGGCUGAAGUAACUAUCAUCAUUUUUCUUGUACUUAGCCAUUCUUUGCUUGAUGCCAUUUUGUUGUUAUUGUUAUUAUUAUUAUUAUUGUUAUUGUUAUUGUCGUAGUGGUGGUGGUCGUGCAGGUGGGUGGAGUCUGCUCUCUCUCUGCCCCCUGUGAAAAGGGAAACCCACAGAACUUCGUUCUGUGGGGUUGACCAAGCCUUCUCUCUCUCUCUCUCUCUCUCUCUCUCUCUCUCUCUCUCUCUAUAUAUAUAUAUAUAUAUAUAUAUAUAUAUAUAUAUAUUGAGUUCGGCUAUGGUGCUUUUAAAAGCACCAAGCACUUGGUCCUUGUAAGUUUUUGUAAGUUUCCCAUUGUUAGAUUUAUCUCUUUGACCAAUUCCACCCCUAAGAUUAUACUAUUCGACCAACUACCCGCUCAAAUCUUGGGGACAACUAUUAUCCUAACCCUACAAAUCUUCAUCCUAGGCCGAAAACCUACAAGCACCAAUGACUUGGCACUUUUAAAAGCAUAGGAGCUCAAUUCUAUCUAUCUAUCUAUCUAUCUAUCUAUCUAUCUAUAGACAUAUAUGUAUAUAUAUACAGUUUGUGUGUGGGGAAUAUAAGGGGAAAAAAAACAACAAUCAUGCCACAUGAGGCAUUAAGUUUUCAGCGGUUGGUGCAUGGCAUGGUAAUAUUGGAAGGCUUUGCUUCUCUGCAGGCAACUAUUUUUUCAUGUGAUGUCUUGCUUAGACUUGCUGAAAUUAUUGAGAACAAGCUUAUUAAAGCUUUCGAUGAGUCUCUUUCCACGUCAACAACCACAACACUGUCACAUUACUGUUGCAUUAGUGGGACAUUACCGAAAGUAAGUUGGCCUAUGAAACUUGAUUGCAACAAUCAAAAAAGUUUGAGCUAGAAAUUGCAGCUAUUAUGGUUUGAGGACCAAAAGUGUAAUUUAGCCUUAUUUUAUAUAACAAACGACUGGGCAAGCAAUAAUUUUCCAAUCUCGGCACCUAUAACUGCACUCAAUUGGAAGGCCUGCUAUUUUGCAGGCAACCUUGUUAUGUCGGUUGUCUUCAAGGUGCAUAAGACUAUAUGAUGCCUCUUGAUAUGAUCGAAUGGCCAGUCGGAGCCUCUCUAUCCUUCUACUUCCUUUUCAUCUAGUAAUAUUUCUCAUGCUGACUGUCGAUGUUCUCAUGCUGACUGUAUGCUUCAAUUAGACAGGCCCUUAAUGCUUCAUGCAAAUGUUAAGGAAGCGUCUCUCCUUUAUGUUACGUUUCGAAGGAUGUUGUGAUGAUUGGCGGUUGCGAAGGCACCUCAACUUGUUUUUUUCUUGGCUUUUGAUUCUUAGAGCGUGUUUGGUUCACUUCUUUUUCACUCUGGAAUCGAAAUCGGAAUGGGUGAAUCUGUUUGUGGGUGUUUGGUAUGCGGGAGUUCCAUUCCCAUUCCUAUUCCCGAGUGGGAUGGGAAUCCCCUAAUCAUCUCUUUUUCCAAUCCGGUCUAGUAGGCCGGAUUGACAGUUGAAUCCAGACGGAAUGGAUAUUUAUUCGGAUUAAAUUAAUUUUUUCAACUUUUUUAAAUUAAAAUAUGAGUUUAAAUUUAGAAAUUAAAUUUAUAAUUUUAAAUUUUAAUUUGAAUUUGAAUUAAAAAUUAAAAUUUAAUCAAUUAUUUUGAAUCUAACUUAUAAAUUUGAAUUUAAAUUAAAUUUUAAUUUAUAUAAAGUUUUAUUCAAAUUUUAUUUAAAACUUAAAUUAAAUUUAUGGAUUCAAAUUAAAAUUAAAAUUGUAAUUUUAAGUUUGAAUUUGAAUAAAUCGAAAUUUAGUUUUAUAUUUUGAAUUAUCCACUCAACUUCAAAGUUUAAUUUUUUAAAAAAAAAUAGAUUUAAAAUUUUGACAUUAUUUCAAAAUUUUGAUGUAAAUUUUUAAUAUUUAAUUUUCAGUUUGAAUUUAAAUUAAUAUAUUAUAAAGAUAAAGUUAGUAUAUUAAUUUGAUUACGUUUUUUAUAUCUAUCUGAACAAAACACCGACAAUGGGAAUGAUUUAUUCCGAUUCCGAUUCAGGUAAUGAAUCAAACAGAAUUAGGUAAUGAGUCAUUCCAAUUCUGAUUUCAGCUUAUUUCGAUUCCGAUUCUGAUUCCGAUUCCAACUUCGAACCAAACGCGCCCUUAAUGGAGUGCAGAAGCUGAUCGAAAUACUGGAUAUAAGAGGUAGUAUGGUCAACCCUAAAAACUGCACUUUUGCAUUAAAAAAAAUCCCUUUCAUGAAUAACUGUAGAAACGGAUGGUCUGCACUUUUGCAGGCAACCUAGCAGUUACAUGCUGUUUUUUGUGGUUUGUACUUUUAAGCUGUUUCUUUGCGACAUCAUUUGCCUAGUGAUCAAGCAAUGCCAAAUACAUCGUAUAUUAGACAUUAAAAUUGUUGAUUUCUGGACAACUUGACUACUUAGCAAAUGAUAUCAAAGAAUGAUGAAGUUUGAAACCUAGAAAGUUGAAAUAUCCUAGAUCAUGUUUGACGGUGCUGAUGGUCUAUCCAGAUGCCCCAUUAUCGGAAAUGACACGGAAGUGAGCUGUACUUGUAGAAGUAUUCUAGCCUCUCCUUUUCUCUCUCUCUCGAUCUCGAUUUUCUAGGUUGAAAUAUAGAGCAAAAAGUUGGUGGUGGCACUAUUAUGGAUCAAUAAGGUCUAAGGUUCACUUCUUGAAGAUCCCCCUGCUCCCCCCCCCCCCCUUCAAAAAUAAACAAAAAAAAAACACACACACACACACACACACACACACACACACACAAAAAGGAAAAAAAAAAAACUCAAAAUGCAGUUCCUCGUGGAAACUGGCUCCUGCUCGGCAUGCUAUCUUGAACGGCUAGCUCCGAUGCAGACAACCAAUAUUUGCAUCUAUACAGGGGAUUUUAAUCCUCAGUUUGCUAUUUUGAAGCAACAAGUGUCGGAUUGUACGUUAUCUGAAUGUACAUGUUCUUUGAGGAAUGGCUAUGAUGACUGCCUGGAUGCACCAGAACUGAAGCAUUUGACUGAAACGUAGCUUGGCAAUCUUUGGAAGGCUUGCAAUUCUGUGAGCAACCAUUAUGCAGCUGUUUGUGUAGUUCUGUGAAGAUUCUGAUGAAAAGGCCAGAUCUGAGCCACCUCCCUUCUCAGCAUCAUCUUCGUUAAAUUAUGAAAAGCUUUCUUGUACUUUAUCCUCUGUCACAAUUAUCUAACUGCUCGAGAAAGAUGGACUGUAGACAACCGUCCGCUUGUAGACAUCUUUGACUCUAUGGUAAACAGUUGCGACAUGUUUGUUGGGUAAAUGAAAGAAAUAUGUUGAACAAGAUGGUUGUGUGUCGAAAGAAAUGAUCUGUGCUGCUGUUUAAAGCUGCAUUCUUAUGUCUUUCCAUGUGGCAGCUGUGAUGAUUGCCAAGUAUGGAAGCAUCAAAACCCUUGAACAUUAGACUACACUUUGAUCUGCACAGCGUGGCAACUUUUGGACGGCUUGUUUAGCAAGCAUCCAUUUUGCGUUUGUAUGUGUAGUUCGCAAAUGCUCAUAAAAAUGGGGUGAAAAUGUGCAGAACUUAUCUGAACUAUGGACCAUUUCGAGAAAGGCAGAUUGUAGACAACCGUCCGCAUGUUUGUUGUGUAGACAUCUUAGACUCUAUGGUUAACAAUUGCGGCAUAUUUGUUGGGUAAAUAAAAGAAAUAUGUUGAUGGUCAUGUGUCAAUAGAGGCUCUAAAUUUGCACUUUUGUUCUGCGCCACAAAUGAGCUGUGCUGCUGUUGAAAGAUGCAUUGUUACCUCUUUCUAUGUGGUGGCUGUGAUGAUUGCCAUGUAUGGAUGCACCAAAUCCCUACAACAUUUGACUAAACUUUGAUCCGCACAGCUCGGCAACCUUAGGAAGGCUUAUUUUGCAAGCAUCCAUUUUGCUUUGUAUGUGUAGGUUUGCGAAUGCACACAAAAAUGGCAGAUCUGAGCCACAGCGUCUAAAUAUCUCCUUUUCCUUGUUUAGAACUAACAAUUUUUUACCCCUUGCUUGCUCUUGUUUAAAGAACUUCUGUUUGCUAAAUCGCCUCUUGCAACAAGGUGGUUAGUUGAUAAGAGGAAAAAUGUUCCUUUAUGACAAUAUAUGUUUUUGAAGUUUAGUGGUGAUAAUUACACCGCAGUUGGAGGGGGUUUGGCAUAUUUUUGUCUUUAAAUAUGGCCCGCAGGUAGUGUAGUUUUAACAGAGCAUUAGACCUGCCUGGCAGGAACAUUGGAUGGCCUGCUUAUAUGCUGGCAACCAAUUUUUGAUGCUGUAAGCUGGAGUUUGUACCGAGGUUCGUAUUAUUAGCGUUGAGCAUCGCGAUGUAACUUUUUGUAGUUGUACAGAGCCGAAGAAUUGCUCUUUUGCAUCCUUCUUCCUUAGUGGGUAAUCAAAAUUUCCACAAAAUUGGAACUUCAAAUCUCACUUCUUUCAAGUUUAUCCCCAAACCGGUUUUCUAUAAAAAUAAACUGAACAUGCGACUUCGGCAAUGCUGAGGACUCAUAGGGGUGACACGGUCGAAUACGGUCGGAUUUUUGAUGAAACCAUAUCCGUAUCCAUUUCGUAGGCUAAUUCGGGUAUGAUGAUGUUGGAUUCGAUCGGAUUUUAUCCUAACCAUUUUCACCCCUACUUGUGGUACAUUUAUUCAGAGGAAAAAUACUCUUGAGCCCUCCAAUGAGGGAUGGACGGAUGGAUGGACGGACGGGUACAUCGCUAAGGCGAUACGAAAGAGAGAACCCUGCGUUGGGGACAAGCAGAAAUGCAGGGAUGCUCCCUUCUUCCUGUAAGUCCCUCUGUCUCCUACUCUCUUCCACCCCAAAAAAAGGAAAAAAAAAAAAGAAAGAAAGAAGAAAGUCAUUUGUCUCGUUUCCCAUCUCUUCCUUUCCUCAAGUGUUUUUAGGUUAGACAGGGAAUGUGGUAAUGGCGGGGCAGUUCUGGACGGUCUGCUCUUCUGCAGGCUACUGAGCUGCAGCCAUUACUCCGGAAAUACAUUGGCGGGAGUGACGGUGGUCAUUCAUAAUGAUGAUGAUGAUGAUGAUGAUGAUGAUGAUGAUGAGGAUUAUAACCUUUGAAGGUGCUUCAGCUUUGUCUGAGGAUGCUUCCGGUGUCAAUGGCACUGGAUCAUGUUCCUCUUGAUACCUCACCUAUCUUCUUGAUACCUCACCUUUUUCUUGAUCCUCAUUAAAGCAGCUAUCAUUUCCUCCUACUUCCUUUCUUGAUGCCCUAUUGUUGUUGUUGUUGUUGUUGUUGUUGUUGUUGUUGUUAUCAUUAUUAUUAUUAUUAUUAUUAUUGUGGUGGUGGUGGUGGUGGGGGUGGAUGGAGUCUACCAUCUCCCUGCCCCUUCGUAAAAAGGGAAGCUUUCGUUUCUCGGGGUUGACCGAGCCCACACAUAUAUAUGUGUGUGUGCGCGCGUGCGCUUUUAGAAGCAUAUACUUUGAACUUUUGGACCCUUGGAUCCCUAUGGUUUACUAGCUAGUGAUGGUUAAAGUACGGAUCCAAGGGCUCAAAAGUUUAAGUUGUAACUUCUCAAAGCAGCAUAAGCUCUAUUCUAUAUAUAUACACACACACACACUGUUGGUGUUUGAGGGUUGGAAAAAAAAAAAACAACAGGAACAAUUCUAGAUGAGGGCUAAAGUUUCAGCAGAAGGUGGAUAGCAUGGUUAUCUUGGAAGGCUCUGCUGUUCUGCAGGCAAGCAUUAUUCUAUGUGAUGUCUUGCGAUGUACGAGAAGAGAUAUCUAUUCCUUUUUCUCAUGCAAUACUCUGUUUGGUGCCAAAUCAUUAUAGAAUUGAAUAUAUUUGCAAUUCCAUGAGGGCAUUUGUAUUGCAGAAAAUGCAAACUAUGGCAAAUCUGACCACAAACCAGUGGAUUUGCUUUAUCGGAAAUAAAUUUAAAGUACACCUGCUAAUGUCUACAAGGAUGAACCAGUUCUUCUUGGCAAUUUCAUCCAAAUCAGUGAUUUGGAGGAUUCCAAACAGGGAAUGAACAAGGCUUCGAUGAUUGCCAAUCUGGUUGCCCACAGUUUGCCCUUGCCGUUUCUUCUUUACCAUUGUACAGUGUAAACAUCUCUUAUAAUAUCAGUUGUUCCGUAAAUUGGAUGGUCUGCUAAUUUAGCAGGCAACCUUUGAAGCUUUUGAUGAGUCUCUUGCCAUGUUAUCAAUCACAGUACUUCUACAUCACUCCCUUAUCAGUGAUACAUCAUUUAUUCUACUAAAUUGGACUAUGGAACAUGUUGCAACAAUCAAGAAAUGUUGAUUCAGAAGUUGCAACAAAUUAAAGUUUAAGGACUAAAGUGUCAUCCGCCUUAUUGUUUGAGGACCAAACGUGUAAUUUAGCCUUAUAUUAACUUACAAAGCACCCAGGAUAAAAAGAAAGUACUGGAUUUUUUUUUUCCCCCUAGAGAAGCUUUCAAUGGCUUGCGAUGCAUCUGCUGUAUGCAAUAAUUUUCCUAUCUCAGCUGCUCACUAGGGCAGCCUUGCGGGGUAGCUGUAGCAGCACUCAAUUGGAGGGUCUGCUGUUUUGCAGGAAACCUUGUUCUAUCAUAUGUCUUUAAGGUACACAAGGUUACAUAAUGCCUGAUCGAAUGGCAAGUCGGAGCCUCUCUUUCCUUCUACUAUCUUUUCAACUAUCAAUAUUCUCAUGCUGACUGUAUGAAUGUCCUCAUGUUGACUGUAUGUUUCAAUCAGACAGGCCCUUAAUGUUUCAUGCUAUGCUAAAGAAGUGUUUCUCCUUCAUUUUAGUUGUCAAUGGAGGCUGUGAUGAUUGCCGGCUGGGGAUGCACCUCAGCUUCUUUUAUCCUUGCUUUUGACUCUUGGCGGAGUAAAGAAGCUGAUCGAAAUACUGGAUAUGAGAGGCAAUAUAGUCAGCUCAAACCAAACAUGUUUGUUGGAUUUUGACAAUUCUGGUGGGAUUUGAGUCUGGUUUGUUGGUUUUCUUGGUCCUUUUACGCUCCUUGACAGCCCUUUGCUUCGUUCCUUUGGGUGGUCUUGGGUGACAUGAUUCACCGGGUGCAGACAAUAAUUUUUCCUUUCUAAGCAGCUAUAAGGCCAACAUCAGCUACCUGUAGCAGUACUUAAAUUGGAAGGUCUGCGGUCUUGUAGGUAACAUUAUGCUGUUACGUCUUCAAGGUGCAUAAGAUUGCAGGACCCCUCAUAAGAUAUGAUUAAAUGGCAUAUCUGAGCCUCCAUUUUCUUCUCCUAAUUCAUUUUUUGCUAUUCAGUGGUACACUCUUCCCUCACCACCCCCCCCCCCCCCCCCNNNNNNNNNNNNNNNNNNNNCCCCCCCCCCCCCCCCCCCCCCCCCCCCCCCCCCCCCCCCCCCCCCCCCCCCCCCCCCCCCCCCCCCCCCCCCCCCCCCCCCCCCCCCCCCCCCCCCCCGCUCCUCUGGCUUUCUUGCUGCAUGUAGAAUCUAGGAUGGGUUGUUUCAUAUUUUCCUUAUCAACUUCCUGGAACCCUGCGUAAUGCUGGUUGAUGACAACUGGAUAGUUGUUCGGGGGUCUAUUUCAAAAUGGCCUAUAGUUGUGGGGAUCAUCAUACUAUUUAUCCUUCUCAAUAUAUUUGAGGGUUAUCCCAAUAUUGUGACUUAGUCCUCGAACCUAUUCCGUAAACACUUGUCCCUUAUCUUUCACAUAUUCUUGCAGUUCAUCCCUGGCCAUCACUUUGGUCCAUAUGUUCCAGGCAAGAUCUCUCAUUAGCACGCUUCAGUGUAAUUUAAUCACUAGAGGAUUGGCGCGUGAGUCGUAAUUGGGGGCAAGAAGAAGUACAGGGCAUGCUCCCUCCUUUGUAUAAGCCCCGCUGUCUACUUUCUCUUGCACCACAAAAAGCAGAAGAAAAAAAGAAAACAUUUUAAUGUUGAUAUGGGAUGGUGAUAAUAGUUUAAGAAGCUUCGGCUUCAUUUGAGGAUGCCUCCUAUGUUGAUGGCGUCAGAUUGCCAUCUUCUUGAUUCCUCUCAUAUUUCUAGAUUCUAGCUAAAGCAACUAUUAUCUUUUUUUUUAAUUACAUCUCCAUUUCUCUUCUUGAUGUCUUAUUUUUUUCUUCUUCUUCUUCUUGUUAAUUGCUGCUGUUAUUGUUAAUUUUACUAUAGUGGUGGUGGUGGUGGGUGGAGUCUAUCGUCUCCCCAUCCCCUCCCGAAAGGGAAAACCCAAAAAACUUCGCUUUUCGGUUUUGACCAAGCCUUCAUUCUUGGUUUUGGCUGUAUAUAUAUAGAGAGAGAGAGAGUUUGCGAUUAACUAUUUAACCCUUGGAUUUCAGCAGUAGGUGCAUGGCAUGGAAAUCUUGGAAGGCACUACUCUUCUACAGGCAACCAUUUUUCCAUGUGAGGCCUUGAAUGUACCAGAAGAUAUAUCUACUCCUUUUCUAAUGUAAUACUCUGUUUGGCACCAAAUCGUUGUAGAAGUGAGUAUAUUUGCAAUCCUGUGAGGGCAUUUUUGGAGCAAAAAUGCAAAUUAUGGUAGAUCCGACCACAAACCAGUGGAUCUGCCUAGAAUUGCUGAAAUCAUUUGAAACCAUUGAAAAUCAAUUCAAUCCACACCUGCUAAUGUUUCCAAGGAUUAACGAGUUCUUGUUUGCAAUUUCGUUCAAAUCAGUGAUUCAAAGGAUUCUAAACAGGGUGCAAAGGAGGCUGUGAUGGUUGCCAACCUGGGUGCCAACGGUUUGUCCAAGCCAUUUCUUCUUUGCUGAGUGUACAAAAUAAACAGCUCUUUUAGUAUCAGUUCUCCUUUGGUAAAUUGGAAGGUCUGCUAAUUUAGCAGGCAACCUUUACCACCAUAUAUUAUAAUGGUGCAAGAAUUAUAUGAUGCCUUUUGAAUAAAGUGGGGGAAAUGGUUGAGAACAGACUAAUUGAAGCUUUAGGUGGGUCUCUUGUGAUGUCAUCGACAACAAUACUGCCACAUUACUGCUACAUAUGUGAGACAUCACCAUCCACUCAACUAAAUUGGCUUGUGAGAUUUGAUUGCAACAGUCAAGGAAGUUCGAGACAGAAAAUUGUAGCAAUUAUAGUUUGAGGGCCAAAGUGUCACCCGCCUCAUAGUUUGAGAACCAAAAGUGUAAUUUAGCCUUUAUUUUAGCUAACAAACCACUGAGGGUGAAAAGACAGCGUUUUCUAGGAACUGGCUCCUGUGAUGCACCAGGUGCAGGCAAUAAUUUUCCUCUCUAUGCUAUGUGUGGCAGCACUCAAUUGGAAGGUCUGCUGUUUUGCAGGCAACCUUGUUCUGUCCUUUGUCUUUAAGGUGCAUAAGACUACAUGAUGCCUCUUGAAAUGUUCGAAUAGCAGGUCAGAGCCUCCCUUUCUUGCUUUCUUUUCAGCUAAAAUGUAUAUCGUGCUGACCGUCCAUAUGUCCUCGUGCUGGCUGAAUGCUUCAAUUGGACAGACCCUUAAUGUCUUGUGCAAUGGUAAGGAAAUAUUUCUCCUUCAUUUUACUUGCCAAAGAAUGCUGUGAUGAUUGCCAAUUGGGAAGGCACGUCAACUUAUUUUAUCAUGCCUUUUGACUCUCGGCAGAGCACAAAAGCUGAUUGAAAUACUAGAUUUAAGAGGCAAUAUAGUCAGGUCAAACCAAAGAUCUUGAUUGGGUUUUGAUAAUUCGAGUGGCAUCUGAAUCUUGUUUGUUGGUUAGCUUGGUGCUUCUACACCCCUUGAGUGCCCGUCACACACUUGUAUGCUGAUUCAGAUGUGGAUAUCCAAGCAUACAUCUCUCUUUCUCUCUCUCUCUUUGUCACGCCCCAGUUUCUUGGAGCGCCACCCAUUCUAGAACUACUCUAGCCGUAGGUUUGCUCAACCCUCUUAACCUUUUGGGCUUAGCCGCUGCUCAAAAUGGUAUUGCUAGGUUAAGAGGUUUAUCUCUAUAAUACCUUAUAUAUAGGACUUCCAAAUCCUAGGGGUGUCACAUUCUCCUCUCGGUUACCUGCUUCCCUCUUUUAGGCUCUGACGUCCUCUCAGGUUCAAACACACUCACAAGCACCGCCGAUGUGAGACUCGUCUUCCUAGCCUUAGAUAACCUUGUGGGGAGCCGCGCUCCACCCACAAUGGCCGUCAGUCGGAGAGCCGUGCUUUUGCCCGUUUUAUGACCCUGGCUCAGCCAAGGAUCAUCUCACACUUAUGGUUGGUGAUUGGCUUUGAUACCAACUGACGCCUCGCUUCCCAGAGGGGUCAUCCAUCCAAGAACUACUCUAGCCUUAGGCUUGCUCAAUCCUCUUAAUCUCUUAGGCCUAGUCACUGCUCAAAAUGCUAUAGCCGGGUUAAGAGGUUUAGCCCUACUAUAUCUUAUAUAUAAAACUAUUCCAAAUCCCGGGAGUCUCCCUCCCCCUCUCCCCCUCCCACCCCCCCCUCCUGAUUGUCUCAUGCCCUAAUGACCAUUUAUAGUCAUAAUCUAUUUCAAGUAAUUUUGGAUUCGAUCAAAUAUCAUAUUUCUAUUUGUUAUAUAAAAUUAUGUGCAAGGCAUGUGAUCAAAACAGUAGCUCAAUUAGUAACUUCACCUGAACAGAGGGGUUCACUAAACUAUUUGAUAAAGUUUUUGCGGUUUUGUUGCCAAAAAGUAAAAGUUUAGGCUCCUGUUUGCAAAAGUGUUAAAGUGCAGAGUACUAAUUUUUGAUGUUUAUAUAUCUAAAAUCAUUUUCUUAAAAUGUAACUGGAAAUUGCCAAGCAGCUCUGGACUGUCUGCUCUUCUGCAGGCUACAGAGCUGCAGCCAUUAUUCCAGAAAUGUUGUGGCGGCGGCGGCUGCAGCUGCAGUUGGUGAUCAUUCAUAAUGAAGAUGAGGAUGAUGAUUAUAACCUUUAAAGAGGCUUCUACCGCAUCUAAAGAGGCCUCCUAUGUCGAUGGCAUCUGAUUGUCAUAUUCUGAUACGGUGAUACCUCUCGUAUUUCUCAAUCCUCGCUUAACUAUCAUCAAUUUUUUUUUCUACUUCUCCAUUUCUCUUCAUGAUGACUUGUUGUUGUUGCUGCAGCUGAUGGUGUUCUUGUUAUUGUUGCUGUUGUUAUUAUUAUUGUUAUUGAGGUCGUGGGGUUGGAGGUGGGUGGAGUCUGAAUGUCUCCCCGCCCCUUCCUGAAAGCCGAAACUUAGAAAACUUCGCUUUGCUGGGUUGACUAAGCCUUCAUUCUUGGUUCUGGUUAUAUAUAUCUAUAUAUAUAUAGAUAUAGAUAUAGAUAUAUAGAAACAGCUUGUAUUUGGGGGACAAAAAGGACAAAACAAACAGCAAUGAAACCAAAUGAGGCGUUAAGUUUACAGUAGUAGUUGCAUGGCAUGGUAAUUUGGAAGGCUCUGCUUUUCCGCAAGCAAUCAUUUUUCCAUGUCUUUUCUUUUUUAUACUUGGUGAAAUGGUUGAGAACAAACUGAUUGAAGCUUUUGGUUGUCUCUUGCGAUGUCAUCAACCACAAUGCUGCCACAUUACUGCUAUAUUAAUGAGACAUCACCAUUCACUUAACCAAAUUGGCCUGUGAGACUUGAUCGCAACAAUCAAGAAAGUACGAGCUACAAAUUGCGGCUAUUAUUGUUUGGGGACCAAAGUGUCACCUGCCUCAUAGUUUGAGGACCAAAAGUGUAAUUUAGCUUUAUUUUAUCUAUCAACCCUUGGAACAGGCAUUAAUUUUCCUAUCUCAGCACUCUGUUGGAAGGUCUGCUGUUUUGCAGGCAACCUUGUUCUGUCAUUUGUGAUGCCUCUUGAUGUGAACGAAUGGCAGGUCGGAGCCUCUCUGUCCUUCUACUUUCUUUUCACUGUUGAUAUUUCUCAUGCUGACCGUCCAUAUGUCCUCAAUCCUCUUGCUGACUGUAUGCUUCAACCGGAAGGCCCUUACUGUUUCAUGCAAUAUUAAGGAAGUGUUUUUCCUUCGUUGUACUUGUCAAAGGAGGCUGUGAUGAUUGCCACUUGGGAAUGCACCUCAACUUCUUUAAUCCUUGCUUUGGAUUCUCGGCGUAGUGUAGAAGCUGACCAAAAUACUGGGUAUAAGAGGCAAUAUAGUCAACUCAAACCUGAGACCUUGGUUGGGUUUUGACAGUUCGGGUGGGAUUUGAAUCUUUUUUUCUUUUUUUUUUUAAUUUUAUAUUUUAGUCCUUUUACACCCCUUGAGAGGCCUUUACGUGGUUCAUUUGUGGGAUAGACAGCAUCUCAGUGGAUGGCUUUUGGCUGACAUGAUCACCUGGUGUAGGCUAUAAUUUUUCCUUUCUCAGCAGCUCAUAUAACCAACAUUAAGUACCUGUAGCAGGACUUAAAUUGGAAGGUCUACUGUCUUGGAUGCAACAUUUUGCUGUCGUGUCUUUAAGGUGCAGAAGAUUGCAAGAUCCCUUGCGAGAUGAUUAAGUGGCAAAUCUGAGCCUCCAUUUUCUUCUCCUACUUUCUUUUAGCUAUUAGGAUUUGGUGGUACAUUAUUUAUUUUUCCCAUUUUUUCUUUUCCUCCUCUGGCCUUCUUACUGCAUGUAGAACCUAGGUGGGUUGUUUUCAAAUAUUCCUUAUCUACUACCUGAAAUGUGACACUCUACUUCAUGCUGGUUGAUGCUAAAUCAUUUAUCCUGUAUGUCUUCAGAUUUAGGCAACUUGUUAGUCUUUUAGAUUUUGAAAAGAACUAAAAACAGAUAAAGAUUCGGAUGUUUGGCAUGUAUAUCUGUAUAUUUGCAUGCUGAUUCAAAUGUGGGUAUCCAGCAUACUUGUAUAUCUACUUUUCCAUUUCUCUUCUUGAUGCCUUGUUGUUGUUGCUGCUGCUGCUGUUGUUAUUCUUGUUAUUAUUAUUAUUAUUACUAUUGUUAUUGUUAUUGUGGUCGCAAUGGUGGUGGUAGAGGUGGGGUGGAGUAUCGUCUCUCCGCCCCUUCCUGAUGGGGGAAACCCACAAAAAUUUGCUUUUCGGGUUGACCAAGCCUUCAUUCUUGGUUCUGGUUCUAUAUAUAUAUAUAUACAUACAAACUGUUUGUAUAUAGAGGAAAAAAGAAAAAGAAAAAAGCAACGAAACCAAAUGAAGCCUUAUUAAGGUUUCAGUGGAAGGUGCAUGGCAUGGCAAUUUUGGAAGGCUCUGCUUUUCUGCGAGCAACCAGUUGUCCAUGUGUUGCCUUGCUUAGAUUUGCCGAAAUGGCUGAGAGCAAACAAAUUGAAGCUUUCGAUGGGUCUCUUGGUUGUCAUCAACCACAAUACUGCUGCAUUACUGCUACUUUAGUGAGACCACCAUUUACUCAACAAAAUUGGCCUAUGAGACGAUUGCUACAAUCAAGAAAUUUUCGAGCCAGAAACUGCAAGUAUUAUAGUUUUGAGGACCAAAGUGUCAUCUGCCUCAUAGUUUGAGCACCAAAGUGCAAUUUAACCUUAUUUUAUCAAACGAACCAAGGAACAGGCAAUAAUUGUCCCAUCUCACCUGCCUGUGGCAGUACUCAAUUGGAACUCAAUUGGAAGGUCUGUUGUUUUGCAGGCAACCUUGUUCCAUCAUUUAUCUUAAAGGUGCAUAAGAAUACACGAUGCCUCUUGAUAUGAUUGAAUGGCAGGUCAGAGCCAACUUCUUUCAUCCUCUCUUUUGUUAUACUUGUCAAAGGAGGCUGUGAUGAUUGCCACUGGGGAAUGCACCUCAGCUUCUUUAGUCCUUGCUUUUGAUUCUUGUUGGAGUGCAGAAGCUGACCAAAAUACUAGGUAUAAGAGAGUCAACUCAAACCUGAGACCUUGGUUGGGUUUUGACAGUUCAGGUGGGAUUUGAAUCUGGUUUUUUUUGGUUAUUUUGGUUCUUUUACACCCCUUGAGACGCCUUUGCAUGGUUCAUUUGUUGGAUAGACAGCAUCUCAGUGGAUGGCUUUUGGCUGACAUGAUCACCUGGUGCAGGCUAUAAUUUUUCCUUUCUCAGCAGCUCAUAUAUGACCAACAUUAGGUACCUGUAGCAGGACUUAAAUUGGAAGGUCCACUGUCUUGGAUGCAACCUUUUGCUGUCGUGUCUUUAAGGUGCAGAAAAUUACAAGAUCCCUUGCGAGAUGAUUAAGCGGCAUAUCUGAGCCUCCGUUUUCUUCUCCUACUUUCUUUUUAGCUAUUAGGAUUUGGUGCUACAUUCUUUAUUUUUCCUUUUUUUUCUUUUCCUCCUCUGACCUUCUUACUGCAUGUAGAACCUAGGUGGGUUGUUUUCAAAUAUUCCUUAUCUACUUCCUGAAACGUGACACCAUACUUCAUGCUGGUUGAUGCUAAAUCAUUUAUCCUGUAUGUCUUCAGAUCUAAGGCAACGUGUUAGUCUUUCAGAUUUUGAAAAGAACUAAAAACGGAUUAAGAUUCGGAUGUUGGGCAUAUAUAUCUGUAUACUUCUAUGCUAAUUCAAAUGUGGGUAUCCAACAUACAUGUAUAUCUACUUUUCCAUUUCUCUUCUUGAUGCCUUGUUGUUGAUGCUGCUGCUGCUGUUGUUAUUAUUAUUAUUAUUUUUGUUAUUAUUAUGGUCGCAGUGGUGGUGGUGGAGGUGGGUGGAGUCUAUCGUCUCUCCACCCCUUCCUAGGGAAACCCACAAAACUUUGCUUUUUGGGGUUGACCAAGCCUUCAUUCUUGGUUCUGGUUAUAUACAUACAUACAAACAUUUUGUAUAUAGAGGAAAAAAGAAAAAGAAAGGAAAAAGAAAGCAACAAUAACAACGAUACCAAAUGAAGCCUUAAGGUUUCAGUAGUAGGUGCAUGGCAUGGUUAUUUUGGAAGGUUCUGAUUUUCUGAGAGCAACCAAUUUUCCAUGUGUUGUUUUGCUUAGACUUGCCGAAAUGGCUGAGAACAAACAAAUUGAAGCUUUCGCUGGGUAUCUUGGGAUGUCAUCAACCAUAAUACUGCUAUGGUAGUGAGACAUCACCAUUUACUCGACCAAAUUGGCCUGCGAGAUGAUUGCAAGUUUUGCAACAAUCAAGAAAGUUUGAGCCAGAAAUUGCCAGUAUUAUAUUUUUGAGGACCAAAUUGUCAUCUGCCUCAUAGUUUGAGCACCAAAAGUGAAAUUUAGCCUCAUUUUGUCUAACAAACCACAGAACAGGCAAUAAUUUUCCUAUUUCACCUACCUGUGGCAGCACUCAAUUGGAACUCAAUUGAAUGGUCUGCUGUUUUGCAGGCAACCUUGUUCCAUCAUUUAUCUUAAAGGUGCAUAAGAAUACAUGAUGCCUCUUGAUAUGAUCGGAUGGCAGGUCAGAGCCUCUCUUUCCUUGUGCUUUCCUUUCAGCUAUUAAUAUUUCUCAUGCUGACUGUUCAUAUGUCCUCAUUCUGACCGUAUGCUUCAAUCAGACUGGCGCUUAAUGUUUCAUUCAAUCUUAAGGAACUGUUUCUCAUUCAUUUUACUUGUCAAAGGAGGCUGUGAUGAUUGCCAGUUGGGAAUGCACCUCAACUUCUUUUAUCCUCUCUAUUGAUUCUCGGCGGUGUAAAAACUGAUCGAAAUACGGGAUAUAAGAGCCAAUAUAGUCAGCUCAAUCCUUAGAUCCUGAUUGUGUUUUUAUAAUUCGGGUGGGAUUUGAAUCCAGUUUGUUGGUUAGUUUUGUCAUUUUGCUUCCCUUGAGAGCCUCUCGCUUCGUUAAUUCGUGGGAUAGACAGCAUCUCAGUGGGUGGCUUUUGGCUGACAUGAUUCACCGGGUGCAGGCAAUAAUUAUUCCUUUCUCAGCAGCUCAUCAGGCCAACAGUAGCUCCUGUAGCAGUAGUUAAAUUGGAAGGUCUGCUGUCUUGCAGGCAACCUUAUGCUGUUCAUAUCUUUAAGGUGCAUAAGAUUACAAGAUCCCGAUCCCUCAUGAGGUGAUUGAAUGGCAUAUCUGAGCCUCCAUUUUAUUCUCCUAAUUCCUUCUUAGUUAUUAAGAUUUAGUGGUACAUUCAUUUUUUUCGUAGCUAUUAAGAUUUAAUAGUACAUUCAGUUUUUUCUGUUUUAUUUUUAAUUUUUCAUCCUCUGGCUUUCUUACUGCAUGUAGAAUCUAGGAUGGGUUGUUUCAAAUAUUCCUUAUCAACCCCGUGAAACCCUACUUUAUGCUGGUAGAUGAUGACUGGAUAGAAGUUUGGGUGUCUAUUUCAAAAUGGUCUACAGUUGAGGGAAUGUUCAUCCUAUUUAUCCUUCUCAAUAUACCUGAUGGUUAAAAUGUAUUGAUAGUCCGUCUUAUCCCAAUACUAUCCCCAUAUUGUGACUUAGUCCUUGAACCUUUUCCAUAAACGCUCCUCUCUCACCUUUCCUUUAUUCUUGGAAUUUCAUCCCUGCCGUCUUUUUGCUCCAUAUGUUGCAAGCAAAAUCUCUCGUUAGAACUCUGCAUUGUAAUUUAAUCACUAGAGAGGAUUGGCAGGCGCGUGAUCAGUAAUUGGAGGUAGCUCUGGAUGGUCUGCGCUUCUGCAGGCAACCUAGCUUGCAACCAUUUAUCCGGUCAUGGUUGGGGCAGAGGAGGAGGUGGUGGUAGUGGUAAGGAUUGGAUAUAUGUGGGUUCAUAUGAUCCUCUUCUCUGAUUAUGGUAUCAUCAUUGUUAUCUUCUUGGCACUUGCUUAUUCUCUUGAUCGAAGUUCCUGUAAAGGAUAUCUUUUAUCAUUUAUUUCUAUUUCGCAAUUCCUGUUCCUUGAUGUGUUUCAGUAUUUGUGGAAGUUUUUGCUGAUCCUCUUCAAGAUAGGUGGAAUAACCACUUUUGUGGAGUAAAGCUUCUCCCUGCGGCCUUCUGAGAUGGGUACCCAUGAAAUUUUGUGCCUCAGUGUUGAUGAAUGGCUAAAAAUCAAGCUUUCUGAUUUUGAUUGUGCAUUCUUCAUAUGGGUUUACAUCAAGUUGGUCGGUUAGCUCGGUCCAUUGACACCUCUAAUCUGAGCCGUGCUUCAUUCAUUCGUGGGAUGGAUGACAUCGCAGUUGGUGGUGCAUGUCUGAUGUGGUGCACCGGGUGCAGGCCAUAAUUUCUCCUAUCUCUGCAGCCCAUAAGGGCGUCGUUUUGGGGUUCACGUAGCAAUACUCAAUUGGAAGGUCUGCAUUCUUGCAGGCAACCUUACAAAGUCAUUUGUCUUUAAGGUGCGUAAGACUACAUGAUGCCUCAUGAUAUGAUUGAAUGGCAGAUCUGAGCCUCCCUUUUCUUCUUGUUUCUUUUCAGCUAUUAAGAUCUAUUCUAGUUAUUUUCUUCUUCUCUGUGUUUGCUUCUGCAUGGAGAAGCUAGAUCAUCAAUUCCUAUUCCCUCUACUUUUCAGUGGUUGAUGAAGAUCAGAUUGAGUUGGUGACUUGGUCGGCCUAUUUCAAAAUGGCCUAUGGUUGAUGGGUAUUCAUACAUUUUACCUUCUUAAUAUGGGUGGGAAUAAAAAUCAGAUAUUAUUUUUCAUAUGAGGCUGGUGUUAUUGUUAACUUUUUAUGAGGGGUGAGAAGUAUUUAUAGUCCCUGUACUAUUCCGAUAUUGCAACUUUGUCCAAACUCCAUCCAUGACCUUCACUUUGGCACAAGUGUAGUCAAUAGUUUCCUGUUAGACCUCUGCAGUGUAAUUCAACCACUAGAGACGUUCCAAGUGUGAUCUAGCAAUGCUGAGGCAGCUAUGGACGGUCUGCCUUUCUGCAGGCAACCUAGCUGGACCCCUUAAAUGUAACCAUGAUCAGCCAUGAAGAUAUAGCAUGCCUGUGCAGCUUCAUCUUUAAGACUCUUCCUCUGUUGAAAGUUUGGAGUGCCGUCUUCGUGAUACAUUUGUUCUCUUGAUCCUGUUAAGAAUGUUAGUCCCUUAUUUGUUACUUGAGCGUUUUGGGUUGGUUCAAGACCUUUGGCAUAUCCAAGUUCUAGUGAGGGAUAUUUUUAUCUUUACUUUUUUCUGUUAUUCCAUCUCUCCUUUGUGAUGCAUUUGAUUAUUUGGAGAAGGCGGUAAUGAUUUCUAGCGUGUUGCACAUGAGUAUUCUUCCAAAAUGAACGAUGCAUCUCCCCCAAGCUUCCUGAGACUCGAAGUUUGAAACCCGUGAAACACUGCUUUUAGGUUUCAAAUCUUGGAAGGCUCUGCUCUUCAGCAGGCAACCAGUUUUGCGUUCAGGUUUCAACCAGUUUUUUUUUUGAAGUUUUUCUUUUCUUUUUUUUUUUUUUUUUUUU